GAAAAUUCCUUCUGCAAAUUAGCCACCCUCUCUAUUGGAUAUUGCUCUAAGCUACACAACGUCUUCCCUUCCACAAUCAUAGGGAGAUUGCACAACCUAACAAUUGUUGAGAUUGAAAACUAUCCCUCUCUGGAAUCAUUGUUGAUUGUGGGUCCACGAAGCAAACAUUGUGCAAACAACUGUAUUGCUCCCCAAAUCAGAAGUAAAGACGGUGAGGGAAGCAGGAAAGUUGAAAUGUACAGUGAAGAGCGACUCCCAAAUGAUUUUGAGUUUUCCUAGUCUUAAAAAAAGUCCGUGUUUGCAAUUGCUCCAACCUAAGAUAUCUCUUCCCCAGUUGUAGUGCCACAACUCUAGAGAAACUCGAGAGCCUAUGGAUUAGCAAUUGUGAACAGAUGAAGGAAGUGGUUCCUAAGGAGAUAGCCAAAGGAGACGAUGAAUCAUCACAACUGUUGUUCAAUGAGAUGGUUUGCUCCAUCCUUUACCAUGAUCAUCAGAAUUCUUGCAUUUCAUAUUUUAGAACGAACAAUCUAAUAAUUUGUCCUAUCUAUCCUCCUUUCUCACAUUAAACUCGUGCAGGCUAGAUUCCCCAAUAUAAGAAAACUACAAAUUGAAGGUGUCCGGUGCAAAGAGCUAUGGAACAAUCAAAUUCCCUAUGAUUCCUUUUGCAAACUGGAAUUUCUUCGAUUGGAGCACUAUGACAAUCUCCUAUGUAUUGCCCCAUCCCACAUGUGGAAGAGACCACAGCUUUGUCUCGACUUCCUAGAAGUGAGAUCAUGCCGUUUGGUCAAGAGCAUAUACAAAAGUGAUGGGACAGAUACAAAGAGUGGCAAAUUGAGGAGGUUGGCUUUGCAUGAUCUCGAAAACUUGAGGCACCCGUUCCCAAACUUGAGAUACGUAGAGGUUGUGAGGUGCUCUCAUUUGGAAAUUCUUUUCACAACCUUCAUGGCGAAAUUUCUCGGGCAAAUCGAAGAGCUAAUAGUAGAGUCAUGUGAAGAUAUAAAACUAAUUGCUGGCCAUAAAGAAUGUGAAGAAGCGGCCGGUACGACAAUCACCUUCUCCGAGUUAACUGCUUUUAGACUUUUUGAGUUGCCGAAAAUCAGGAGAAUCCUAGCUGAGAAAUACUCUGGGGAAUUCCCAUCCUUGCAAGUCUUUUGUAUGGUAAGCCGUGGAAUGGCGCCGGACCGAGGCCUUGAUGACUGGGAAAGGUACCAAGCCCGCAAGUGGUUUGACUUCAUGAAAUAUGGAUUUGAAGAAUAAUCGUUUCGGACUUCUGCAACGGAAAAUGGUGUUUGGCAAUAUAGAAUAAUGCAUCCGGUAAUAUGAUAUCAUGUUUCUGCGUUAUCUUGUAUAGUUCCCACAAAGUCUCUUGACUAUUUCCUUCAAUAAUCAUUGCUCUGGUUUGUCUCCUGUCCCUUGGAUCUAAGGCCGUGCUAAGGAAGGUCACUUGUUCAUUUCGACUGAGAAUGUAGAGUUGCUAUCAAUGCAUGAUUCUAAUAAAAUGACUGCCUAUUGAGACAUGGUCUCUUAGGGAGUGCAUGAUAACCAAAAUUUUUGUUCCAGAAAUAAUUUUUCUAUUCCAGACCUGUUUAUGGAAUAGAUUCCUGUUUGAUAAACCUACUCAGUUUUUUUAUUUCUGGAAUAGAUUUCUAUUCCAGAAAUUGAUUUGGAAGAGAAAUCAGAAAUAUAAAUUUUCUAUUUCUGAUUUCUGGAAGAGAAAUCAGAAAUAAUUUCUCUCACUAAACCCUAAUUUCGGUGAGUCCUCCCUCAUCUCCUUUACACCUCUGCCUCCUCCUCAUCCGCCUCUCCUCAUUUUAUUAAAAAUAAAAAUAAAUAUAUUCAUUUUAUUCAAUUAAAAAUAAAAAUAAAUUUAUUAAAAAUUAAUAAUUUAUUUAAAAUUUAUUAAAAAUUAAUAAAUUAUUUAAAAUAAAUAAAUUAUUUUUAUUUCUCAUUUUAUUUUUAGUUUAUUAAAAAUAAAUUUAUUAAAUUUAUUAAAAAUAAUUUAUUUAUGAUAAAUAAAAAUAAAUUAUUUUUAUUUGCCUUGAGUGUUUUGCCAGAUAAAUUUAUUUUUAUUUUUUAUUUUUAUUCAUUUUAAAAUAAAUUUAUUCGUAAAAUAAAAUAAAAUAGGAUAUUUUUAUUUUAUUUUUUAUGAUUUCUUUUAUUUUACUUUAUUUUAUUCUUUAUUUUUUGUUAUUAAAUCAUUUUUAUUUUUAUUUUUUAUAUUAAAGGUCGUCAGUCGUCGCCCUCGCCGUCCGAAAGGAAGAAAUUUUGUGUCGUUAUCAAAUGAAUUUCCAUUUUUAUAGUAGAAAUUUUGUGUCAUUAUCAAACGGAUAUUUUUGCUUAUAAACUCUUCUAGAAAUAGAAAUAGAAAAAUCUAUUUCUGUUCCAGAAACUAUUUCUGGAACAGAAUGGUUGUCAUGCGCGCCCUUAACUGACAAGCAUUUAACAAUUACUAGUGAGUCCCAGUUACUUCCUCUAAAUUUCUAAAGAGUCUUUCAUGGACAGUAACAAGUGCAUUGUUUCCAAUUUGUAACUGACAACGAGUACAUUAUUAAGCAAAUGACAUAUUCAAAUAUUUUUCAUCAUAAAUGACUAUCGGAACAAAAUAAUUCUUUUUUUUUAAUUCAAAUUUAUAAACGUGAAUAUUUUCUUAUUUUCGCUAACUAUUUACUACUUGAUGAUUGGAUAUUUUAAAAUGUGAUGUUCAUGAUUAGUAAAUAGAAAGUUACUCUUGCUAUUUUCUCGUUCAUAGAGUCAAUUUUACGAGUUAUUAACAAGAAAUUUUGCCCUAAACUCAUUAAUAGUGAAGGCAUUUAGUAAGCAAAAGGCACUUCUAAUAUAAUGUAUUACCAAGAGAUUCUCCGCCUAUACUUUUACUCUUCUCUUGACAAAAAGCUCUUCAAAUUUUAUUUGGAAAAGAAAAAAGCCGUUUUAUUAAAUAUGAAUGCAUCUAAUGUGCAAAAAUCAAUUUCACUGUUUUAUAUAUACCAGAUUUCAGGCUCUUUCAAGAAUUUCACGAAAUAGAUGAACUCCAUACACACGAGUUUACCAACUUAAGUACACUUCCAACAAUUUUGUCUCAUGAGAAAGAUCAAAACAGGUUUCUUCUCUCUCGAUCGAAUUUACUGGCUAACAAGGCCUCGUCACGUGGCCCUCGACAGAAUUCACCGGCUCUCUUCCUUUCUCUCUCUACAUCAAACGAUCUGAGUCGAUUCCCUUUCGAGAUCAGGCUCGGCGCGCUCUGCGGAGUGGGGCCAGAGCAUAAACAGAGCCACCUUCACACACGCAAAAGGAGCUCCACAAAUUCUCUCUAGCCCUGGUUGAAGGGACUCGCGUGAUUUUUGAGCAUUCAUAAGUCACUCUCUCUCGGAGAUUUCCUUCGAAUCCUUGCCUCUCGCUUCGUUGCUGAUCGUCACCGCUUCCCGAUCGCCGACAGUUCGGUCUGUAAUGGCGAAGUUCUCAAACUUUGGUCGCGACUGCCUGCUUCGACGAUUCCAAUCCUGGAUGUUGUUUCUGUUAUCUCCUUACUCAUAUCCGAUGUCAAUCGCUAUAGCUAAUCAUUCUUCUUUCAACUAAACCACAUUUGCUCUGUUUUCCGUUGCUUCAUAUACGAAGCAGAGGCUGAGUGCUAUUGUUACCGCCUGUGCGAAAACGGCUUCGACUGAGGCUGUAUUGAUGAUCGAACUUGCCGACUGCCUUUGUGAUGAUUUGGAUGCGAAUCACCUGUUUGAUGAAAUUCCUGAACUUAGUCAGUUUGUAUUUUGAUUCAAGUCUUGACCGAGAAUUUCCUUCAUUACUAGAUUAUUGAUUAAUUUCGGUCAUGUAAGCGUAUCUGAGGUCUGUUUCUUCGUAAAAAAUCAUAGGUAUUCAAUUUUGAACUUGCUUUGGAUCUGCUACAACCUGUCGAUACAUGCUGAUUCGUAACUAUUGCAGCCCUGAGCUGAUGUCAUUUGGUCCUUGAUAUUGAUUUUAUUCCACCUAAGUAAGCAUGUUUAAUGAAUUUCAUGUUCCCCUGAAAGGAAUUUAUGUCAUGAAUGAAAUAAAUUCUACCGGGAAUUGAUCCUUUUAUGUUGACCGUCUUAAAAUCCCUGAUUUAGUGUGUGUUUGAUUCCAAUUUGAGGCUAGUUUGGUUAUGGGAUCGUAUAUGCCCAUGCUAGGAAAGCAUUAUGGUGAAUCUCAUGCCGAUUUGCGAGAAUUGGGGUCAUCACCAAACUUGAAUAUGUUAGAAUGAAAGUAUUGCGUGCUGACCAUGCUUGCUUGCAUAAAUUCAGUAUUAAUUUGCCCCUUGAUUGAUGCCAUUUUGAUCAAGUAGACUUAUAUGCGCUGUAGGAAGAUAUGGCUUCAUUUUCAUGUUGAUUACUCAUCAAAAGAUCACAAUUUGCUGUCUCAUAUGCUCUGUUACAAUUAUGAAUGUCUGCUGGAAGUUGUGGAAUAAGCAUAAUUAGAUGGAUAAGAGAUAUGGUGUGUGCAAGUUCCUUGUCAAUUUCACAUGUUCAGAUGGCAAUUGCAUGAUUAAAUUGAUGUAUGUAUGCUUGCUAUUGCCAUGAGAGUCUUGGCCUGAUUAUUGAAUUAGAGAACUCCAAUGUUAACUGAACUUUAAUUCCAUGAUUCUUGCGAUUUCAAAGCUCGGGACAUCUAUUAAAUAAUUUGAAGAAUACUGACUUCGUUUAAAGGUGAUAUGGUAGACUAGCCAGAUUUGAGGAAAUCUCUCAACAAAACUGGUCACUGAGGCCCCAUCAAAAUAUCGCAUGGACGACACUUGCCAACAGAAUCCAAAUAUUCUCUCCCUCUCCUUUGACGCUCACCAUUUAAGGCUUAUUUAUAAGAGCUAUUUCUUAAACCUGACUGAUCCUUCAAGUUCAUGCACUUGUGCCAAUAUACUGUGCACAACACCAAUUGCAACCUAUUGACGCUACUGGAAAUAUCUUCGGGGAAGCUAGAACUCACAUUUGGUUGUGAAUUCCAAUGCGGCAAAUGAAGGGAUAUAUCUCUCUGUCCUUUCCUUCCUCAGAGUUCGCUGGCCAGUGCUGUUCAGAAUGAUGUUUCAAAUAUAUGUUUCUCAUUUCAUUGGAAUGCUCAUGAUAGACUGAUAGUCAUCUGCGUCAACAGCACUAAAGGAGCACGACAGAAGAUUAUCGCCAGUAGGGGGAGGGAAGCUUGGUCACCAGCGAUAAUUUAGUCACCUAUCCAAUUGUCAACAGUCCCAAGGACUAAAAUGCCACGGUACUCAAACUUUGGUCAUAAUUGCCUGCUUCGACAAUUCCAUUCCUUGACAUUGCUUUUGUUAUCUCAUUACUCAUAUCCGAGGUCAAUCGCUAUAGCUAAUCAUUCUUCAUUCAACCAAACUGCAUAUGCUCUGUUUUCCAUUGCUUUAUGUAUGAAGCAGAGGCUGGGAGCUGUUGCUCCCAUCUAUGUGAAAAUGGACUGUGAUUGAGGCUUUAUUAAUGAUUUGAACUUGCUGCAUUUCCUUUGCAAUGAUUUGGAUGUGAACCGUUGCUUUACUUUUGCAUCUAAGCUCCCUAGCUGAAAUGUAUACCACAUGUUUGAUGAAAUUCCUGAACUAAAUAAAUGUGUAAUUCCAGGUCUUGACUGAGAAUUUCAUUCAUUACUAGGAUUUCAUCAAUUUUGGUCAUAUCAGCCUAGUUGUGUUCUGUUUCUUCAUCGAAAAUCAUAGGCAUUCCAUUUUGAACUUGCUUUGGAUUUGCUGGAACCUUGUCAAUACAUGCAGAUUUGCAGCUGUUGCGGCCCUGGGCUAAAGUCCAUUGAUCCUUCAUUGGAUGCUAUUCCACUCAAGUAAGCAUGUGCAGUGACAUAAGAUUGUGUUACGGUAAAUUUCAUGUUUGCUUGGAAAAGAUAUUAUGUCAUGGAUGAAUUAAAUUAUACUUGAAAUCAAUCCUUGGAUGCUGACCAUGUCUUGGUAUCCCAUGAUUGGGUGUGAGUUUGAUUCCAACUUGAGGCUAGUUUGGUUAGGGGAUCUUAUAUGUUCAUGCUAGGAAAGUAAUAUGGUGAAUCUCAUGCCAACUUGAGGCUAGUUUGGUAAUCGCUUCAAUUUCACGUCAAUUUGUCAUCAAACAAUCACGAUUUGCAGUCUUGUAUGCUCUGUUACAAUUCUGAUUGCUGCUGGAAGUCGUGGAUUAAGCACAGAUUAGAUGGAUUUUGUCUCAACUUGCUUGUCAUUUUUAUUGCCCGUGGGCAAGUGAUAUCACGUGUUCAGAUGGCACUAGUUGGCUGUUAGUCCCACAAGAAUGAAAUCAAGGACUGCAUAUCAAAACAGAUAUGUAUUAACAAAGGGUCUCAAUUCCCCAAAAAAGCACAAACUUUAGGUUGACUCUCUGUUCUGAGUUAAACUUUUUUUUGUCUAGAAAGAAUCAACUUCCACUUAAGUCCCAAAUUUGAUCCCUGUUCAAUUGCCGUCCAAAAUCACUGUUGAAGGUCUAACAUGGCAGUCAGUUGUAAAUCCAUGUCAGCUAACUACUCACCAAAAAGAUGCUUUGUUGUUCUUAAAAUUUUGGAAAAAUCGAAACAAUUAUAGGUGGAUUCUUCAAUUCUGCAGACAAAAGUCUUCAAAUUUUGUGUUUGGGAAUCUUCAAUUCAUCGAAUAGACUCACGCUCGAGAUAGUUGGUUUGUUGAGCUUUUAACAAACCAAUUCUGAACUCUGCUGGUCUCGUGAUCCAAGGACAGGUGCUCGACCGAAGACAGCAUCUUCUGCAGGAUCAUUCUCAGUGAAUCGCCUGCAUUCAAGGUAUUUGAUUGAUUUUGAUUCUGGUUCUUCUGAAUCGAGGAUGGAUAGCUAUCUUCUUCAAUGUCAAAGCUCAUUUCAAUUCAUGGUUUUGCAUCUCAUGCGUUAUUCUUACUGAAAGAUGCGAGCUUGAUGUCCUGCUAGGUUGGCAAUCAUGUGCGGAAGAAUUACAUCCACAUAUUGUUCUCAUAUUUUGCCUAUCCGAAAACUCAAUGGAAUGGUGACUCUUCCACAUUGCACUGUUUGUCGUGCAUCAUUAAGCACUGCUGAUGCGGCUAUGUGUUUGACAAACAUUUUCGGAAUGUAUGACAGAUGACGGCUAGAAUGAUCAGAUCCUUCUUCAUUCAUUUGAUCUUUUUGUACUUUCAGCUCUGUGAGGAUGGAAAGUGUCUAUGCAUAUUGAUUCGAGUCUUCUAAGCCAUGGGUAGGGUGUUACUCAUCCACCAUUCUGCAGUAGAUGACCCCUUGAAAUUAUUGUCCUUAAACAAGGAUAAACUGAUUAGGCAAAAAUGUCAUUUUUGCUCUGGUGAUUAACUUCUCCAUUGUUUAGCGAGGACUUCUUAUAUAGUCUCAUCUAAUCACUCACUCCAGAUUGUGUAACCUUGCUUCAUAAACAACAAAUUGAGAUGAAUUAAUGUGUCUAUACGUGAAGUUAAGAUUUGCCCAUGAAACUAUGUUGCAGUAAGAAGCAGAUGCUGCCAUGUUGUUAGCUUGGAUCCUAGCAGUUGUUCUCAUGGCCUAAAGAACCCACAUCGUUAAAAAAAUUCUACCUGCAGAUCAGCUUAGAUCCUGACAAUUGAAUGUAAAUACUAAAAGAGAACAUUGAAGAGGAGGGUAUUGAUUGUUAUUAAUGCAAACUGUCCUCUCGAGGAAUUUCGCACUUUUGUUUUUUCAUAAACCAACUUCUGUUCUUGAAAAAUCUUUUUGCGAUGUAAGACUGUGCGAACUCAGUCACCUCAAUUGUAACCUGGGACGCAGUGCUUCGUCCACGAUCUCCUGCGAAUCUGUGGCUUUCAUACCGGGCGGGCCUUAUUGUUCAACAACCAACUCGACUACAUUAAUGCCACGCGGAACAUGCCGUGGUCCCUCGCCUGGAAGCUGGAUCGUUGGCAUGGGAGGAGCGGGGUUUAUAGCCGAUGGCAAGCUAAGUAGCAGGGGACAAUCGGGGGUUCCUCAGUGCCAGAUAGGCAAGUUACUUUUUGUCCAGCGUGGAUGCGCUUUCAUGGAGAAAAAGAUUGCGAGAUGGCUGGAUAGUUCUAGCAUUUUGGGAGAAAAUAUUGGGUGGGUUUUACCCUCCACGUAGGCGGUGGGUAAAACCACUCAGUGAUCGACACGUGGCGCCACGUAGGCGAGGACGUCAGAGGAGAAAAUAACUCUGUCUCUCUCCUCUCGCGUCUCUCCAUCUUCUGCGCUUCUGUCUCUCUCCUCUCUCCGAAAUAACUCUGGGCUGGUGGCUCGGCUCGGCUCGGCUGGCAGAAGAAAGGACGACUCCCGCUUAAAAUUUCUCUCCUCACUUGAAUAUUUUGGGUUUCGUCUCUCUCUCUCCUCGUGAAGAGCAGAGAACGAGCUGCACCUCCUCUCUGUUUCCUUUUCUCAGCGCAUCCCAACCCCACCCCACGAGCGGCCCCCGCCUCCGGAGGGGCAGCGCCUGAGCCGUGCGGCCGGCGGAGGAGGCGGUGGCGUUGUGAGCGAGGACGGGAAGGCGGAGGAGGCCAAAGCGGCGCGGCGGCCGUGGAAUCUGAGGCCGAGGAGGGCGGUGAACCCUUCGCCGCUGUCGUUGAGGAACGGCGAGGCGUUUCACGACACCGCGGGCGGCACGAUCAGCGGGGACAAGGAGAAUUACGCCGCGCAGCAGCAGCAGUUGCAGCUGCAGCCGAAAUCCGUGUGGUUACGAGACUUCAUGGGGGAGGGCGAGAGGAAGGAGAAGAAGAGGCUUCUCUGCGCCCUCCCUCUUUCCGACCGGCAACCGACGAACCACCGCACCGGACCGGCGAGAGGACCGCGAGACCUAGCUCCCUCCCUCUUUCCGACCGGCGAACCACCGCACGGGACCGGCGAGAGGACCGCGACCUCCUUCCCUCUCUCUCUCUACCCUCCCUCUGUCCGACCGACGAACCACCGCACGGGACCGGCGAGAGGACCGCGACCUCCUUCCCUCUCUCUCUCUGCCCUCCCUCUGUCCGACCGACGAACCACCGCACGGGACCGGCGAGAGGACCGCGAGCAAUCGACGAACCACUACACGGGACUGGCGAGAGGACCGCGACCUCCCUCUCUCUGUGCCCUCCCUCUUUCCGACCGGCGAACCACCGUGAGCAAAUAAGAUGUUUUUGUAGAGAUCUCCCAUCGUCGCCUUCAUCUUCUUUUCCCCCCUUUUUUGUUUUGUUGGUUUUUUCCCCUAGUGUUCUGAUGAUGGAUCUGGAGUUGCAUAUGCUCGACGGCUUCUUCGGCGACCUCCCUGAGGCCAGCGACGUCAUCGGCGCUUGCUCCUCGACGAACGCGUUGUCAUCGUCUCCAGGCUCGGGGCUCUCGUGGUUCAUCGAGAACAUCCUGAUGAAGGACAACGAGGACGGUAGAGUUGCCGGUGGCGGGAUUAGGGCUGAUUCGAGCCAGGAGUUCUGCGAUAGGUUCCUCGCUGACGUGCUCGUUGACUCCCCCGGAGAUGGGUCCGCGGAGAUAGCUGACGGGUCCAGCGACAAGGAGGAGCCUGGAUCGUCAUCCGACGGCUGGGUCAAGGCUGCGAAGGUUGAUGGGGCUAACGUUGGUGGUGAAGCCUAUGAUCCUGCUUCUAAGAAGCUCAGGAGGUACGUUGAUUAGGUUCUCUUGCACUUCUCGUGUGAUUAUUAAGCUUAUUAUAUGAUGCAUUCUGAUUGCUCAGGUGUUUUCACUAAAACCUGAGAAGGCAAUUUCUGAUGCCAUUUUACGACAAGCAAAAAGGCCUUGCAAUUAUUACUGUUGUGAAAGUUGGUAUGAUGGUACCGGCCUUGUGGUUGCUCGUAGGGAAGACGGCUCAUCGUCUCCACCUUCUACAAUUUCUUCAUGUGGAAUAGGGUGGGGAGCAAAGGUAGGCUCGUUUUAUCGUAUCCCUGGAUUUUGAUUUCAUCAACCUUAAGGGCCAAGCGUCGAAACCAACAAGUGUUUUUGGCUUUCAUGCAAUCUGCAGAUUAACCACGUGUAUCAACGUGCUCAAAAUGAUUGUUUAGAUAAUAAACAUCAAUUUGAUUUUUUACUCCAUCCGGAAUGCUUGACAUAUUGUCUGCUUCAUUUCCAUGGUCUCUGUGAGAAUUUUCCUUUGUAAAUGUCUGGUCUGUCAUCCUUCUAUUUCAUGGAAUGUGCCAUUUGUUUCUCCUUUCUGGAACUCUAUCUAAGAACAGUAUUUCUCAGGAUGAGAUUUGGACUUUUUGUUUGAUUAUCAUGUUGCCAUUGAGUUUUCAAGUUCCUUUCUGCAUCUCUGUUCCCUUUCUCUGAAUUUGUGUUUUGCUUUAUUGUGGAAGUGGGAGAAGUCCCUGAAUACCGACACAAGUUGGUUGACACUCUAUCCUCUUAAAACAUACUCAAGAAAAGAAAUCUAGUAGUAAUAUCAGAAAACCAAGUUGUACUAUUUUCUGUGUUCAUAGCACUCAAUAAAAAAUCCUGUCUUUUCCGCAAUAAAAUUGAUGAAGAGGAUUUUUUUUUGGUUAUAGCAUUUAUAGCGCCCUAUGCUUUUGAAAUCUCAAAUGAAAACAAAACAGUAGAUUCUACAAAAGAACUCUAGAGAAUCAAGUUCGUGGGAAUCAAUAUAACAAUGAAAUCAAAGGUUUAGCGUUUCUCUGGAGAUUAGAAAUCAACCUUUGCUUAUUAAGGAGGGAGCAACUGCCGCAUAAGUUAGCCUCUAUUGGAGCUACAAGGAUUCCAGGAAAAUUAAGCAUUGUAGGCAUGCAAAAUGCCACACCCUCCUGCUCUAUAAGCAAAAUGGAUAUUUGGUCACAGUGUAGCUCGCUGAUAUAUGCUUAUCACAGAGGAAUUUUUGUUUUUUUGGCUCUUUAUUGCACACUACAUCUCGUGCCUCAAAUGUCAGUUUAGCUGUCAAUAGUUCCCAUAUUUUUCAUUAAUCCUCUCCCUGCAGAACCAUUUAGCUGUAUAGGACAUGGCAUUUCUAAAUUAUUUGUUUAUGGAAUGAGGAAUUUUUUCUUACAGUACUGCGUGUGGGGGAUUGCAAAUCGAUCUGACUUUGACAAUACCCCUGCUUGGCUGCACAGAACUUUGCUUUAGAUUGUUUUCUUGAAUUCAAGUAUUGCGCUUGCUGGCUUUUCUAAAGUGAUUUACUAUCCAUGAUGUAUAGGAAAUUUUCGUCUGAUCUCUCUAUCUAAUUAAAUUGUAGUGGAAAAAUUUAAGUGCAAAUCAUCUUUUCAACUAUGAUACCAUCUGCAGAAAAAAUGCAGCGCGUUUGACGCAGUCCAUCUCCAUCUCCAUUGACAUUGUUCAAUGCUCUGUUUUCCCGCUUGAUAUAAUGGUGUUCAAUGCUCUGUUUUUCCGCUUGAUAUAAUGGUGUGUUUUUAAUGCCUGUUACUUCUAUGCAUUAAAUUGAGAUAAUCAUUUACGCUUUCAAUCAAACCAUGAACAUAUUCUUUACAUUAUCAUUUAUUGCAGAUAAUUUAUUUGUCUGGUGCUUCCAGUUCCAGUGUUAUAAACAGCUAGUACUCAGUUAAAUAACACCUAAUUUCAAGUGAUAUUGGUUUCCAGGUGAGAGAUGAACUGGAAGAACUUCUUGACGAUGAUGACGACAUGGCAGACCUUUAUUUGUCGAGGAAACUCACUGGAGGGUCUUCUCCUGUCAGCUGGUCUGGAGCUCCAGAUUGGUUCUUUGCCUCUCCUACAACUGGCUCAAAAUUAUCCAGAACAAGUAGGGCAAGUGCGGUAACAGCAAGAGAGGAAAAUGAUGUUGAGGAGCUUGAAAUGUUGCUGGAGGUUAGAUAAAUCCAAUCAAUGGUCUCAUUUUGCUCAUUGAGAGUCCAUAAGUAAUGCUGCUGCUUUUCUGCAGGCAUAUUUCAUGCAAAUUGAUGGCACUUUAAACAAAUUGUCAACGGUAUGCAUUGUCAUUGAUAUCCUUGUACGAGUUUGUUUGAUUAUGUUGCCUCAUAAAUUCUCCUGCAGCAAUUUAAGGAAAAUUUCUUAGAAGAUAAUUAUCUUGGUAGACUAAACUGUACUAUUCCUACAAGCUAAUUCUUUGUAUUCUCUUUCAGUUGCGCGAAUACAUUGAUGAUACUGAGGAUUACAUCAAUAUUCAGGUAAGCUUUUGGAGAAUUUGGAACCAUAUCCUCAACUAUGUGACAUGUAAUUUAAACUAUUUUUCUCUCACAGAACAUCAUUAGACUAUGUAGUAGUAACUAGUGACAUUUUGAUCUGUUUUUUUUGUCUUGUUACAGCUUGAUAAUCAUCGGAACCAGCUUAUACAGGUAGGAUUCACAAGAUACACAAAGCUCCACUAGGUAUUUUGGAAAUUGACUAAUGUUGGCACCCUAUGUUAUCAAACAAAUGAAUCUCCAUUGCACGAAAAAUUCAUGCUCAUUGCUAAUUUCUACUAAAUUUGAACUGGCCAUAGCUAGAGCUCUUCCUCAGUUCAGGAACUCUGUGCUUGUCUGUAUAUUCUCUGGUAGCAGCGGUAUUCGGCAUGAAUAUUCCCAACGUGUGGCAUGAAGGUCAUGGUUAUGUCUUCAAAUGGGUAUGUAAAUCUCAUCCCGAUUGCCUUCCCUGCGAAAGCCUAAUCCUUAAGUCUCACACGACAUUUUGUCUGAGAGCAAGACAUGAUGGAUGGUCUGGUUUUAUUCAUGUUAACGUUCACUGGGGAAACUCUCAGGUGGUCAUUCUCGCCGGAGUUUUGUCUGGAUCCAUUUUCCUGUCAAUAAUGUCCUACGCUCGGCACAAAGGUCUGGUUGGUUCUUGAAGCCAAAUUGAUUCAUUCGGGAGGGAGGUUUCUGCAAAGCUUGAAAUGUCUUCUCAGGCUACCGAAUUUAGGAUCCAUCCGAUGCGCCAGCUCUAGGACAUCAUGUGGACGACAUCACCCUAUUAGUUUCCCACAAAUUGUACCAACCCACGCCAACAAUGUCCACGAGAUGGAUGAGAUGGAAUGGACGCAUAUCUCCCGGUCAAACUCACCAUUCCCUGCAGGUGGUUAGAAACUAGCUGCCAUUGAAAAGUCCAAAGUAGCAAUUGGGGUCAAUUCAAGUGAAGACGAGUCGUUGAUGUUGUGCCAUUGAUGCUGUGCUGCUUGUUAUACGUACAGCUACAGUAAAGGUACUCAUCUAUAUAGCUAUUUUUCCUUUUAAACUGUGGAGUUGUCCUCUGGACUGAUUUUUGGGGUAUGUAUACAUUGCUAUGCAAAAAAACAUUGAUAGUAUCCUAUGAUAUUAACCGUUUUAAUGUGAUAGUAAUUUCUCUAUUUUUAUUAAGUCCUAAGUGGAUGCAAUAAUAGUCUCGGGACAUAGAAAAACUGCUCAUUUUGCAAAGGAUCUUGUUCACUCUCUUUCUUUCUUCCUCAUUUGUCUCUGUUGCUGAGGUGAGCUAUGUAGUCUAGCUUGUAUGGCAUGGGUAUCUGUCCUUAGGCAGUCAUGUAAAAGACUAUUCUCCGAUUACUUAAAAUACUCUUCUAGUUAUAUAUUCAAUAAAAUGAUGAUACUCUUUACCUUUUCAAGCUAUGUGAAGCUGUUUUCAUUAGAUCAUUGUUUGAAAAAGUUUCUACAAAGAGCAUUUCUUGAGAAGCUUGCUUGUUGCCCAUUUCUUAGUGCCAAAGAAAGGGGAAAAGGGAGAGACAUUAGUUGAGAAAGCUUCUGCAGGGAUAUUUUUGAAUAAGCAAUCAUUUGAGAGAACACCAAGCUUGAUUCGUCAUAGAUCCUACUUAAAUUGAGAUGCUCAUAGUAAAAAGUUGGAGAGGUUUAGAAUUUGUAUUUCUCAUUUUCCUAUCAUUUCAUUGCCAGCAGUCUGUGGGGGCUCGUUCCGCUUUCUGAAGUUCUUUAAUUGUUCUCAACUUUUUCAUAAAAUAAUUGGCAGGUGCUUUUGUUGGAUGCUCCCUUCAAGGCAGUGUGGUGACAACGCGGACAAGAGAAAAUUGCCAAUUUUAUGGCAGCCCGUCUAUAAAUGCAUUGUACAUACUACUUGGUUCAUUGCCGAGGCCACCAGCUGCUGCCAUCCUUUUUAACGCACUCGCAGACAUGUAUCAGAAGCUGGAGUGGUCAUCACCAUAUUAGUGCCGUACAGCUUGGCCAAUUGUCUCCGAUACUGCCUAUGGAAGUUCUUAACUGCAAUUCUUGCCACUGUAAAGUUGUCUAUUCUUAUCAAGUGUAUAGCAUGUUCAAACUCAUUGCUUCCCUCUCUUCGCCAGGGGGUUUCGGGAGAGGAAUAUGUAAAUAGUUAUAAUUGCUGGGAUCAAUCUUUGGAAUGUACAUAUAGCUAUACAUUUCAUAUUUGGUGUUUGCUCAGGGUAUUGGGGAAGACAAGCAAAAACCACCCUUCUUUUCAAAUUACUUUGAAGAUUGCUUGGGCAUGUCCUAGAUGAUGGAGGAAAUUUUAUGUGAUUGUUCAUGAUGAACCCAGAAAAACAGGUUGCGUGGUCACGACCUGAUAUACAGCUCUUCUAUGGAUCUUGUUCGGUACUGCACCGCGCAUUAGACUCGAGUCAAUGCAGUGUAAUGGAAGUCCACCUCCCCCCCUGUUUCGAAGUAGUGCAUACAGAUCAUUGCGAUUUCUUGUUAAUUAUCUUGUUGUGCUAGAUCUAUGUUCCCAUGCAAUUUCUCGUUAGUCGUCAAAUGGUGGGGGAACCGAGUGUGAUUAGGAAGGUGGUAAUGUUAAGAAGGAUUAGGAAGUGGCUCAAUAAAUAGACCAAGACUAGGCGUCCAAGAAAUGAACCCUACAAAAAUUUAUGUCCUGACCUAACGUAUAAUCGAAGAUUGACCUGAGAAACCAAAGCGAGAAUGGAGGCAUGAGGUUGCGGAGAACCUGUGGUUUGUUGCUUGUUAAAUUCAUCUCAUUGAAGACAAUGGCAAUGAGAGAGGGAACACGGUUUGCUCCGGCAAAUUUUCCAUCUAGAAUUGAGAGCCCGAUUGUUCAGAUGGUUAAUGGCCAGAAGCCUUUUUCAUCUACAUGUCUCUGCCUGACUAACGUAGGACUGGAACAUAUUAACUAGCACCUCGUGUGGAAUCUGCACUUGUAGGUCAAGAGCAGUUUGUCAUAGCAGCAACAAAGUCGUGAUAAACAACCUGGCGAACCAUAUCAGGAAGUGUCUGCUGGUUUGAUGCUCUCACUAGUCACAGCUCGAAACUAAAAACAUUGCCAUGUACUUGGAGAUCAUGGAAUGACAAGUUUAGCCUGAUCAACUAAGGAGCCAGCAAAAGUGAAACCUCUCCAACACGGCACAUGUAAGCACUCUUAAGAUCAUAUGGAUUGAGCUUCGCAACCAACGGCCCAAAGGCCGGCCACGCACAAAGCGAAAACAAGGGAAAAUUAAAGAUUCUGAGCUUCUCGGCUUGCACAAAUUUGAAAGAAAAUGUUGUUGACACCUCAAUUUUAAUUAGGUUAAUUUUAUUUUAUUAAUUAAGUUUUUAUUUUAUUUAUUUUGUCUUUUUCGGAAUAAUAAACAAAUAACAAAAACAACAAAAAAUAAAUAAAAACAAAGGAAAAAGCAAAAGCAACAUCCCCCUUUUUUUCGCGUGGGCUCGCACGACCUGGCCCCCCCCCCCCUUUUUCUCCUUCUUCUUCCUUCUUCUUCUUCAUCGCUCCUUCCUUCUCCGCCUCUGUAGUUCACGCGCAGCAACGACGACGCGCUCGAAGACAACCUAUGGCCGAGGAGGGUAGGCCGACGUCGGCCAGAAGAGACAGAUCUCGGGCGCCAUCAUGGAUUUCCUUCAAUGCCGAGCACGCCUUGUGGAGGAGCUCGGAUGGGAUGUUGGUUCGGCCGGCGGAGGCGGUUCGGCGUGCGAAGAUUGGCGGUCGAAGCUCCAUCGACCAGCCGCCCCCUCGCCUAUAAAUAGGCUUCUCCCGACGAUGGCAAAGCACGGCGAGCUCGGAGACUUUCCCUUGAGAGACUUCAAGGGAGACUCAAAGAGCGAGCGCGUGAGAGAAAUCCGGUCGCGAACUCGAACGACCUCCCCCCGAGAGACUUCGGGGGAGGCCGACGACAAGCGAACCCGGAGAGAGAGGAACCGAAACAGAGAUCGAAAGCUUGCGAGCACCGGAAGCUUCCCUCGAGAGACUUCGAGGGAGGUCCGAACGCCCGCAAGCCCAGAUCUGUGAGCAAUCGAGGCCGGAAGAGAGGAGAGAGUUCCAGAUCCGCGAGGAGGGGCUGGAGAGAAACCAGAAGGAGCCGCCUCGAGCUGUACCGCCGUCCUCUGACACUGAUUGCUUCAGCACCUACCCGCCGUUGCCAUCCCCUUUCGUCAGAUCUGCUGCAGCGAAGCUGCUGCCUGUUGCCAGCUACUGCUUCCGCCCCCUCGACGCAGAUCCAUCCCCGUGGACUUACUCCCCCGCCGUGCCGCGUCGACCAGAGCCACGCCAGGCACCGACUGAUGCAGCUCACCGCAGCUGCCUGUCGCCGCCGUUCGCCGCGUCGCCGGUGUCGAGUCAUCACCCAGUGACGUCCCAGCCAAGCCCCACCUCGGCGCCGCAAAUCGUCGAGCUCUAGGGUUCCCAAAAUCCGGUUCUACGAAGGAGAAGCCGGGUCGGAAAGCGGGUCGGGCAUGGGUCAGCGAUCGGGUAGGGUUUCCCCCCCGAUGUGGGCUUGCGUGUGUGGGCCGGUUAAUCCCUGGAUUUUUUUUUUUAACGAAAAUGGGCCUUGGUUAGUUCAUGGGCUUGGAAAAAGAAAAAAAGGGAGAAAAAUCUGAGUCGGGCCCGCGUUGCGAGCCCGUCCGCGUGCGGGUCGCCGGCCCGGGUCGAACCCAACCCACGGAUCCGACCCGGGCCGGUUUUUAUAAUAUUUUGAAUAAAUAAAUAAUUUAUUUUCCAAAAAAAUAUAUAUAUAUAUAUUUUCUUUCGAAAAAUAUUAAAAAAUAUUUUAAAUUUUCAAAAAAAGACAAAAAUAUCCAAAAAAUAUUUUAUUUCCAAAAAUACUAAAAAAUGUUUUAAUUUCCAGGAAAUCGAAAAAUAAUGAUAAAAAUAUUUUAUUUUCCAAAAAAUCAAAAAAAAUAUUUCAUAUUUUCCACAAAAUGCCAAAAAUAAAAAAAAAGCCAAAAAUUCAUGAAAAAGCCAAAAAAUUCAUAAAAAGCCAAAAAGACUUGUAUUUUUCCCCAAAAAAAAUACCAAAAAAUCCCUUUUGUGUCCAAAAAAAUUAGAAAAUGACUUAAAAAAUGUUUGUCCUUCCAAAAUGCGUGGAAAAUCCCUCGAACAUCCAAAAAGCCUCAAGGUUUAAACAAGAUUAGGUACCGAAAGGGCAUUAGUGAUUAAUUAGUGUAAUCAAGUCCCCGAUCCUAAUUUCUCUGGUUGCGCAGGAGCGAGUAUUUCUCCCGAUACUUCGCUUGGGUUUCUAAUCAACCUACCCCAAAUUGAUUAGUGGCGACUCCAUUUUAAAAAUCAACUUGCAGGUUAAAAACUUAGACUAUUAAAGUCGUGAAUUGGUGGACUUGGGAGAGUCCGGGCAUAAUUAAAUUCAGCCGAGCCAUUAGCCUCCUUUAGGCGCUCGCCCCUGAUGUGGGCGCCGAAAAAAAAAGAGGUCGCGACAGCUUGGCGACUCCGCUGGGGACAUUUGAAGACUUAGGCCAUUUUAUCUUUGUUUAAAUGUCUUGCUGAUUUGGUUUUUUUCUUUUGUGCAGGGUAAUAGCUUAAAGUUUUAUUCUGUUAAAAUAAAAUGUUUUGUGAUUAUAAAUUGCCGUGUAUCCUUAAAUGUUUUAGCACUACACAUGACACACACAACCCGGCCGCCGGACCUGGGCCGCCAUAGGAUUUCUAAGAUGGUGUUAAGAAAGAUACGACCUCGAACGCGAGACUGCGAUGUAGAGGUUGCCUUUCUUUUCCCCGAAUUUCUUAGCCGAGGUUAGGAGGGUAUGCUGCUAACGCGAGACUGCGACGGGCGGAUAUCCUUUUAAUCUCAACAAUCCUUCUCAGUUAGAAAUCGAGCUACACGUCUCACGCGCAUGUCUUUGUGCUUGCCAUUUUUCUUUAAAAAGCAAAAGUAAUUUCUUUACUGUUACUCAGUCUUUUUAUUUGGCCCAUGGCAAUUUAGGAUAAGCUUUUCAAGUCCCAGUUUAUAUGCGAUGGGGAAAGACGAUAUCCAGUUCAUUCCUACUCCCAAGGCGGAGCUUUUCAGAUGGUGGGGUCAGUUAGAUCAGUUUGCCCAAGAGCGCGUGAAGGCCAAAGUCGGUCAUCUCCUAUCGUUGAUUCAAAUCACUGUUCGUCCUGAAGUCAUACAAGCCAUGGCACAUUUUUGGUGCCCGAAGACAAUUACUUUUAUAUUCGGUAGGUUUGAGCUAACCCCAACCCUGGAAGAAUACAGCAUCAUCACUGGAAUGCCUCUCGAGAAAAAGCUUGUCAGGCCAUCGACAGGCGCCCUCCCAUGGCGUGGGUUAGCACGACUUUUAGGAACUGAAAUCCAUGUCAUGAGGCAAAUUCUUGAAGACAACCAUAAUACCUGCCCACUAGAAUUUAUGAAUGCCUGUUUCCAAAAUCAGCCUAUGACCCAGAAAAUUGAGAUUUUCCUCCUGGCCUUUUUCGGGCUCAUCAUCUUCCCCCAUCAAAGAAAUGCCAUAACUCCCAAGAUGGCAUGGAUAGUUGAUCAGAUCUUAAGAGGGGGGAAUUAUGUCAACAUGAUUUUAACUGAAACAUUCUUGUCCUUUAAUCGUUUAAAGACAACUCGGAGAAAAUCAUGCGAGCCUCUCCUGAAAUUUUACAAGUCUGGUUCUUUUCUCACCUAAGCGAAUUUCGAGACUUCAUGCGAUCGUCUGAAACAAAUGCUUUUGAAAAUCCAUUACAAAAAUUUAUGGUUUUAGGACCGUAUAUUCCCAAUCAAAGUUGUUUAAAUUGGGUAAGCUUCCUAAGAGACCCAGCUCCUGAGGCAUUCCAAUGGUGUGCUGGUUGGUUCCAUGAAAAGAGGGCUUGCUUUGCUUACAUACGCACCUGCCCAAUUCCGUUGCUCGGCCUCACCGGCGCCAUUCCCUAUUACCCGUAUCGGGUAGCACGACAAUAUGGAGCCCUUCAGGAGAUUCCACCACCUUUCAAGAUGAUGAUCCCUCCAGUUCUUUUCAACACAAACCGUGACUAUGCAUUCGAAAUUGCUACCGCUGAGGAAACCUGGAGCAGCUGCCAUCGCAAAAGGAUUGUGAUACCUGAAGGGCUUGAGGGAGAAGAAAAAGCCCACCACGCCUCCAUGUCCUACAUCCACAACCAUCGCAUCCCGAAAAGAUGGAAGCCAUUAGUCCCUCACUCAAUCAGCGAGAGCAGCCAACACGAGCAAGCAGAGCUCAUGGAGAGGGAUUUGGGAAUGGACUGGAUGCACACCUCAGAGCCAGUUCAAGGAAGCAGGCGUUCUCGCAAGAACAAGGCUCCCCGUCGCAUAUAAAUUGGCAAUCAUGUGCCCCUUAGUAUUAAUAGUGUGAAAGUUUUGUCCCAUUGUUUAGGGACUCUUGUUUAAUAUCUAGUAUUUCAUCCUGUCUUUUCAAUUUCAAGUUCUAGAUGUUAGGAGUUGGCAGUCUAUAAAUCCUCUUUUGAUAAAUAAGAAAGCAGUUAGACCAUUGCCAUGGGUCAAUCUUUGUUUACUGUCGUGCUCAUUCAUUGUUUUCACCACGAACAGGUAAUUAUGAAUCGCCGGCCACUAAUCGCCCGCGAAUGGCCUCAUGCAAUAGGGCCCGAUCAAAGUGAUGUACAAAAUCGUCCCAUUAACAUUGAAGACGGCGUGGGACAGAUGUCCAUUGUCCUUCAACAACUCUCGAGACAAAUGAAAUCCACUCAAGUCGAACCCAACUCUGUAGUUGCCUUAAACACCGUCAUGACACCCGCAAAUUUGCCAGAAAAUAGCCAGUACCAUAGACAGUUUGAAAGGAUCAUGAAAAAGUUAAGCCAGCUGCAGGAGCAGAAUCCCAUGGACCUGUCCAAUUACACCGGCAUUGAGAUCUCUGAAAAACUCAAAGCACCUGAAUGCGAAAGGUAUGCUGAUACCUCCCGCCCAGAGACCUACUUGCAGGCCUACUUGGUCCGAAGGAUGAUUCAAUCGUACCAAUCGAGCUUGACUGGCCCUGCCUUACGAUGGUACAUUAUCAGGAAGAUUAGUCCCCUUAAAACCUGGAGGGAACUAAUUCAUGUUUUUCACCAAGAGUAUAAUCUUGACAUCACCUUGCCCUACGAAGAACUGAUGAUCGUGGAGCACGAGGAACCGUUAGUCGCUGAGAUAGGAGAAGAGCAUGUCAAUGAAGCCUUGCAUGAUAAAUGGGCAGCUGAACAACACCUUGUUACUGGAAGAUUUCCCACUAGGAAAGGCAAGGAGCCUUUGUACGAGAUCAAAGACACAGAGCCUGUUCAAGACCGGGGCACGACUGGACAACUCCCCAAGCUUACUUCAAGAGCUAGGGUCCAAAGAAUACCAACCCCUAUCAACCUGGGAAGUGAAUCAGAUAGUGAAACUCCAAUGUCUCUCACUUCCUUUGACAGAAUCGAGCUGGCAAAACGAAGGGCCUUACUCAAAAGAUCUGGACCAGGGGCCAAGAAAAGAAAGCCUAAGCAGAUCAAUGCAGCAUCUGCCGACGAGCCACCGCACCAAAGCUUCGAGCAUUCCCAAGAAUACAACUUUGAAGGCUACCAUCCCCAAGAGUACAACCCUGAAGACUUCCCGGCCCUAGAAUACAAUCCCAAGGACUUCCAGCGUUAUUUCGACAAUGAAACUGACGAUUCAUCGUAUAACUGUUUCCUACUCUCACCCGGAGAUGAAGGCCCGUCAGAAGAGGAAGCAUACGUCUUUAUCCGCUACGAUCCUAACGAAGUACUAAGCUCGUCCUUUGACCAUGAGGAUAGCUUCAAUACUUCAUCCUCAUUCGGAAAUUUUGACCCAGAAGAAAGCAAUGGGGUAAUCUCGGUAGAGUCCAGCUUCCCUGAAACAGAAAAAUUCACCACUACAAUGAAUAUGCAGUGGGAAAACCAGUGGUCUAGCCAAGACAUACCAGGCUCGUCUUGCCCACGUAGGAUCAUGACCCCCAUAGAAAUGUGGAUACCCAAUCUCCGCAAGUAUAACGGCAUGACUUGCCCCGUGGCCCACUUGCAGUACCUCCAUGCUGAAAUGAGUCGAUACUAUGGCCCGAUGUCAUUCACAACUCAGGCUUUCCAAGAAAGUCUUACGGGGUCUGCAUUACAAUGGUUCAUCACAGCAGAUAUCUACCUCAUGAGAGAUUGGAAUGAGCUGUCUUCUGCAUUCCUGCUUCAGUAUCAAAGCCAGAUUGGGACUGAAGUGCCUUGUCAGAACUUGGUUCAUUUUAGAAGAAGACCAAUGGAGGAUUUUCAAGCAUAUGCAAAGAGGUGGGAAGCUUUCAUGAUGCAAAUCUACCCUCAACUGGCUGAAGAAGAAAUGAUAAAGUUGUUCAUAGGGACUUUGCCUCGCGAGCAUCGUUGUUGGUUGCAUGGGUUGUACUUCCAUAGCCUCAAUGAAGUGGUCCUUUCAUGUGAAUACUUCGAGUCUACUGGAGGCGAAGAAUUCAAAGACGCUUAGCUUCAAGACCAGCACUAUCAAAGCGCUCCUUUACACAGGGGUUUUCAUGAUUUUUACUUGUUUUUAUAAUUUCAUGUUUCUCAUCUUGUCUAGUGUGCUACUGUUGUAUUUUCCAUUCCAAGUACUCUAUUGUACAGUUCUAAUAUUUUGUUUUAAGAGCAUGAGGCGGUACUCCAAACCAGCCCAGUGAUGUUAUCCAACCAUGAAAAGAAAAUAUCAUCCAAGGAAAAUACUGAGGGCUGGGCUUCCUCAUGCUUUUUCUCCCCCAAAGACGUAUUUUGAAAAUAAAAAAUAUUUCAUUAUCUAAAAGCUUUUGUCAAAACAAGAUGAUAAAUUUAAGCACGUUUGUCUUUCUAGCCCUCUCGCUUUAUGUUUCUGAACAUCAUCCCCUUUGAUUUAGUGUGACAAAAGGUAUUUGAAACUAGCACAUUGUGUGAACAGACCAAACUCGAGAACACAUUUUCAAGAAAGCAGGGGCAAACAGAAAGGAGCAUCCCGUUUCCAAAAAGGGGUAAGUCUUAUUCCCUUAACAUAAUAGUGAGAAUGACAACCCCUCUCUUCUAUUUACAGGAAACGAAAAUAUGACGUAAUAGGUACAGGCAUACGGUUAAAAUCAAGCCGUCCCUAGGAGCUCUGUACACUCCACCUUGCUCCUGCCCAACUCUUUCACAAGCCAGAGCAAUAUCCUUUCCCCACAAUGUGCCUAAGCAACCAGAUGUUGUGGUUUCAUCAGCGGGACUGCCAGCUUCGACAAGCCCAGAAGCACAAGGAAGGGAUCUCUUCUCUUUCUUUGAAUUGGCUACUGUCAACAGGGAAGAAAUCCAGACAGUUGAAGUGGUCUCUAGCCCCUAUUCAAAAUGAGGACCUAGAAACCUGACUUCCUAUUCAGACGCAUGCUCUCGCAAGAAGUAAUUCCCAUCAGAGAAUUGGAGGUUUUGAUUGUCCAUCUCAGAUUCCAUAGAAGCUUGAGGUACAUGACUUUUGCCCAAUGAUGCUAUAGUUAAAGACAGAAGGAGAAAUUCCACAGAAGGAAGGCGUUGAAGAUGAAUCAACGACCAGCAAUCAUGCAUAUAUGGUCACAAGUGAGGAAGGCCAAUCGAAAGAAAUGCCAAAUUAUGCCAAGACGAAAAGGCUGUCAUCGACAUUCAAACAUCAUCAGGAGUCAGCAAAUACAAACUUUGGAGAAGAGUAAUUUGGUAUCGUUUCCAAUACUCCCCCUACUUGAACUCACAUUUGACAUAUUUUCUCCUAUUGACAGGAAGCAUCGGGAUUCAAGAACCAAGCUUAAUGGUUAAUUUAUGCCAAUCAAGUGACUCGUAUUUAAUUCACCUAACUUCAUGAAAAAGGAUGUGUUGUCUAGGAGCCGGUUUGGUUAAAUGAAAAAAGAAUCGUCCUACGGACACCGUCGGCGCCUCUAGCCGAGUGGUAUCCGGGAAGAAGCAAAAUGGUCCGAAGUCGGGGGUUCGAAUCCCCGACGCGGCAGUUAGCCGCUUGGUAAAAAAAUAAUAAAAAAAUUUUUGCUUAUCUUGCGCCUGCAAAUUACGAGAGAAUAAUUGACCUAACGAAACAAGGGACAUAGGACUUCGUGUCCCCCUUCUCACUUCAGGUUCACCCAAUCAUAUGCAAGCCAGUGAAGGGUAAAGUUGUAUCGAUUCCAGUUAUUCGACUCUUGAAAGAGUUCAUGACUAACACAUUCCCUCUUGUUUGUUGCAGGAUCACCUGACUGUCAAAAGCAAGGAUAAUGAAUCAAUGAGAAGCAUGUCUUGUUUGUUGCAGGAUUACUUGAUUGUCAAAAACAAAGAUAACAAAUCAAAGAGAGGCAUGAAACUCUCCCAAGCAAAAUGGCGUCUCAAGUAUUGCCAAAGCAAAUGACAGAAAAUCUUCAGGCCUCAACUCACAUUUGAUUUUGGCCAGACUAAUUGAGCUACUUAUACAUCUUCUCUUUCUGCAGGGGCAAAAGCAGAGAUGCCUGAUCAAAUUCUCAAUCCUUGGCUGAUCCUUCAUGUGUCAUAUCCCUAAUCAAUAGGGAUGACUAUCGACACCCAUUUGCGAAUAACCCUUUUGAUGUUCAAAAUUUAACAUAUUUGGAAACACCAUCAUGUUAAAGUUGUCAACAGGGUCUUUUUUGAGUCAAAACCAUUCACUUGUUUUGAAAAGUUCAAACUCCAUCAUAUUCAAAAUAUUGCAUGUCAUUUCCAGAUGAAUUCUGCAUGAUGAUUUUGUCUGUCUAAGUCACUGAUUCCACUAAGGAUUAUUAGAAUAGACAGCUAAGUGAAGAAUACAAGAUUGAUCGAGCAUGCUGGAUGAGGCACGUCAGGAUGAUGAAAGGCAAACCAUAUCCUACACACAAUCCCCCAUCUAUACACUUGUGAGAUGAGUGCAGAAGAUUCCAUGACUGUAGGGUAAAGAGUUCUCUCGCGAAUGGUACGAUAACCAAAACAGUGAGAGGCAUUUCAUUGCUCACCCCAUUGAGCCCCAUACACUGAUGAAAUUUCUAUCCUAUCCCUGUCAAGAACCACCCCACACUGGGGCAGAUCGGAGGCGAAGCAGCAUCACAAGGUGAGAAGAGAGAUAGAAAUUUUCUUGCUCGCACUUGCAUCAAUCUUCGGGUGUCCUUAUUGCAUAUGAACACUCACGUUAAUUUAAGUGCCCUAGAAUGACGAAGAGCAAUUCUUUCGCUAUGCACUUGUAUUCAUUGUACAACCCAAUUGAGUCUGUAAUUUCACCCUUACAUGAAGGCAAAAUAGAAGUUACUGCCAUAGCCCAGAGCGCCUAUUGAAGAUGAAGACUCAAGAGUCUAAUAAUGGUGCUUCGAUUGAACUUGCCUAGGCCGGUUCCUCUAAUGACAAAAAUGAAAAAAAAAACAUGGGCAUAAAAAAGCAGUGUACCUGGUAAAAGCAAGGUCAAUGCCCAUAAAUGAAGAACUGGAAUAAAAAAAGGGGCAUGAAAAAGCAGUGUGCCUGGUAAAAGCAAGGCCAAUGCCCCCUAGUCAAAAAUGCAGCCAAGAAAAUGUUGCUGUUGUGGUCCAUAGAACCUCCAUUUGACAGUGAGAAGAAAGACUGGUGACAAAUGCCAAGGCAAUCACCAGCUCUUACCCUUUUACACAUGAAUCAAGCCUACAUUGCAUCCCAUUGUAAAAGUCUCUUCAGACUAGGGGCACUUCAAUUAACGUAGGAUUUCAUAUGUCUAUAAGCAUCGCUCGAAGAAGUACGAGCAAGACUAUUCUAUCUCUUUUCGCAGGACUCUUGACUUGCAAACCUGGAGAUGAUCGUGCGGCACUUCGUUCAUGAGCCUUGACCUCGACGGUCCCAUUUGAUGAGCUAUUCUUCAUCAUAAUUUCAACAAAGACCUCUCACAUUGGUAAAGUCGUACCACUUGCGAGAAUACUCAGACCCCUGCUGACAUGAUGACAGUGAGAAGUGUGGUCCUUAUAAAUCCUGCAUCAAUGGUCAGGAUAGCCUUUUCCAUGAGAGUGAGUGAAAAGUUCUUUCAGACUGAAAGUCCCUCAUCUGGCAUGCUCAAGACAUCUACAUUCUAAAUGAAGGUUGUCUUUCAAAAUCUUCUCCAGUGAAACUCAGAUGAUACAAAACUGACAAAAUUGUCAUGCAUGAAUCGCAUUUAAACUCAUGAAUUUACAGCAUAUGCAAUCAUGUGUGCUUAUUGUGCAAAUAGCAGACAUACUCUCAGAGAUCAGAGAUAUUGCCAGGUAAGCAUAUCUCUAUCCCUAUUUGUCUUAAAGUACCUAUCACUGUCCAGGUACUCUCUUCUUGACACUCGACCUAUUCGAGUCGUCCCUUGAGUUUGGGUGCUUGCAAUUGUCUCAGUAUCCCAUGGUCUUUGAGUACCCACCACUUGCCGGGUACUCCCUCUUAACGACACUCGACCUGUUCAAGUUGUCUCCAGAGUAUUGAUACUUGUGCCUGACCAAGUAUCCCUUUAUCGUUGAAUACCUACUGCUGUCUAGGUAUCCCCACUGUCUUUGAGUACCGGCCACCGUUCGGAUACUCCCUUUUCCUGACACUCGACCUAUUCGAGUUGUCCCCAGAGUAUUGAUACUUGUGCCUGACCAAGUAUCCCUUUAUCAUUGAAUACCUACCACUGUCUAGGUACUCUCCUAUUGACACUCGACCUAUUCGAAUUGUCUUUUGAGUUUCGAUGCUUGCAACUGUCUUAGCAUCCCAUUGUCUUUGAGUACCGGCCACCGUUCGGAUACUCCCUCUUUCUGACACUCGGCCUGUUCGAAUUGUCCCCAGAGUAUUGAUACUUGUGACUGACCAAAGUAUCCCACUACUUUUGAGUGCCUUUCAUUGUCUAGGUACUCUGUUUCCGUGACACUUAACCUGCCUGAGUUGUCCCCAAAUAAUAUAGCAGCUGUUCAAGCAUUCCACUGCUUUAUGUGCCUGCGCCUACCCAGGUAUGCUUUCUUACACUUGGACCUGCUGAGUGGUCCCAGAUCAUGUCAUUAAAUACUUGUGUUCAUCCAAGUAUUCCGGUACUUUGUACUCCUGCGGCUACUCAGGUGUUUCAGCCCUUUUGAGUGCCUGCGGCCAUCCAGGUAAGCCUCGCGCUACAUUCAAGUUUAUGUUGCCAGGAGGUGGGAGACCUUCACGAAUAUGCGAGGCACGCCCUCGAUAUUCCCAAUUACCAGGAGGUGAGAGACCUUCACGAAUAUGCGAGGCACGACCUCGAUAUUCCCAAUUACCAGGAGGUGAGAGACCUUCAUGAAUAUCCAAGGUACGUCCUCGAUAUUCCCACUACCAGGAGGUGAGAGACCUUCACGUAUAUGCAAGACCCAUCCUCGAUAUUUCCACACGAAUAUCUCAGGUAUGCCUUGAUUCUUCCUUCAGAGUUUGUACCUGUGAUCGUCCAGGUACCCCUUCGAUGCUUGUGAUCAUCCAGGUAUCUCCCAAGAGUUUGUGCCUGUGAUCGUCUAGGUACCCCUUCGAUACUUGUGAUCAUCCAGGUAUCUCCCAAGAGUUUGUACCUGUGAUCGUCCAGGUACCCCUUCGAUACUUGUGAUCAUCCAGGUAUCCCCCAAGAGUUUGUACCUGUGAUCGUCCAGGUACCCCUUCGAUACUUGUGAUCAUCCAAGUAUCCCCCAAGAGUUUGUACCUGUGAUCGUCCAGGUACCCCUUCGAUGCUUGUGAUCAUCCAAGUAUCCCCCAAGAGUUUGUACCUGUGAUCGUCCAGGUACCCCUUCGAUGCUUGUGAUCAUCCAAGUAUCCCCCAAGAGUUUGUACCUGUGAUCAUCCAGGUACCCCUUCGAUGCUUGUGAUCAUCCAAGUAUCUCCCAAAAGUUUGUACCUGUGAUCGUCCAGGUACCCCUUCGAUACUUGUGAUCAUCUAGGUAUCCCCCAAGAGUUUGUACCUGUGAUCGUCCAGGUACCCCUUCGAUGCUUGUGAUCAUCCAAGUAUCCCCCAAGAGUUUGUACCUGUGAUCGUCCAGGUACCCCUUCGAUGCUUGUGAUCAUCCAAGUAUCUCCAAAGAGUUUGUGCCUGUGAUCGUCCAGGUACCCCUUCGAUGCUUGUGAUCAUCCAAGUAUCCCCCAAGAGUUUGUACCUAUGAUCGUCCAGGUACCCCUUCGAUACUUGUGAUCAUCCAAGUAUCCCCCAAGAGUUUGUAUUUGUGAUCAUCCAAGUACUAUCUCCCAACAAACAGAUGCCCUGAGAAAGGUCGGCGCAUCUCCCGUCAAGGCGACCGAAGAAAGGUUCGGGUCCUAGACAAAACAACUUAUUGCUCUAACAGGCGACCGAAGAAAGGUUCGGGUCCUGGAAAAGCAAUUCCCCGUCAAGGCGACCGAAGAAAGGUUCGGGUCCUAGACAAAACAAACUUAUUGCUCUAACAGGCGACCGAAGAAAGGUUCGGGUCCUGGAAAAGCAAUUCCCCGUCAAGGCGACCGAAGAAAGGUUCGGGUCCUAGACAAAACAAACUUAUUGCUCUAACAGGUGACCGAAGAAAGGUUCGAGUCCUGGAAAAGCAAUUCCCCGUCAAGGCGACCGAAGAAAGGUUCGGGUCCUAGACAAAACCAACUUAUUGCUCGAACAGGCGACCGAAGAAAGGUUCGGGUCCUGGAAAAGCAAUUCCCCGUAAAGGCGACCGAAGAAAGGUUCGGGUCCUAGACAAACUAACUUAUUGCUCCAACAGGCAACCGAAGAAUGGUUCGGGUCCUGGAGAAGCAAUUUCCUCAUGCAACAGGUAAGAUGACAUCUUGAUACUUGCCAAACUCGGGGUUCACACCCUAUCUCACUCACUCCCGGUAAGUAACUACAGGUAUCUUCUUAUCUGUCUCAGUAUAUGUAAAGUUAUAUUGCUCUUUUUUCCGCAUAGAAUAAUAGGUCCCAAAUAAAGUAUAAUCUGCUACGCAUGCAUGGAUAAAAUUGAGAUAUCAGUCUGUCUUUGAAUGCAACCUCUGCGAGCUCACCUUCAAAGAGGGGCAGCUGUUGACACCUCAAUUUUAAUUAGGUUAAUUUUAUUUUAUUAAUUAAAUUUUUAUUUUAUUUAUUUUGUCUUUUUCGGAAUAAUAAACAAAUAACAAAAACAACAAAAAAUAAAUAAAAACAAAGGAAAAAGCAAAAGCAACAUCCCCCCCUUUUUUUCACGUGGGCUCGCACGACCUGGCCCCCCCCCCCUUUUUCUCCUUCUUCUUCCUUCUUCUUCUUCCUCGCUCCUUCCUUCUCCGCCUCUGUAGUUCACGUGCAGCAACGACGACGCGCUCGAAGACAACCUAUGGCCGAGGAGGGUAGGCCGACGUCGGCCAGAAGAGACAGAUCUCGGGCGCCAUCAUGGAUUUCCUUCAAUGCCGAGCACGCCUUGUGGAGGAGCUCGGAUGGGAUGUUGGUUCGGUCGGCGGAGGCGGUUCGGCGUGCGAAGAUCGGCGGUCGAAGCUCCAUCGACCGGCCGCCCCCUCGCCUAUAAAUAGGCUUCUCCCGAUGAUGGCAAAGCACGGCGAGCUCGGAGACUUUCCCUUGAGAGACUUCAAGGGAGACUCAAAGAGCGAGCGCGCGAGAGAAAUCCGGUCGCGAACUCGAACGACCUCCCCCCGAGAGACUUCGGGGGAGGCCGACGACAAGCGAACCUGGAGAGAGAGGAACCGAAACAGAGAUCGAAAGCUUGCGAGCACCGGAAGCUUCCCUCGAGAGACUUCGAGGGAGGUCCGAACGCCCGCAAGCCCAGAUCUGUGAGCAAUCGAGGCCGGAAGAGAGGAGAGAGUUCCAGAUCCGCGAGGAGGGGCUGGAGAGAAGAGAAACCAGAAGGAGCCGCCUCGAGCUGUACCGCCGUCCUCCGACACUGAUUGCUUCAGCACCUACCCGCCGUUGCCAUCCCCUUUCGUCAGAUCUGCUGCAGCGAAGCUGCUGCCUGUUGCCAGCUACUGCUUCCGCCCCCUCAACGCAGAUCCAUCCCCGCGGACUUACUCCCCCGCCGUGCCGCGUCGACCAAAGCCACGCCAGGCACCGACUGAUGCAGCUCACCGCAGCUGCCUGUCGCCGCCGUUCGCCGCGUCGCCGGCGUCGAGUCAUCACCCGGUGACGUCCCAGCCAAGCCCCACCUCGGCGCCGCAAAUCGUCGAGCUCUAGGGUUCCCAAAAUCCGGUUCUACGAAGGAGAAGCCGGGUCGGAAAGCGGGUCGGGCAUGGGUCAGCGAUCGGGUAGGGUUUCCCCCCCCCCCCCCCCGAUGUGGGCCUGCGCGUGUGGGCCGGUUAAUCCCUGGAUUUUUUUUUUUAACGAAAAUGGGCCUUGGUUAGUUCAUGGGCUUGGAAAAAGAAAAAAAGGGAGAAAAAUCUGUGUCGGGCCCGCGUUGCGAGCCCGUCCGCGUGCGGGUCGCCGGCCCGGGUCGAACCCAACCCACGGAUCCGACCCGGGCCGGUUUUUAUAAUAUUUUGAAUAAAUAAAUAAUUUAUUUUCCAAAAAAAACAAAAAUAUAUAUUUUCUUUUCGAAAAAUAUUAAAAAAUAUUUUAAAUUUUCAAAAAAAGACAAAAAUAUCCAAAAAAUAUUUUAUUUUCCAAAAAUACUAAAAAAUGUUUUAAUUUCCAGGAAAUCGAAAAAUAAUGAUAAAAAUAUUUUAUUUUCCAAAAAAUCAAAAAAAAUAUUUCAUAUUUUCCACAAAAUGCCAAAAAUAAAAAAAAAGCCAAAAAUUCAUGAAAAAGCCAAAAAAUUCAUAAAAAGCCAAAAAGACUUGUAUUUUUCCAAAAAAAAAAUACCAAAAAAUCCCUUUUGUGUCCAAAAAAAUUAGAAAAUGACUUAAAAAAUGUUUGUCCUUCCAAAAUGCGUGGAAAAUCCCUCGAACAUCCAAAAAGCCUCAAGGUUUAAACAAGAUUAGGUACCGAAAGGGCAUUAGUGAUUAAUUAGUGUAAUCAAGUCCCCGAUCCUAAUUUCUCUGGUUGCGCAGGAGCGAGUAUUUCUCCCGAUACUUCGCUUGGGUUUCUAAUCAACCUACCCCAAAUUGAUUAGUGGCGACUCCAUUUUAAAAAUCAACUUGCAGGUUAAAAACUUAGACUAUUAAAGUCGUGAAUUGGUGGACUUGGGAGAGUCCGGGCAUAAUUAAAUCCAACCGAGCCAUUAGCCUCCUUUAGGCGCUCGCCCCUGAUGUGGGCGCCGAAAAAAAAAGAGGUCGCGACAAAUGUGGACCAAAUGAUCCUACUUCUAAGAAGCUCUAGGACAACAGCGACAUCCUCCUCGAUGGCGGGCAACACCAACACCACAACAACCCCCAUGGUGGUGGUCGUCUCCGUCGCAAUGGUCACUUAAGACCGCCGUAAUUGAGUCUCCAAUUCCAACUCCAACUCUCACUCCGGUAUUGAACCAUGAGAGUUCGCCAUCUUCGUAUUCCAUGAGUUCCGACCUCCACCAGUACAUGCUGUAGUCCUCAUCAAACAGUACAUGAGUAUUAUGCAAGAUUUAUUGCCAAGUUAAUAGGUAAGAGCAAAUAAAAGCUACAGAAAUUAGCAACAACAGGAUGGAUAAAUACCUGCAUUCCAGGUCUCAAUAUAAGAACACUCCUUCCAUAACGAUCAUGAAAACUUGCUCUGUAUACUUUUCCAGUUUCACCUUCAAUAGCAACUUCUUCCUGUUUUAGUAAGCAUCACAUUGUCAAAUGGAAGCAUUAUUCAGCGUCCCAAUAAGUACUAUUGCAUGUCUAACACAACCUGCUCAUUAGCCAUAUUGUCAACUAAAACGGUCUAAAUGAUGAUUUUGGAAACAGCAUGAGUCAAAAAAUAUAUUGGGACACUUAGUGUCCCUUGAACAAUAAACUCUCCAACACCUAAUGCUUCAUAUCACUGCAUCAUGGCAGUCUCAUAGAAGACACAAAAGUUGAGAGCCACUCAAUUAUUGUUGACUAACACCAAUCCUGCAUUCGCAUUCAUUCAGAAAAUCAGUUCUUUUCCAUACCAGGAACUUAGUCUACAAAAUAAAAUUAAUUAUCAGGUCAACACAAUAGUUAGGGUAACAAGGAUCGGAUGUCUAUUGAAGUUUAACAGGCAACAGCCAUCGGCAUAAAUUAUCUAUCACAAUACUCGCGCAGGUAUUCAUUCACCGGGACACUUAGCCAUCUUACCCAGCUGAUUUCCUCAGGCUUAAGAGUUGAUCUCCAUUUCAGUGUCUCAUCUCUUUGCUUUAUCUAUGUUCCAGUUUCAAGCUUCCAAGUAUCUCCUCAAGCAUGCAUCAUCACAAUACUUCAAACUUCGCCCAGAGAGUGGUCCCAUAGCUUUCUUAAGUCAUUCACCUACAUGCAAAUGGACUUAAAAUGUAACUGUAUUUCUCCAAUAUUCUAGGAAGGAACAUUGAUUAUCAUUCCACAACUCUAGAAAAUCAAUGCAUCAUGAGACAUUAAACACAUAUAUGAAAGGGGUACACAUCUCUGGCUCAGGGACUUUUUCUUCUUCCACAAUAAAGCAAAACACAAAUUCAGAGAAAGGGAACAGAGAUGCAGAAAGGAACUUGAAAACUCAAUGGCAACAUGGUAAUCAAACAAAAAGUCCAAAUCUCAUCCUGAGAAAUACUGUUCUUAGAUAGAGUUCCAGAAAGGAGAAACAAAUGGCACAUUCCAUGAAAUAGAAGGAUGACAGACCAGACAUUUACAAAGGAAAAUUCUCACAGAGACCAUGGAAAUGAAGCAGACAAUACGUCAAGCAUUCCGGAUGGAGUAAAAAAUCAAAUUGAUGUUUAUUAUCUAAACAAUCAUUUUGAGCACGUUGAUACACGUGGUUAAUCUGCAGAUUGCAUGAAAGCCAAAAACACUUGUUGGUUUCGACGCUUGGCCCUUAAGGUUGAUGAAAUCAAAAUCCAGGGAUACGAUAAAACGAGCCUACCUUUGCUCCCCACCCUAUUCCACAUGAAGAAAUUGUAGAAGGUGGAGACCAUGAGCCGUCUUCCCUACGAGCAACCACAAGGUCGGUACCAUCAUACCAACUUUCACAACAGUAAUAAUUGCAAGGCCUUUUUGCUUGUCGUAAAAUGGCAUCAGAAAUUGCCUUCUCAGGUUUUAGUGAAAACACCUGAGCAAUCAGAAUGCAUCAUAUAAUAAGCUUAAUAAUCACACGAGAAGUGCAAGAGAACCUAAUCAACGUACCUCCUGAGCUUCUUAGAAGCAGGAUCAUAGGCUUCACCACCAACGUUAGCCCCAUCAACCUUCGCAGCCUCGACCCAGCCGUCGGAUGACGAUCCAGGCUCCUCCUUGUCGCCGGACCCGUCAACUAUCUCCGCGGACCCAUCUCCGGGGGAGUCAACGAGCACGUCAGCGAGGAACCUAUCGCAGAACUCCUGGCUCGAAUCAGCCCUAAUCCCGCCACCGGCAACUCUACCGUCCUCGUUGUCCUUCAUCAGGAUGUUCUCGAUGAACCACGAGAGCCCCGAGCCUGGAGACGAUGACAACGCGUUCGUCGAGGAGCAAGCGCCGAUGACGUCGCUGGCCUCAGGGAGGUCGCCGAAGAAGCCGUCGAGCAUAUGCAACUCCAGAUCCAUCAUCAGAACACUAGGGGAAAAAACCAACAAAACAAAAAAGGGGGGAAAAGAAGAUGAAGGCGACGAUGGGAGAUCUCUACAAAAACAUCUUAUUUGCUCGCGGUGGUUCGCCGGUCGGAAAGAGGGAGGGCAGAGAGAGAGGGAGGUCGCGGUCCUCUCGCCAGUCUCGUGUAGUGGUUCCUCGAUUGCUCGCGGUCCUCUCGCCGGUCCCGUGUGGUGGUUCGUCGGUCGGACAGAGGGAGGGCAGAGAGAGAGAGGGAAGGAGGUCGCGGUCCUCUCGCCGGUCCCGUGCGGUGGUUCGCCGGUCGGAAAGAGGGAGGGAGCUAGGUCUCGCGGUCCUCUCGCCGGUCCGGUGCGGUGGUUCGUCGGUUGCCGGUCGGAAAGAGGGAGGGCGCAGAGAAGCCUCUUCUUCUCCUUCCUCUCGCCCUCCCCCACGAAGUCUCGUAACCACACGGAUUUCGGCUGCGGCUGCAACUGCUGCUGCUGCGCGGCGUAAUUCUCCUUGUCCCCGCUGAGCGUGCCGCCCGCGGUGUCGUGAAACGCCUCGCCGUUCCUCAACGACAGCGGCGGAGGGUUCACCGCCCUCCUCGGCCUCAGAUUCCACGGCCGCCGCGCCGCUUUGGCCUCCUCCGCCUUCCCGUCCUCGCUCACAACGCCGCCGCCUCCUCCGCCGGCCGCACGGCUCAGGCGCUGCCCCUCCGGAGGCGGGGGCUGCUCGUGGGGUGGGGUUGGGAUGCGCUGAGAAAAGGAAACAGAGAGGAGGUGCAGCUCGUUCUCUGCUCUUCACGAGGAGAGAGAGAGACGAAACCCAAAAUAUUCAAGUGAGGAGAGAAAUUUUAAGCGGGAGUCGUCCUUUCUUCUGCCAGCCGAGCUGAGCCGAGCCACCAGCCCAGAGUUAUUUCGGAGAGAGGAGAGAGACAGAAGCGCAGAAGAUGGAGAGACGCGAGAGGAGAGAGACUGAGUUAUUUUCUCCUCUGACGUCCUCGCCUACGUGGCGCCACGUGUCGAUCACUGAGUGGUUUUACCCACCGCCUACGUGGAGGGUAAAACCCACCCAAUAUUUUCUCGCAUUUUGGAGGCGGUAGGGCCCAAAAGGCAAUAUUAGUAUAAAGAAAUGGUGGAGGGGGUCCACUUAUUUCAAUCGAAAAUUGCAUGGCCAGUUGCGGGCCGGGGAUUUUGCUCUUCCGUCCAACAGCACCUUUGACCAUCUCUUCAACAGCUACUUUGAAAAUUGCAAUUCUGAAAAAAAAUAUUCAAAGCUUGCUGAAGGAUUCGGUUUCCGACUUCUUGAUAUUUUACAAGCGUGGUCAUAAACUGCCAAUACUCUGAAGAAUUUUGCCAACAUACGAAUGGAUUAAUAAAUUACCAACUUUUUAUCAAUAUUGUAAGGGAUUUAGUAAUAUCCAAAUAAAUUAGAUUUAUCAAUGUCAAAAUAAAUUAGAAAAUUAUUUAUUUUUUUUUUUAAAUUAGACAUGGUUCAUAAGUUUUUAGCGAUGUUAUUAAUUUACUUAUGUCAGAUUAAUUUGUAAGUAACCUCUUAGCCUAGUUAGUUAGGAUCCUUUGAUUCCACCUUCAAAUGCAUGUACUCAAUUCGGGCUUACUCGACUUCAAGGGAGGCUUUCCUCCUGGCGCCCCAUGAGGAUCUAUUAAUUUCUUUCAUUGAUCGAUAUACUUCAAUUUUUGUCCAUGAGGAUCUGUUAAUUUCUUUACUUGAUCGAUAUACUUCAAUUUUUUUCCUAAAUAAUCUAUUUUUCAGUAUAGAAUUUGCAUAUCAUGGAUAUACAUGUAAUUUGUACCUUUUUAACUAGAAUUUUUUCUAUAUUCACAAUCAAUACAAAACAACCUCUAUUGUGACACUGCAAUAUUUAUACAUAUAUGCUGACUAUCCAAUUAUGUUAGGUUAUUUAAAUUUCAGAGUACAUGAGUAAGUAUAUUUCAUAUACCAUUGAUUAAAAUUAUUUUUGUUUUGGGUGACUUACCGAAUUAGGAGGGUUGCUUUUUUAAGAAUAUUGGCUGCUGUUAGUCGUAAAACAAUUUGUACGAAUUUGGGACUAAAUAUAUAAUUGCGUAUGGUCAUGCACACAUUAACGUGACACUUUCAAGCUUUUUCAGCAAUUCCUUUUUAAUUUCUAUUUUACUAGGUAUCAUAUACCUGAAUAAAAAGAUAUUCUUUACUUGAAUAAUUUUAGCAUUCAGUUAUGAAGUCGCCCUACCAAUUCAAUUAUAUAUGUAAUUCAAAACCUGCACAUCGUCACAGGAUUAAUAGAUAUAUGUCUAUUUAAUAUCAAUAAGGUGUCUAGAACUCUCUGAGCAUCCAACUAAUCUCUAUUUGGUGUGAUGGUCCCUCCAUCUCACACACGUCAGGUAAUCACCGGAGACUUACAAAAGUGUGCUUAUGGGAGUGGCCACAAGAGAAUGUCCAAGUAUAGUGAUUUGAUCACAAGCUUUGACAAGAAAGAUAAACACACUUGCCACCUAUGAAGCACGGACACGUUGCCCGUGCUUCCAUGUCGUGUCCAACACUUGUCUGAGCGUGUCGGACACGUCAACACGCUAGGACACGGUCGGACACGCAGUCAACGCAUGUCGGAUUUUCCGACACGCGGUCAACGUUUCUCGACACAUUUUGACACGCAUGUCUGGAAGACGAUGGAUGGUAGAGGCAAGGGAGGGCGAGGGAGCAGAGAUGAGGCCGCGAGCGACGGUGAGAGAUGGCAAGAGAAAGAGCCAAACAAAGAGAAAGAAGAGAGAGAAAGCAAACUCCCUUAGAGUCAUAAUCAAAACAUCACAGCGUCAUGGCCUAGUGCGGUUGCAAAGAAAACUGAUCUCGGGCCUAUUUGGCUCGCGGUUUACUGACCAAAUCUACGAGAACCUUCAUAGAUAUUUUGAUGCGUAUUCAUAGAUCAUAUUCAUUCUCAGGUGUAAUUCCACUCCGAGGGCAGGUAUUUCUUUUAGGGAAUGAGCUUGACUAAAGUAGGGGCAAAUCUUUUUCAUUAGGGGCCUUAUUAGUGAUUCCCUCUUUUUGGUCCCCGGCCGACUAUUCUCUCCAUCGGUGAUAACAUAAUUCGACGUUGAGUUUUGUCAUCUGCUGUCACGGUUGCACCUCAUGGAGAAAUUUACUAGUUUCUUCUUGCUAUUCAUAAUGACUAUUUGACAUAUCGAUACAAGAGCAUAUUUAUUUUUCUAUAUGUCAUAUGUAGGUUAGGCUAGACGUUCGUCAAUAUGUACGUGUGAAUUGUAUUAAAAAAGUCUCACACCGGAUAAUUGAUGUGGUGUGAUUAGUUAAUUUAUCCGAGUUAAUCUAUAACUUAUUGGCUUAAAUUUUUUAGCUCAAAGUAGAUAUGUUGAUAGGUUCAAAUUUGGACUCUCUCUUGGCGACCACCCUGAACUCCCAAUGUGUGGUGUUUGGUAAAUAUCUCAAGGAACUCAAUGUGCAUCAAUAUUUGGUAAGUAUCUUAAGAAAGAAAUCUCGUGAUCAGUGGUUUUCGAGCAGCCUAGUGUUGUGGUGCAGCAUUGCAUUCUCGAUGGCAGUUCGAGAUGAAGGUUGGCAUUGUUGUAGUUGUUGUGACCUCACACGCAACAAAGUGGAGAUUCACAUGUGAAUUAAUGUAGAACAUACCUAAUAUUGAACUCACACCUGAAUGAGUGGGAGAUUGUUGAGUUGCACAUUUGCAUUGUAUUAAAAAAGUCUUACAUCAGAGAAUUGAUAUAGUAGCUAAUAUAUCAUAGUUAACCUAAAACUAGAUAUAUUAAAUGGCUCAAACUUAGACUCUCUUUGGCAAUGUCCUCAAGUGAAGCUAUCAAGCGUCCAACAGUUUUUGAGGUCAGUAGCUUUUUCCAAUGGCAUGCUUGAAAGGCAAUCGGAAGGUUUGAAGGCAAUGGUGCGGCUACAUUGUGCCUCUUAAUAGACUUUGUGAAGGUAUCAAAGUACAAUAGACAAUCAAGGACAGUUGCCUCGUAGAAGGAAGGAAAAAUAAUACAAAUAAUUCAUGAACUUUGGUCCAAUAUACAAUGUCAUCUUUAAUUUGUUUAACUUGGUUCAUGAACUAUUGGUAAAUGUUCAGUGUUAUCUUUGAACUUCUAAUUUAUUCAAUGUGACCUUUAAACCAUUGGUAAAUAUUUAAUAUAGUCAUUCUGUUUGUUCAAACAACAAUAUGAUGACAUGGAUUAUUAUAUUAUAUGCUGAGUUGGAUUUUUAAAAUUAAUGAGUCAAUAUAUCCGUCUUUUAUCCGUCUACUUUAAAAAAGGAAACAAACAAAUUAGGGACUUCAAAUAUCCCACGUGCAAAUUUCUUUUCCUAAUUUGAGAUAAAUAUUUUACGUGGAUAAUCCAUAUAUAAUUUGUCUACCAUUCAUAUUUAAUGGAAUGGAAGUCACGUAUUCCAUUAACUUGAAUUAACGAAAAGAUGACAUUAAAUAAUUUGAUAUAGUUAGGGAAUUAGAUUGAACAUUUAUUAGUAACUCAAAGUUCAGGACUACAUUGAACAUUUACAAAAGUUUAGACAUUAUAUUUAACAAAUUAAAAGUUCAUAAGUAACAUUGCAUAUUGAAUCAAAUUUUAAGGACCAUUUUUGCUUCAUUUUUCCUUAUAAGGAAAGUGAAAGUAGGAACGUCCUCUUUGGUUUCUUUGCAUCUUGCAAGGUGCUUCUCCUCCGUGAACCACCACUUGCAUGCACGACUGACGUACCACGCGUUUUCCAGUUGUCUUGUAGAUGUUUCAAACAUAUUUACCUUAUUAUUUGAAGAAGAAUAUCAUGUCAUAAUGAACAUAGUACAAGACACUAUAUAAUUUUUUUCAUUAAAUCUUUACUUAUCAAAGGCCGGCGAGUUAUUUCUCGAUCGAUGGGAGAAAUGGGCCAAAAAAUUGGGAAAAUCCAGUUGAAUAGAACCCGGUAUGUGUUGAUCAAAUAUUGAUCCAUUUGAAAUGACAUGGGUCGAAGUCCCAUAGAAUGUGGUGGAAGACUAAACAAGGAGUCGUAAAGGGAAGGUGGUGGGGGAAAGAGAGAGAGAGAGAGAGAGAGAGAGAGAGAGAGAGAGAGAGAGAGAGAGAGAUUUCUUUAGUGCAAGAUGAUUCUUUCAUAAUUUUUCUUUAGUGCAAGAUGAUUCUUUCAUAUUUUUAUUUUUCUUUAUUUAAAGGUUCCAAAGUGAAGAAAGGAUACGAUGGUUGAAGGAUUUUUUUUCUCGUCUUUCAGUUCAAAUACUUGGCUUCCAUGAUAGAGGAUUCUUUUUCCCUUCAUUUAAAGGUUCCAAAGCGAAGAAAUGAUGAGACGGUUGAGGAAUUUUUUUCUCAUCUUUCAGUUCAGAUACUUGGUUUCCACAAUAGAGGAUUCUUUUCUUCAAGCCUAGGGAUUCUUCCUCAAAUUAUUCAAAUUAUUAUUUUCUUCUUCAAAGUCAUCAUCUCCUUCCAACGCUAAAUCCAAACCCCAUGUCUCCCACCACGCUGACAUCUUAAUAAGCCACAGAUUAAACUAAUUCCUGCCGGUGAAGAUCUCUAACUCAAAUUUUCUAGAAGCCAUAGCGAUAAUUGCAUACAGACAAAAUAACCCUAGGCUUUGAUACUAGUUUUACAACUAAUGCGCAAACAAGAACAAAUGAAAAUGACUUAAGUAAAAUAUAAAUUGCAUAAAUAAAACCUGAACGCAGCGGAUUUACUUUGUCCAAUGGUAAAACCUACUUUAUGGGGAAAGUUAACAAGGUGGUUUCAUGAUAAUCGGCGAAAAAUGGAUUACGACCGCUCAAUUACACUCACUCAUAAGUGUUUCUCAAUCAUAGAGUUUCACAAGAAUCAGUCACAAGAAAUGAGUUUUCUCACACUCUCAGCUCUCUCGGAUGAUGAUUCUCAAUAGUCUCUAUGUCUCUCACAAGCUUUUAUACAUAUUAAGCACACUCAACAUGCUCAAAAGACCAACUGACCAAUAAAAUAGUUAUAUGCAAAGAAAUUAUCAGCCCGUAUUUGAUGACAACAUUGAUUUCAUCUUCAAUAAUGAAAAGAGUUAUUGUGAGAAAUUAAUGUCCCUUGUUGCAUCACCCACACUCCGAUUGGCAAGAGUCCAAUUUGGACUUCCUAAUAUGGCCUGAAUUGCUUUGCAAUUAAAUUAUGGGUCGAAUAUCAAAUCAAUCGGGAUUAACUUGGAUUCAUAAUCAACACAUAACAACGUCAUGGCUGAGUGCAUUUGAAGAGGCAAUUGAUCUCAAGCAUACUCGGCAAACUGAAUGUUAGCAAACAUCAGUUUAAGGGAGGGAUUGUUAAUAUAAUAGUUAUUUCCUUUUGCACGUGUUGUUGAUUUGGUUGUUCAGUUAUUAGAGUUAGUGGAGUCAUGUGUGUUGGUUAUCCUAGUUUUUAGGUGUUAGUGGGACAAGUGCUUUAUGGAGAACAUGGGUAGUUAUAGUUAUGGUGUGUUUUACGUUAUGUAUUUUGUCUUUUGUAAAAGACUUGGUUGUUCAGUACGUAAGAUGUUUUUUUAGUCUCAUCUCUCCUCCUUUUUAGCAAUUUAACAAAAUCUACAGGAAUAUUCGUAGAUAUUUUUAUGCUUAUUCAUGAAUCAUAUGUAUUCUUAGGGGUAGUUCCUCUGAGGCGGGUAUUUCUUUCGGUUAACGAAUUUGACUAAGAUAUAAGUAGGUGCGAAUAUUUUUCAUUAGUGGCCUUGUUAGUAAUUCCGGUUUUUUUGGUCCCUGGCCAACUAUUUUGUCAUCCGGUGACAACAUGAGUCAAUCUUGAGUUAUGUUGUCUACUGUCGCGGUUACACCUCUUGUAGAAAUCUACUUGCAAGGUGCUUUCAUUGGUCCCUUCUCUGAGAACCAUCACUUGUGUGCUCGGCCAGGGUACUGUAUGUUUUCCGUUAGUUCUUGUAGAUGUUUUAAAUACAUUUAUCCUAAUUUUAGAAGAAGAAUAUCGUGUCAUCGGGAACAAAGUAUAAGACACUGUAUGUUUCGUCACGUCAAAUUUUUACUUACCAAAGGCCAGAGUUAUUUCUCGAAGGGAGAAAUGUCAAAAAAACAAAAAACAUAAAAUAAAAUAAAAAACAAUAACAAAAGCGACAAUCCAGAAGGGUAGAACCUGCUUCAUAUUGACCCCAAAUCCGAUCUCCCCCAUUUGGCACGUCGAAGUCGUAGAAAUCACGAUGGAAGAUUAAAAGAGCAGUACAAGUGAAGAGAGAGAUUGAAAGAAGAAGAAAGGCGGCAGAGAUUUCUUUCGUGAAAGAUGAUUCUUUCAUAUCUAUAUUUUCCUGUUUCGAGGAUACUUUUUCGCUUUAUUUAAAGGUUCCAGGGAGAAGAAAUCAUGAGACGGGAGGAUUCUUUCAUUUAUUCCCUUCAUGUUGAGGAUUCUUCCUCACCUUUCAGUUCAGAUACUUGUCUUCUAUGACAGAGGAUUCUUUUCCUCCAGCAUGGGGGAUCCUUCUUCAAAUUAUUCUUUUCUUGGCCGAGGAAAAAUGAGAUGGUCUUCACGACCUUUCUUGGCCAACACCUUCGUAUAUAUUUUGGGAGUUUCACUCCAUCUCAUUCAGACAUCUGUCGCAUUUCCUAUCUCGAAUUUUCACCGUCCUUCACUGUCUUCUUCCAGCCAUUAGCGAUCUCUCUCUCUCUCUCUCUCUCUCUCUCUCGUUCAUUGUAUUCAUCCUAUUGAACCUUUCCUCUUCUUCAGUCGUUUCGUUUUCGGGAUCCAUCACUUCAGCCUUCCUCAGUAUAUAUAAAUUCUUGACUUCCAUUUCUCUCCAAAGAGGAAGGAAAGAAAAUCAGAAAGAAAUAAAAAAGCGGGAAAAUGGCGGAUAUUGUUCAGUCUAUAGCUUCCAAAGUGGCGGAAUACCUGGCGGCUCCAAUUGGUCGUCGAUGCGGCUACCUGAUAUUCUCCAACAGCUACGUUGGCCAACUGAAGGAAGAACUUGAGAAGCUGGAUGACGCGAUGGUUGGGCUGCAGCGCUCCGUCGAUGAUGCUGAAAACAACAUGAGGGAGAUAAAACGCGAAGUUAACAGAUGGAAGAAUGAUGCAGAGACUGUUGCCAACAAGGCACGCGGCAUGCUGGAUGACGAGGGAAGAGCCAAGAAAACUUGCUUCUGCGGGUGGCUUCCCAACCCAAAGGAGCGUUAUUGUCUCGGCAGGGACGCGAGGAAGACAGCCCAGGCCAUCCAGGCACUCAUCCCACAAGGUAAAUUCGAGAGGGUCUACUAUGAGAGUGAUCCACCGGGGCGUGUCGCUGGCACUCCUGAUGUGAAUUCGUCAGCUGGUGAUGGGGGUGACACUAUUGUGGACUCGCGAGCUUCCGUCUUUCAGGGCAUAAUGAAAGUUCUGGAUGAUGAGAAGCUAAGAGUGAUUGGGGUCUACGGGCCUGGCGGUGUGGGGAAGACUAAGCUAUUGGAGGAAGUCGAGAAGAACCUCAGUAAAGAGAAGGGACCGUUCCACAUGAUCGUUAAAGCAAAAGUGUCGCAGAUUCCUGUCUCGAAGAAUAUCCAAGAUGAGAUCGCUGACGCCUUGAAACUGGAUCUGAAGGACGUGCAAAGCGAAAGCGGCAGGGCAAAUCGUCUGAUGGAGAGAUUACAGCGGGAUCCAAGUGAGAAGGUUCUCAUAAUAUUGGAUGACCUAUGGGGGGAACUUGAUUUGAACGCGGUUGGAAUUCCUUCAAGAGACAUUAACGGGAAAUGCAAAUUGUUGCUCGCAUCGAGAUUUGAAGAUGUGCUGAAGAAAAAGAUGUCUGCCAAUAAAACAUUUUUUCUUGGAGGCCUAAACAACGACGAAGCUUUCGGGCUAUUUGCAAAGACGGUCGGCAACAGGCUCGAAGACGAUAAGGAUUUGAAAGCAAUAGCAGCUCAAGUGGUCAAGAAGCUUGCAGGUUUGCCUCUUUUGAUUAUCUCCAUUGCAAAAACCUUGAAAGAAAGCCCUGUGUCCGCAUGGAGAAUCGCACAGAUAGAAAUAGAUGAGUCAACUAAAGAAAUACAAGAAACGAUAGUGAAGUUGAGUUAUGGCCAUUUGACGACUGAGGACGCGAAGUGCUUAUUCUUGCUCUGCGGUCUUAUUGGCGGGACCAUUCAUGUCGAACUUCUAUGGGUAUUAGGCAUGGGGUUGGGCUUGUUUGAAAAAAUUAAUGAGACGAUACAAAAUUCAAGGGAGAGAUUGAAUAAUAUUCUGGAUAGCCUCCGUUCCAUUUGUUUGUUGCAGGAUGGAGGCGAUGAUAAGAAAAAUGUGACCAUACAUGAUCUUUACAGUGAGGUGAUCAUCUCAAAUGCAUUUAGUGAUCAGAAUUGCUUAAUUAUUAACAGCGAUUAUGGCUCAUGGCCGAGGGAAAAGCUUGAGAAAUGUUGGGCAUGCUUAGUGAAUGUUGGCAAUGGUAGGCGUGCUGAACUAAUGUUGCGUCAGUUUCCCCAUGUGAAGAUACUUAUGUUGUCGGAACAAUACGAUAUGCGAGAUUGCAGUAGAAUGGAUUUCACAUAUAUGGAGGAGCUCCGAGCCCUAUAUCUUUGCUCCAUGCAUAUCACCAGUUUACCUUCCUCGAUGGAAAUCCUCAGGAACCUCCGGUCAUUAGGUAUAAAUUGCUAUGUGGAGGAUGUGGCAAAUCUUGGCAAGCUCAAAGCACUGCGGAUUCUCAGCUUCGAUGGGUCUAUAAUUUCUAGACUGCCUAAAGAAAUCGGGAAACUAACAAAUCUGAGAUCAUUGAAUCUGAACCAUUGCUACUCGCUUAAGAUAAUCGAGCCUGGAGCCCUAAAAGGCUUAAUCGACUUGGAAGAGUUACAUAUGAAGAAAAGCUUUGAUCAGUGGAUGGGCAAGCAUGAAAUACCCUCGAAAUCGUGUCGUGUUGGGCUUGUCGAGUUGAAGAACUGGACAAAGCUAGCAUCUCUGGAAAUAUCGAUUUGUCAUCCCAUCAUACUCUUGGAGGAUGAUGACCUACCAUUUGAGAACCUGGACAAAUUUUGGAUCGACAUAGGAAAUAUUGGGUUUUGGACCGACAUACAAAGUUUUGGGUGGAGGGAAAAUGAAGGUUUGACAACCAUGCAGCUCAAUCUGGAAGGGUGCGAUAGUAUUCUUUCAAGAAAAUGGGUUAAGAAAAAUCUGCAGAAGACUCAAUGCUUAUAUUUAAGCGAGUUGAGUGAGUUCAAAGAGAGCCCUCGUGAAUUGUGCACCCAAGGAUUCCGAGAAGUGAAGUAUUUCAACAUUAAAGACAGCCCCUCAAUCAAGUACAUUGCCGGAUCAUCCAAUGGCCUCCCUCUCAUUGCUUUUGGGAAGUUAGAGUCUUUUUUCCUUGAAAAUCUUAUUAAUUUGGAGAAGAUAUGCCAUGGCCCCAUUGCGCCAGAGUGUUUCAACAAAUUGAAAGCCCUGAGGGUCAGACAAUGUGACCAAUUGAAAUACUUGUGGUGUCUUUCAGAUGUGCAAAGACUUGUACAGUUGGAAGAGAUUGAAGUGUGGAAAUGUGACUCAAUGCAAUCAAUUGUCACACACGAUGCAGGAGAAGAUAUAGUUUCUACCAAUAACAAAGUUGAGUUGCCUAAUGUACGUCAUCUAGCAUUGAAUGAGUUACCAAAUAUGACAAGCUUUUGCACCAAAGCUGAAAUCACUUUAGAGGAUAUUCCAAUCCAGGUAAUUUUCUUUCACUUUUUCCCUCUGUCAAUUUGUCCUAUUAGGAUGAGAUGAUAUUGGUGUUCACUCAACGUUAGUACAUAUUGCAUUUUAACUUUGAUUAUUCAUACAAUUUUAUUCGCGUUUUGAUUUACAAAUGAAAAAUCAUCUCAAAUAGAACACAGGUCAUAUUAUAAUUAGAGGGAAGCUGCUUUCCACAACUAAUUUUUUUUUUUUUCAACGGUAGAUAAUUGGACCGAUAACUAGGGUUUCUACUGUGACUAAUUUAUUAUUUAUUUAACAUUUUUAAUGAGUUGAAAAAAUAGUAGUGUGAUGAAUGAAUGAAAGCAAGAAUGAAUCUUGAAUGAAUAAAUAAAAUUCAAUAAUUUCAAAAUGAAGAAAGCGACGUCUAGAGAUUCAAUAAAUGGAUGGCGAGCAAGAAGCGACGUAACAAAGAAAGUCCCCAUGACUGUGCAGUUGUGCGGCACUAGCAGCAUGAUAGUGGUGAAGAUAUCAUCAUGAAAAUCAGAAGAGAAAUUCAUUGUUUUUUUUUUUUGUAUUUUAGCUCGAGAGUUUCACUUAUUUUCUCGUGAAAAUAACUUGAAUUGAACAAACUCACCUUUAAUGAGUCUCAUUGUGGUGCUUUGUUAGGUUUCUUUGCCUCACUUGGAAUCCCUGGUAAUGGUUGGAUUCAUUGCCCCAGAAAAGAUACUCUAUGGUGAACCCUUAAAAAAAAACAGCAAUAUGAAAUUGCUAAGGAUAGAAGAGUCUAAAUCCACGUCGAGUAUUCCGAAAGAUCGGAUACUCAAGCUGCCAAAUUUGGAGUCAAUGAAUAUUCAUUGUCGUAAUUCAUUAAAUAAUCGGUACGAGUGAACGAAAUUCAACAAUCUCAAAAUGAAGAAAGUGAGAUUAAAUGAAUGAAAUGCGAACCAAGAGCCACGUAACAAAGAAAGUCCACCUAAUUGAUGUUUCACCUACAUGCAAGUUGCAAUUGAUUCCAACACGUCAUGACAACCUCACCGUGUCAACAUUGUUCUGCAUCCAUCAUCCCUUUCUUCAGCUACUAAGGGGAUAUUUCCUUCUCCAUUCUUUCAGGCACGACAAAAAAUAUACAUGUUCCCCACUCUGAUCAAUUAAUUUUUGAAUAAAAUUAAGUUUUUGACAUUCUUAAGAGACAUCAAGCCCAUUCAUGCAUUCAAUAUCCAUUUGUUUCAUUGAAAAUUCAUUAUUGUUGAAAAAAGUUUUCUUGGUAAAUCGUUUUUCUAGAAAAUGAAUUGUUUUCUGUAUUUGGUUCUACCGAAAACGUAAUUUGAAAAGAUAUUUUAUGAUGUUUAUUAACGAAGCACAAAAAUUUACAAAGUGAAGACAAAAACUGUUAUGGAUCCUUAAUAGAAAAAAGCCCGAAUAAGUCAUAUUUACUUGUUCUUAAUGAAAACCAAUAAGUUAACAAAAAAUUUAUGAAAAAUUGAACUUUGAUAUGAUUUUGUUGUCAAUUUUGAAGUUCAAAAUAGAAAAAACAAAAGAAAAGAUAACCAAAUUAUGGUAGUUGUUUUGAAGAUGGGUAAAUGAUUUCAAAAGAAAAGAUAAAAAAUUAUGGUCAUAGUUUUCAAGAUCAGCUAAAGAAAAGAUAAAAAAAAAAAGAUGAUGACAGUUGAGAGAGAGAGAGAGAGAGUGUGUGUGUUGUGCGAUAGUAUUGCAUUUGCGACAUGAUAGUGGUGAGGAUAUCCUCAUGAAAAUGAUCCUUUUUCACAGGGAAUUCAUUUUUUCUGUAUAGUCAUUUUCUUGUAUCCAUGAGAAGUUUGAAAGCAAUUUCCUAAAAAUAGCUUUACUUGAAAGAAACUCACCUUUAAUGAGUUUCAUUGUGGUGCUUCAUUAGGUUUCAUUGCCUUGCUUGGAAUCCCUGGUGAUGGUUGGACUCCUUGGCCUAGAAAAGAUACUCUAUAGUGAACCUUCAUUAAAAUACAAUAAUCUGAAAUCGCUAGAGAUAGAGGAGUCUACAUCCACGUCGAUUAUUCUGAAGGAUUGGAUACUGAAGUUGCCGAAUUUGGAGUCAAUGAAAAUUGCACGCACUCCAUCUGUAGAAGUAGUUUUCGACCUAGAGGAGCUAAAAGUCAUCAAAGAAGUGGAGAUUCUCUCUCGGCUAAGUACAUUGCAAUUAUCUAAGUUACCAAACCUGCGGCACAUGUGGAAACAAAAUGUACAACUACAAGGAAUAUCGAUACUUCAUAACUUGAAGAAGCUCUUUAUCAAAAAUACAGGACUAUCAUUUCUCUUUCCGCUGUCUGUGGCUAAAUGUCUUAGAGAAAUUAGAGACAUUAAAGUGGUGAAUUGUCCAAAUAUGAAGGCGGUGAUUGUUGAUGAAGAAGGAAGAGAUGAUGGGAUAGAUGAUAUUGUAGAGUUCCCAUUAUUGGAGCGACUAUCUAUAAGCCGCUGUCCCACGGAGAAAUUCUUCUCACAUCCUCAUGGAACAAAAGAGUCAAUAACCACUACUUCAGAUUCACAAGAUACUUAUUUGGAUUCCUUCUUUGAUCAAAAGGUAUGAAUCCUUUCUUUAGAGCUUACGCCCAUAAUAGACACCCAUAAUAGUCAUAGGCACGCGAUUGGUGGGGCAAGUAUUAAUAUUUUUUUUUGAAGAUUUUUUUUAUUUGGCUUAUUAGUUAAAAUGUUUUUAUAAUUUAUAGCUACACUUGUUAGAGUAAGCCCAUUGAUGAAAAUUCUAUCCUCCACCGCAUUAGAUAGAUCGGUAUAUGAUUAGGUCAAAUUGUAAAAUUUUUCAUAGCUACCAUAUAAUGUACAACUCUUAUGAGCAGAUAAGUUUACCAAGCUUGGAGAAGUUAACACUCCACUCGCUAGGAUCCUCUUGCCGUGGCUAUGGGCUCGGCCUCGCCAUUGCUGGGCAAGGCGUAUGGCACAAUGAGCUUCCCAAAAGUUCCUCCGACAAAUUAGCCAAUCUCACCCCAAAACAAGAUUUGCAAUCACAAGGAACAUCAAUAUUUCAAAAUUUGAAGGUGCUCUCUAUCAACAAUACAGGGCUGUCAUUUCUCUUUUCGGUGUCUGUGGCUAAAUGUCUUAGAGAAAUUAGAGAGAUUGAAGUGGAGGAUUGUCCAAAUAUGAAUGCGGUGAUUGUUGAUGAAGAAGGAAGAGAUGAUGGGAUAGAUGAUAUUGUAGAGUUCCCAUUAUUGGAGCGACUAUCUAUAACCUACUGUCCCACGGAGAAAUUCUUCUCAUAUUCUCAUGGAAAAAAUGAGUCAAUAACCACCAGUUCAGAUUCACAAGAUACUUAUUCGGAUUCCUUCUUUGAUCAAAAGGUAUGAAUCCUUUCUUUAGAGCUUAUGCCCAUAAUAGUCAUAGGCACGCGAUUGGUGGGGCAAGUAUUAAUAUUUUUUUGAAGAUUUUUUUAUAUGGUUUAUUAGUUAAAAUGUUUUUUAUAAUUUAUAGCUACACUUGUUAGAGUAAGGCCAUUGGUGAAAAUUCUAUCCUCCACCGCAUUAAAUAGAUCGGUAUAAGAUUAGGCCAAAUUGUGAAAAUUUUCAUAGCUAUGAUCUGAUGUACAACUCUUAUGAGCAUAUAAGUUUACCAAGCUUGGAGAAGUUAAUACUCUACUCGCUAGGAUCCUCUCGCCGUGGCUGUGGGGCUUGGCCUUGCCAUUGCUGGGGGAGGCAUAUGGCACAGUGAGCUUCCCAAAAGUUCCUUCGACAAAUUAGUCAACCUCACCCCGAAACAAGAUUUGCGAUCACAAGGACCAUCAAUAUUUCAGAAUCUGAAGGUGCUCUCUAUCAACAAUACAAGGCUGUCAUUUCUCUUUUCGGUGUCUGUGGCUAAAUGUCUUAGAGAAAUUAGAGAGAUUGAAGUGGAGGAUUGUCCGAAUAUGAAUGCGGUGAUUGUUGAUGAAGAAGGAAGAGAUGAUGGGACAAAUGAUAUUAUAGAGUUCCCAUUAUUGGAGCGACUAUCUAUAAGCCACUGUCCCAUGGAGAAAUUCUUCUCAUAUCCUCAUGGAAAAAAUGAGUCAAUAACCACUACUUCAAAUUCACAAUAUACUUAUUCGGAUUCCUUCUUUGAUCAAAAGGUAUGAAUCAUUUAUUCAGAGCUUACGCCCAUAAUAGUCAUACGCACGCGAUUGGUGUUCAAGUAUUAAUAUUUUUUUGAAGAUUUUUUUAUAUGGUUUAUUAGUUAAAAUGUUUUUAUAAUUUAUAGCUACACUUGUUAGAGUAAGGCCGUUGGUGAAAAUUCUAUCCUCCACCGCCUUAGAUAGAUCGGCAUAAGAUUAGGCCAAAUCGUCAAAUUUUUCAUGGCUAUGAUCUGACGUAUAACUCUUAUGAGCAGAUAAGUUUACCAAGCUUGGAGAAGUUAAAACUUGAGUCGGUAGGAUUGUCAAAAAGGAUAUGGCAUGGUGGGCUUCCCAAAAGUUCCUUUGACAAAUUGGCCGAAUUCACCCUUGAAAAGUGCUCCAACCUACUUGAUGUCUUCCCUUCGACAAUCAUGGGCAGAUUGCAGAACCUCAAAAUAGUCGAAGUUUCAAGAUGUCCAUCCUUGGAAUCGUUGUUUGAUUUUGGAUCCCUUGAUUCAUAUACGGAACAAAAAAUUGUGUUGCUCCUCAAAUUGAAAAAAGUCGAGGUUUUAAGCUGUCCCUCCCUGGAAUCAUUGUUUAAUUGGGGGCCCCUUGAUUCAAGUAUGGAGCACAAAAUUUUAUUGCUCCCCAAAUUGGAAGAAGUGGCCAUGAGUGGAGUAGGAAGGCUAAGACACAUGGUGAUGAGUGAUUCCCAAACUGUUUUGGGUUUUCCUAAUCUAAAAGAAGUCUAUGUUCACAAUUGCUUUGAGUUGAGAUCUCUCUUCCCCAAUUAUACGAUUGCAACUCUAAAGAAACUCAACACCCUGUGCAUUCUCAAAUGCGAACAAAUGAAGGAAGUGGUUCCCAAGGAAGAAGGUGGUUGGUCCAAGGCAAAAGUGAUAAGUUUCCCUUCCUUAACUAUUUUGGUUAUUUGGCGAUGCCCCAACAUUAGAGCAUUCAUAUGGAGUCCUACAAGUGCCAAGAGGCAGUUAGGUGAAAUGAUUGAAGAAAAUGAUGAAUCGCUCCAACCGUUGUUCAAUGAUAUGGUUUGCUCUAUAUCUUAUUGUGAUCAUCUUUAAUCUCGCAUUAUCAUGUUUUAGAAUGAACAAUGUAAUAAUUUGUCCUACUUAUUUUCUUUUCUCACAUUAUCCUCGUGCAGGUUACAUUUCCCAAUUUAGAAAAACUAUAUAUUGGAGGUGUCCGAUGCAAAGAGUUAUGGAACAAUCAAAUUUCUGAUGAUUCUUUUUGCAAAUUGAAAUAUUUUAUAUUGAAGGAUUGUGACAAUCUCCAACAUAUUGCCCCAUCCCAUAUGUGGAAGAGGCUGCAGGACUGUCUGGAAACCUUAGAAGUGAAAUCAUGCCGUUCAAUCGAGAUCAUAUACGAGAGUGAUGGGACGGUGGCAAAAAGUGGUAAUUUGAGGACGCUGGAUUUGCGUGAUCUGGACAACUUGAGGCACAUUUGGCAGUACGACAAUCUCCCAAACAUCCCCUUCCUAAAUUUGAGAUACAUAAAGGCUGUGAGGUGCUCCCGUUUGGAUAUGCUUUUCGCCACCUUCACGGUGAAAUUUCUCGAGCAAAUCGAAGAGCUAGUGGUAGGGUCAUGUGAAGAUAUGGAACUAAUUGCUGGCCAUGAAGAAUGUGAAGAAGUGACUGGUGAGACAAUCACCUUCUUUGGGUUAAUCACUCUUAGACUUUACAAUUUGCCGAAAUUCAAGAGCUUCAUACCAGAGAAAUACUCUGUGGAAUUCCCAUCCUUGGAUGACUCGAGUAUAAUAGAGCUAGACCAAGGCAACCAAAGUGCGGAGGAAAGUGAGGGGGAAACUGAGCAGUUAGACCGCGUAAUUGAGGAGUUAGACAGCGAAAUUGAGGAGGUAGACAGUGAAAUGAGGAAGAGAGUGAGGGGCGAAUAAUUAGUUUUAUGAAGUGAGCCACAAAAGUUUGUGAAUGUUGCACCGAAUGGUGUCUGGCAAAACAAAAUGGACGUGUCUGGUAAUAUGAGAUUUUGUUUUUUUUUUCUUUUGCAGUCUCUUCUACACUUCCCGCAAAGUGUGUAACUGUUUUCUUGGCUAUUCAUUUCUUUGGUUUGUCUCCUGGGCUACAGUGAUGAGUGCCCAAUCAUUGGACCAUAAAUUGUGGGGUUAUGCUGUAUAAAUUCUAAUCAAGUGCAUUAUCAUGUUUAUAAAUUUUCCCGUAAUAUUAGAAAAUGUAUGUGCUAUUAUAUUAAGUAAUCGAAGUCAUGAUGAAUUACCUCAUGACAACCGUCACAAGAGGAAGAAGGAGAUCAAGGAGAUUGCAAUCUGGGAAAGCCCAUGUUCCUCCUCCCAUCUCUCUCUCUCUCUCUCUCUCUCUCUCUCUCUCUCUCUCUCUCUCUCUCUCUCUCUCUCUCUCUGUGACUAUUGAUGGAGGCCGAAACUAUUUGAGUUUGAGGGACGGUAGUAUGAUUUCGAGUUCGACAAAGGUUGAAUGUAAGUUGAAAUUGGUGAUAACAAGGAGUCCUUUGAGUGGGUUGAGUAUUUGAAUCUUCAUGAUUCUAAUCAAGGUAAACUUCGCUCUGUUUCUCCUGGAGGAAAGGAUCGAGUGCUUGAUUCCGCCGGCGUGAAAUCUGGAACUUACUGUCCUGAUGAACUCAUUCAGGUGCCCUUGACUGAAACACCUACCAUAUGUUUGAUUGAAUUCCUGAACGGUACUGGCAUGCAUAUUUUGCAAGUAUUCUUGCAUUGUGAUGAUUAUCUGGCAAUGGCGUGCUUAAAUUGAGAGUUCUCCAGGGCAUAUGGUAUUAUUUUCGUUGAUGUUGGUUGAACUCUCCCGGUUGUGCUCAAUGCUCCCAUGACUGAGAAUUUGAACAUGCCGUGUUGGCUUAAUUUACUUAGAAUUAUGUUUUCCUUAUCAAUCUACGAUGUUGUAUAUGGCUAUUUUAAUAUUCAAGACAAUGACCAUCUUUGAAUUGGAAAUUGUGAAAUCCUUCUUCGAAAUGUGCAUCGUUACUGUGUACUUCAAUGAAUUCCUGUGCGGACUUCAUCCUUUGCUUGAUCUCGCAUGUAAUUGGUUUCGUAUGCCUGGAUGAUUUUGCCUUGCAUUUCUCGAUCUGUUCAGUGAUACCUCAACCCCUUCACAUCGCCAAUGAUAUUCGGUUCAUUUUUUUGGGCGAAUGCAUGGGCCUGUACCUCUUUGAUUUUCUUCAUUUACUAAAGAUUCUGAGGUUCAUUCCUCGAUGUCAUUUGCUUGUAACUUCUCUGUGAAUGGCAUGUGGCACCCCUCGACAGCCCCUGAUCCGAUAGGGUCGCCACAGUUCGCUUACCUUUCACUUUCCCUAUUAACAUGUUACUUUGAUACCAUUUCAAUUGCAGCAGGUCCAUACAACCAUGGGGGUUUACAUUUUUUUUUUUUGAUAAGUCCCUUGCGCAAUUCAUAAAGCAGAAGCACAUCCAUCAACUCCCUUCCCUAUAUUCAAAAAACGAUGCACACCAACUAAACAUUUUAUAUAAGUCAAAGCCGUACACUCUUAUUUACAUAACUUGAUGGAUAUCAUUAAUCGAUACAUCAAAAUGCCAUAGUCUUUCUAUACUUUGCUAUAUUUCAAAAGAUGACCGACAUCUCUUCCAACAGUCAUAUACUUAAAGUCCAUCGAUCAGUGUCGGCGUUCAAAAGUUCCUUCCUCUGCUAUCCUCCUCCUCGCGGCCAUAUCCAACCACUCGGACCAUCUACUGGUGGCGGUGGCGGCAGAGGUAUGUUGUCUAGUCUGAAACGUUAGUCUCCAAACGGGGUGAGUACAACCACUCAGCAGUAAAAGAUUCAUCAAGCUAUAUCAAGCAUUACUAUUAAUAUCCAUAUUCAAGUAUGGUAGACAAAAUAGGCAAUCCAUAAAUGAGUAUGCAUCCCAACCAUAUAACUCUUCGAUGCAAUGACUAGUGCAUUUCCAACCAAUAAGAUGCAUCGUGUCCAGCCACACAAGUCCCGAUCAUGGGGCCAAACUGUGAUGACAUGUCCCAUUCCAUGCCUUACAAUUUAGUCCCAUAACCAGACCACACUCACACUUAAUAUAAUCAUCCGUUUUAUCAUUCAAAAGGUUUCAUCCCCCAGAGGACCAAUGUUUGCAUCCUUCUGGGAUUCCGCACCCAACCUGGCAUCGCGGAAGCCUCCGGGCAUGUAUUCAAAAUACAACCAGGCAUCCAAAGGGCAUCGGCUCAUUCGAACCUCUGGGCAUCUCGCACCCCACCUGGCAUCACGAGGAAUCACUGGGGACCAUAGACAUGGUUACCCCUAACCUUCGAGCAUGCAUCAUAAUACAACCCCUCACCCUCCGAGCAUGUAUCAUAAUACAACCGGGCAUCUCGACACUCCCGGGAAAAACCUUUGGGCAUGUAUUCAUAAUACAACCAGACAUCCAAAGGGCAUCGACUCAUUCGAACCUUUGGGCAUCCCGACUCCCGGGGCAUCGUUGACCCGAGGGUUCAACGGUAACAGUUUAGCAUUUUAAUUCACAAAAUAUUCUCAAAUGCUAAAACAAGACGUCUCAUGGACUCUCUAUCACAUCUCAAUAUUGCACAAAUAUUUACAGCCAUUACCAUCAUAUCACAUAGCCAUUCGAAAUACCUUCACUUUCGGAUACUUUUGUAAAAUUCAAGAGCAGAAUAGUCCAAUUUUUACAAUGCACAGUUCUGGUAGGAAUUUUGAAAUAAAUACUAAAUGGACUCAGAAAAUUACGAAAGUUUGACAUGUUAUCAAUGAGACCUAAAGGAACAAAUUUCAUGAAGAGCACAAAGUCAAAUUCCAUACACAUCGAGAGUAAAAACUUCGGUAUUUCUUGCUACAGUUUCUGUAAAAUUUCCAGACUUAGCAUUUCCGUAUGAAAAUCAUUUAGUCGGCAAAAUCUUGUCCAUUUAUGCUAAAUUUUUUAUAUGUUACUCUCACAGAUGUGUUCUCCAACUUUUGUUAAGACUUCGAAAUCAGAUUUUGGCUAGAAAAUUCCAGAAAAAUCGAGAAAUCACUGAUGGUCAUGCUGUUCUUGCGAAAACAGUUUACUAGCCUAAAGAGGACUCUUCCUAUACUUUGAGUUUCAGUAUCCAACUUCCACAACCAAGAUUUAGAAGCACGUUACACCACAAUACAGCCUCUUUACUUCUCAAAAAUUCACCAUAGCUAAAUCCUUGAGUUCUCAUUUCAAUUUAAAAGCAAAAUCCACCAGAAACUUGCUCCAAUACCUCGGCCAGCUUCAUCUCAUUCAUCACAAACAACAUGCAGCUCCAAAUCUCACAUUUUCUCACAUCUACCCACUCUUCACUAGAUAAAACAGCAAGCAAAACAUAGGUUGAAGAACUUCUACUUGCCUUAAACUCUCUCACUCGGUGGCUGUCCGAAAAUGGAGGUUCGGGGGUCGCGGCUUGACCGGUCGGCGACGGGAACCGGUGGCGAGGCGGCGGCAGCUCGAGCACGGCAGAAGGUGGUCCCUUCUUCUUCUUCGCCGUUCACCCACCUGCUGCUCACUCGCGAAUUUCCUCGCUCGAUAUCUCUCUCUCUCUCGGUUCUGCUCGGUCACUCUCUUUAGUUCACUUUCACGAGCAGAUUAGCUGCUGGUUUUGCUAAAAACCAGCCAACAAAGAGGGGGAUUUUCGGUGGAUGCAUGCAUGGAGGACAGGUGGAAGAAGUGUGUCUCCAGCUGGGUUUUCUUGACCUUCGCUGGUUGCUCCACACGAAGCAACAUGGCCUCCUCUGGCCUUGCUUCUCGAUUACCAUUUACCAUGGCCGCUGGUUUUUACUUAAAACCAGUCAACUUAAGGGGAGUUUUUCCAUGGUUUGGCCGCAUGAAGGGCAGCUGGAUUCGUACGUGUCCAGCAUGCAUUUCUUCCUUCGACACCUUGCUCCUCCUUGCAACGUGUCUUCAGCUAUUUAAUUAAUUCUUUUCUUAAUCCCAAUUUGCUGGCCGACCGUGAGAAAGCAACGUGGCAUCAAUGGUCAGAAAUUUUCCUCUCAUAGUUGACUAGGGUGUCGACCAAAUGGAGAGAGGUUCGGGCAGCUUUUGGGCGCAGACGAUUCCUCCUUUUCCGCAUGGGUGUGCAUGUCCCUCAUGCACGGCUGAAUUCAAUUUCUUCGGCUCAGAAUUUUAAUUAAUAGAAGUCCAAAAUUUUCCUCUCAUUUCGUAUACAUUUUGGUGGUACAAUUGUGUAGUGUCAUCAAAGAAAUUUGCACAACUCAAUAAGGUUGAAUGUAGUACUAACGAUGACGAAUUCCAAUAGUAGCUUCAUCAAUCCAUGACGUUUCAUCAUCAUUCAUUUUUUUUUCUAAGAUCGACAAAAUAUGGAUGAGAUUGGUCUCACUAAUAACCUUAUGUAAAGAGGCUUCUGACAAUACUCUAGUCUAUCCCACAAUUGGACUAUUUUCUAAACGUGAGGUAUCGGUCCAUUAAUGAAAUAAAACGGAGUUCACACAUGGUGCCAACGACACCAUUCGACCGUACUUCCAUAAUCAGUCAUGGUCAUCACAUAUCCGAGGGUUGUCGAAAUUCUCGGGUGCCACAUGGCAUGCGAGUCCCUGUCAUACUGACAUUCGAUGGCUGAGUGCAUAAUGAGUUGUUUAUGCCAUGGCCGAAUGCUUUGCUCGAUUCAUUGUCCACAUUGCCGAUUUGUAUGCAUGUUCAGUUGUUGCUGAACGAGUCUCAUCCAUGAGAAUUGAUUGUAGAAUGUGGCUCAAUGUUGUUUUCCUGUGUUACGUUGCUAUGCGUUUCAGUUUUUGUGGCAUGACGUUCUUUGAAAAUGUCUCCGCUGGAGCCACCCGUGGGUAAUUAGAAUGCGGUCUUUAGCAUUUGGUCCCAAGAGUUCCUGUUGUGUAAAAUCAAAGUUGUUUCCAAGUUAUUCAAGUCACAUUAGCAAUAUAUGUUGGAUUCAUGUCGACUCCAUGUUGAUUUCUUAUAGAGUUCAAUGUGUUUUUUGCAUCAUAUGUGGGCUAGGAUUGGAUUUGAUAGAUCUUGGUUUCAUAUGAGGGUUAAUUCGGUAGCACAUGAUGGUACAUCGACAUGUAGAUGAUUUCUCAUCAUUUUGUAGUUACUAGUCCCUAUCUAUCUAAAUCAUGCUCAUGCAUCGUCAUUCUACUACUCGUGUUUCUCAAUUUUUAGUAGUUGAAAUUACCUCAAUAUCGUGAGCCAUAUUGCUUUAGAAUCCAAUGUGAUUAAUUUACAUAUUUGAUCAUGUUGUAAUCGUAUUGGGAAGAGUGGUGGGAUUUUAGGAUUUUGCCUCCCACCUAAGGAAAUGUUUGGAAACUAGCUGUCACAACCAAAAUUUCGGAUGCAUCACCUAAAAUUGGACUAAUGGAUUGUUAAGCCUAAACUUAGCUCGGCUCUCCCAAGCCUAUACCAAUUCGCGACUUAGGUUCAAAUAUCUAGCAUGCAAAAGGGAGUCGCCAUUAAUCAAUUUAAUGAAGGUCGAUUAGACACCUAAGUAAAAUAAUACUCCUACAAACCAUAUUUUGGGUACGGGGACUUGGUUACACUAGACUUCUCUAAUGCCCUUUAGGUACCAUUUCUUUUAUUUUUAAAAAUAUUUUUUGCAGGCAGCUUGGAUUGAUUUUAAAUAUAUUUUCCUAACACAUGAGGUGAUCAUAAGGAUGUGCAAACCACCAAUUUAAUACUCAAUAAAACAAUGAAUAAAUUGUAAACUUACCUUAUAUUAACGAAAGCAUCUGCAACGUUAAAUCAAAAUUCACAUCAUCAAUCCUAGAUAUGAUUUCUAAUUAACACGCAAUCACUCAAUUUUUAUUUUCAGCAACCACUCAAUUUUUAUUUUCAUUUAUUUAACUUAUUUAACAAGAAUCAUGCUUUAUGCAAUGCGUGCUACUAAUUUAAUAUGAAAUGAUAUGAUAUGGCAAUAUCACCUAAACUAUAUGACAUAAUAAACAUGCAGUCUAUUCAAAAGAAAUGCAAUAAUUAAAUGUGUAAUCUAAAUUAACCUAAUGACUUAAUUCUAAUGACGGGCAAUUUCUAAUUAAAUGAACCUAACAACAAUUACUAAAUGAUGUACGUUUCAUGAACCUAAUUCUAGAUGACAUGACUUUUUUUGUAUUUUUUUUAUGAAAAUUCGUAAUUAAAUCACUACAAAAUAAAAAUCUAACUAAAGUGAAAUGCUAUCUAUUCUAAAUGCCUUCUAAACAUGCAUUUAAAAAAAAUAAUAACUAACCUAUCAUGCAAUCAAUCCUAAUCUACAUGAAUGCAAAUGCAAUUUUUUGUAAUUUUGGGAUAAACAAAACAAUUAAAAGAUAAACAUCAUGAUCAUCAAAAAUGCUAUCCACCAUUUGAAUCGAAAUUCAAACUUGACUAUUUCGCUAAUAAAAUCGAUAAAUUGAUCUUAAACCUUAAAAAUCAAGAUAUCAAUUUUACUCCUGGGUGAAUAAUUAUUCCAUUUAAAGCCUUAUGGAUGGGAUUAAAAAUUCGUGCGGUUGCGAAUUGGAUGCUACGAUUUCAAUUAGGCAUCAAGAAAUAUUUCAAACAAUGAGACAAAAUAUCAAAAACUAAAUAAGAUCAAAUAAAUCUACCUAAAAUAAAUCUCUACCUAAAUUUGAAAUUUUACAAAAAAAUCCAAUUGGUAGAAUGGACAACGAUGGAGGCUCGGCACGGCAUGGCUCAAGGGCAGCGGCUGUGGUGAAAGGUCACCCAAGGAAAGGUUGUUGCUAGUGGUGCUAAAGGACAAGUAUUGCUCGAAAAUUCGCUGGGAUUGCCGGGGCGGUGACUGGAUUUGGUCAAGGAAGACCUACAAUAAUAAAAUUCAAACGAAAGCAAAAUAACUGGAUCGGUGGAGGUCUCGGGCACGUCAAGGACGCCUGGAAAAUCUGCAAGAAAGUCGUCAGGUGCGGCCAAGCUGCAUGCGCAUGUCAGAAAGGGACGGGCUGGUGUGGCAAAAUUGGCCGAGAAAGCUGAAGAUCAUGCAAGAGCAGACAUGCAAAGAAGCAUAUGGGCUAGAUUUUGCUAUGGUUCAGAAAUAUGUAUUUUCUCUCAUUCCAUAUUGAUCUCCAAGCAUCGCCAAGUGGAGCCUUGUUAGAGCCGCCAAAAUCUGAUCGUUGUGAGCUUUCAACCAUCGUCAUCGGAGGCUCCUUGGCGUGUGAUCAUCCGAAGGUCGUACCUCGGCUGGACAGCAAAUCGUCAUGGACUCUCGGGACAGCAACUUCGUCAUCGGCACAGCAAAACCAGAGCAGCGGUGUUGUCCUACGGCAGCGGAAGACGUCUCGUCCAGAGGGAGCGCGGCAAGAGGAACGUCCCAAUGGUGCGGCCUCUCUGCCGUGCUAUGGGUUCCGAAUUGCCGGCCCUCUCUUUGUUGACUAUUUUGUCCUAUAGCCGUCUCUAUUUUUCACGAGAUUGUGGCCAUCAUGAUGGUCAGAUAAUGGGAUAACCCAUGUGACCAUCCAUGAUAACGAUGAAUUGUAAAAACAAUAUAGUGGAGUAUGUGAUUUGCUCGAAGAAAAAGGGGGCAGAAGCGUGAAUGUGAUGAGGGGAGGAGAGAAAUAUUGUAAAAAGUCUGAAUUGACACAGUCGCUUCUCUCUCUCUCUCUCGCUACCUCUCACACUUUUUCUCUUUUUUCGUGAAUGAACGCGCUCUCCUCAACGUGGCCGCUUGUAUCAAUUGUGUGGCCCCAAAACUGUACGUGAACAAUCUAGGGUUUCAAUUUUUCCAAAUCAAUAUCUACAGAGAUUUUUUUUUUCAAACGCAAUAUUUAUUUUACCGAACGCAAUAUUUACUUUUCCACUUGCUCUAUCCAAAAAAGAAUUCAUCAUAUCCUAAAAAAUUUCAAAUUUCUAUUUUCACAAGAUAAUCUUUUAUCAUUAAAAAAAAGGGAGCUUGCACCAAUUUGCUCACUUUGUGGGCUUAGUCCGACCUGCCAAGUUAAGGUUCAAAAUCAUUAAUUUGAACCCAUCCAUCACCGGUCCAAUAAAUAAAUGCAAAAAAAUGCAAAUUAAAAAUAAAUGCACAUAAAUCUAUAUGUUAUGCAAUUAAUAUUUUUUUAGAAUUAAAAUUAACCUCUAAUUUUUAAUGCGAUAAAUGAUUAAAUGGGUUGCUAAAAUUUAGGUGUCAACACUAGCCAAAGGACCAACUUUACCGUCUUGGCUCAAAUGGAUCGGAUAUUGCAUUAGGUGGCCUCUCAUUUCCAUGGGAUUAUGUUGGUCCUCAUCCGCAUAAGCCCUCCAAUUCCGUUUGGCUAUUUUGUUCACCCUCUUCAUGAGUUCAAUGCUUUGCAACUCCCUGAAGCUGUCCUCUAAAUCUCCCAAGUGCUCCACCCAAAGCGACAUCCUAUAACCAUAAGCCUGCACAACAUCAUUAAAACAUUAUUAGUCACAAGCUUGAGUUUUUGAUAAAUGUCGAUGCACUCGCUGGGUGUUCAGCUAGUACCUGCUAUUAAAUAGAUGUAACCACAUGGAAAUAUGACAUACUUGAACUUCAUACACAAUUCCAUUGUUGUGCCCUUUGAAUCCAAAAUCAGUGGUAUUAGCUAAUGCAAAAUUCUCAGUGGGACCCACAUACACUCUACAUCUCGCGGCCCUCUGCAGAAUUCUCUGCCUCUCUUCCUGUCUCUCCACAUCUAAUGAACUGAGUCGCUUUCCUUUUCAGCUCAGGCUUGGCGCGCUCUGAAGCAGGGGGCCAGAACAGAAACAGAGGACCUUCCAACACGGAAAAGGAGCUCAACAAAUUCUCUCUAGCCCUCAGUUAUUCCUUUGAUCUUCAUUCCCUCUUCAUUGUCCUCUCUGUCACCCUCCAUCCACCAACAGCUGCUGCCACACCUCCAUCGCUGGCCACCACAGGACAUGUCACACUGAGAAGGGGCAAGAACAAACAGCGUUGAUUAAAGGAACUCGGGUGAUUUUUGAGCAUUUAUAAGGCUGAGAAGAACAGAGGGCGAGCUUUAAUUGACACCGUAGACUGAUGCUUCAACGAGGAUUAUCACCGUAGACAAAUGAUGUGGACAAACAUGAAGAGAUUGUUAAGAUGGAGCUGACUGAAUAGUGAUGGCUAUGUUCUUUUUACUGAAGGCAACGGGAAAGAUACAGUUGGAGUUUUGAUUUGGAUCCCUCUUCCUUGGUGGCUCUUAUACCAUGGAAAUAUUUCUAUGAUUUGCAAGCGAGAGAGAGAGAGAGAGAGAGAGAAUCAACAAAUACUACACCUUUACUCAAUAGCCGAAUAAAAGAGGAUAUAGUAGCUCCACUUAUAAAGCAUGAGAGACAUUAACAAAGCUUCGAUUACCUUAUUUGUGACCACCUGCUAACUGUCGACUAAUUUUCAUAAAUAUACUCCAACACAUAUCACAAUUGGAGCAAAUACUUGACAGUGUUUUUGCAUGUUUUUCCAGGAUGUUAGUGCGUCAUUUUCAAAUAAGUAUCCACAACUGUACAAGGAGGGAAUACAGAAUUCAUACUUCAACUGUAGAGUUGUGGCAGCCUGGUCUGUUUCUGCGGUCUACCAGUCUCUCGUCCUUUUUCACUUUGUGACAGCUUCUAGUUCUACUGGUCUAAAUUCAUCGGGAAAAAUGUUGGGCCUCCAGGACGUCAGCACAAUGGCAUUUACCUUUAUGGUUGUCACUGUAAACUUACGCCUUCUUAUGAUGUGGAAUUCAAUAACAAGAUGCCCUCAUUUCGCUGUCAGUAGAAGCAUCCUUGGGAUGUUUGUUUUAUUUUAUAUGUUCACUUAUGAUGGUGAGUCUUCUCCCUUUCUGGGGGUUCUUUUCUUCCCUUCACCUCAUCUAGUCCUCUUUUGGAUAGCAAUUAUUCUGAUAUUCGUCUUAUUACUUGUAUGCGCAAGAAAGUCUCUACCAUGUCAUCCACGUAUUAAUGAGUACAGUCUACUUCUACCUGACAUUUCUUCUGGUUCCAAUUGUCGCAGUACUUGGUGACUUCUUAUGCCAAGGGCAAGGUUUCAGACUCAUAUCUGGCCCAACAAAAAACAGUCGGGCUUUUUUGUUCUUAGACAUAUUUCUCGUUUAGAAACAGAGAGAAACACUGUAACAUAGUUCUCAAGUAAAUUUGCUCAAGAAUACUGAUUGCGAAUCUGCAAUUUCGCUUUUCUAAAAGUAACAAAUGUCGUUUGUCAUGGAAAUUAUAAUGGAGGACCUCCUUUUUCGCUCAAAUAGCCUUCAUUAUCUUCAUUGUCGAUUUCGUGGGUCCUUUUUUCCCUAUUUGCUCCGAGACAAGAUACAGGGCUUGUCAUGUCCGUACUUUUCCAGUUUCUCAGAUGGUUCAUCAUUUGGGAAUUGUAUCUGCUUCUCUCUCUCUCUCUCUCUCUCUCUCUCUCUCUCUCUAACCCCUCUUCCUCCUCUCUGGGCUGAAGAUGGUCUUAUUUCCGGAAUGCGGUUACAGGAUAAAUCCAUAUAUCAGCCUUAAUUGGUAUAAGUAUUUAUUGGCUUGUGGGAACUUGACAGCUCGCUCAUCUCACGCGAUUGAUUUCUGGGUUCACCAUAUUCUAUUUGGCGGAUUCUGUUUAUUAGCAAUGAGUGUUUUCUUUAAGUAAUUGCAAUGGAUACUUCCUCUGAUUAGUUUCUUUUUUUUCCUUCUUUUUUUUCACGCACUAAUUUUUCAUGCACUUGGUUAUAGGAUUCAAAGGUGGUUCUUCCCAUAUGAUUAUCAGAUAUUAUAGGAAUUUCUAUGGGCACAAGCCACGGGAUGAGGACAAAGCCGAAGACAUUGCCCAGGAGCUCUGAUUUACAGAUAUGUUUCUUAGUACUGUAAAAUGAAAUUUUUAGAUUGUUCGAGUUUCUCUAUUAUUGUCAGAAUCACAAGCAUACGAUCUUUAGGAUUCUGCCUUCCAAAAUUCGUACCCAUCCCUAAACGGAAGGAAAGGGAGGGAUGUGAUGAUAACAGACUUCUGGACUCCUUCCAGACGCCAAGAGUAUCGCACGUUUCAGAGCAGUAGGAAAGCGGCUUACGUUAAUUCUGUUCGUGCAUUUAUGGGCUAGUUCUAGCCCAACCGCAAAGUCCUAAAUGCUUUUCAGUAAACGUUUUUUUUUAUAUCUUCCUGUUCAUUGUUUCUUGACAAAGCUCGCUUCACAAAGGAGGCUUACCUUUUAUUACGAGCCACGCUGCUCAUUUCUCGCAUUGUGACUGCUUAUAUGGCUGCAAUAAGGAGUUCCUUUGCCUGUUCAUUAAUUCUCUGGUCGCUUUUUCUCUGGUUGAGUGGGAGAUCUGUUAACUGUUAGGUUAUUUUAGGUGCUACUCUGGGACCCAUCGCUGGCUGCAUCCCGAAGUUGUUUGAGGAUGACAAACUGACCAUGCCUCUGUCGAAAAAGUCGGGUGGUUUCCUAGGAAUUGCUAAAAGUGUGAUCGUUGAAAGCACCUCAUUAGUUGAAGAAGGACAUUUUCUCAGAUUUUUAUAACUGAUUCCAACCGUGUCCUAUGAUCCCCUUCCAACACAGAAGUCUAUUAUAUUCUGUAAGCAAAAGCCGUUGCAAGAAUCGCAUAUAAUCACCUUAACGAUGGACCAAAUAUCUCAUGAGGAGCUGAUGAACUUGGCCAAGUUUCUGAGACACUUGACUGCUGGGAUUCGUCCAACUGUUCUUCAUUACCAUCGUCGCCAUCAUCAUUCUCGAAAACCAUCUGUAUCCCAUGCUUUUUCAGCGAGAGCCCAGGAAAGUAUGGUGGGUCUCGCAGGACUAUAUCUAUUCCUGUCUCCUUUGAACAGCCGAACCAUUGGCUUGAAUUCUGGAUGUCUAAUCUAGUAAAGCUGGUCUUGGCUUGUGUCAUUUAAUGUCUGACGUGUCUUGGACCUUCAAGCCUAAGAAGCCUUCCUUUAAUGUCCUCGAUUGCUGGUAGCAGAAUGUUUGCCCGGUUUGCACUGUCCAUAGAGACAACAACAGCGAAAAUCAUUCCCUCUAACCUCGCGGUUCUUCUUCGGAGCAGCAAAAUGAGGAACUUCCUGAGAAAACCAUCCAGGAAUCUCACUCCCAGGGACACUCGAGUUGUGAAAAUGCUUUAGAGCAACCUGAAAUUUCCCAUGGAAAAAACACAUUUUAAGGUCAAACUAUCUGCAUUCAUGAUUGAAGAUACUGAACAAAGGUGGAGAAACUGAACUGGUGAUCUUCAUCCAUCUUUUUGCCACAGUUCAAGUAGUUUUCCCAAAAUGGGAGUUAUGAGUUAUCUUUUUCACCUUUUCAAUUCGUCUCUCCCAAGAGUAAAAGCCUCAGAGAUUUCAAUAUCCGGAGACCAGUGACGUCAACUAGAUUGCUGCAAUCAGUAAAGUUUGGCUCCUUCAAAUCAGUAGAAUUCAGAUGAUCGGCGUAAAUUUGAAAUUGAUUAACCUCAACUCGGGAUAGUUCUCGGAGAUGAUGGCCACGACUGCGCUGAGUCGCGGAUCGCCUCCAGAAGGCCCAACGCUAUCUCCUCCCCUCGCUUGAGGCCUUCUUCAUCGAGCCGGAGCUGCAGCACGCUGCUGAGCUCGUGCUUGCGGUAGAGGCAAUCCACGAUGCCAUGGCAGGGGUGUCGGCGCCGCAAGAGCUGAGGAAGACGUCGCAGCGGAAGCGAGAUGAGAACAUAGCGUCGUCCUCUUCGGGAUCGUCUGUCAGCAUCGUUGUCUUCGGCUUCUUGGUCGGCCUCACUUGGGAGUCGCCGGUCUUUUGACAGAGGCGGUCCAUGCAUUGAUUGGGGCACCACUUAACGAUGAGCAAGGAGCAACGAGCACCUUACUGAUAGAUUUGUGUUCCCUUUGAAAAAACUAAAGAGCGAUUUCCACAGCAUGGGAAAUGUGCUGUCUUAAUUUUUAAUUGACAAAUCAUGGCAUUCUCGUUAGUUAAAGGAAAAAUUAUCAAUGUAUGGUGAUCAAUUCAAUUUUAAAUUUAUGUAUUAAUUUAGUAUUAAGCAGUCAUAAAUAAUUUAAUCGUGUCAAUUUAGUCUUAAAUUUUUUAAAAAUUAUAAAUGUAAUCUUUUUGGGUAAUUUUUGUUGGAAAUUUUCUUUCUUUUUAUUUUAUAGUUUUCUUCUUAAGGUCAGCAAGUCCACCGGUCACUGGCCGAGGGCCAGCAGCCCAGACACCCCUGUAAAUAAAAACAAGGAUGGUAAAGAAAAUUAAAAGUUUUAAGGAAAAAAAAAUUCAAGUACUCAGAUUGAUAGUUUAUGCCAUGACAUAGCAACAUGUCUCCUCGAUACGUAACAAAAAUUAUCACGACAAGGAUGUUCAUAUCUACUCCGGUUAAAUGUAGGAUCGCAAGUUUGUCAAUUUAGCCUGAUUUGGUUUUCAAUUUCAAUCCUUUAGACUAAAAUUAAUUUGACCUUGGGGCUGCACGCCUUGCACGUGCUGGUGUCGGAGAACGUCAGCACCUCCCUGCACCGACGGUUGCGGCACGCCGACGUCUUCUUCUCCCUUGGAUCGCAGUCCCCGAACCUCUCUUGCCUCUACAAGAUGACCUCUCUGGUCUUGAUCUGCACAUGAUUUGCUCGUUUGCAUGUAAAAAAAAUGUGCGAUUCAGGAUCGAAAAAUUAUUGAACAAAUCUUUCUUUUCGUAUAAAUUUUUAAUGGAUUGGCCACCAAAAUCACAAACUCGAUUGCGUCAUGAUCCGACGGAAGCAAUCGAAGUGAUGAAUUACCUCACGACAACCGUCGCGGGUGGAAGAAGGAGAUCGAGGAGAUUGCAAUAUGGGAAAGCCCAUGUUCCUCCUCCCACCUCUCUCUUUCUCUGACAAUUGGUUGAGGCUGAAACUGUUUGAGUUUGAGGGAUAGUAUCAUGAUUUCGAGUUUGACCAAGGUUGAAUGUGGGUUGGAAUCGGACAUAACGAGGAUUUCUUUGACUGGGUUGAGUAUUUGAAUCAUCAUGAUUCUUAUCAAGGUAAACUUCGCAUGCUCUGUCUAUGCUAGAGGUGGGGACCGAGUGCUUGAUUCUGCAGGCGUGAAAUCUGGUUGAGUCCAAGAUUGUCCUAAUGAACUCAUACACGUUUCAAUGAUUCAGUGAUUGUUUGGAUGCGCACCUCUUCCUUAUCAUUGCAUUUAGGUGCCUCUACCGAAACGCUUACCCCAUGUUUGAUUGAAUUCCUGAACGAUAUUAGCAUGUGUAUUUCGCAAGCAUUCUCGCAUCGUGAUAAUUAUCUAGCAAUGGCGUGCUUAAACUGAGAGUUCUCCAGUUUAUGUGACAUUAUUUUCCUUGAUGUUGGUUGAACUUCUAAAGUUGUGCUCAAUGCUUCCAUGACUGAGAAUUUGAACGUGCCGUGUCGGCUUAAAUUUACUAGGAAUUAUGUUAUCUAUAUCAAUCUACGAUGUUUGUUUGUGGCUAUUCUAACAUUCGAGACAAUUACCAUCCUUGUACUGGAAAUGGUGAGAUCCUUCUUCGAAAUGUGCAUCAUGUGUUGUGUACUUCAGUAAAUUCCUAUCCUGACUUCAUCCUUUGCUUGAUGUCGAAAGUAAUUGGUUUCGUAUGCUAGGAUGAGUAUGCCUUGCAUUUCUGGAUCCGUUCAUUAAUACCUCGAUACCUUCUGUAUAUUAAUAAUAUUUGAUUCUUUUUUUUUAGGCGAAUGCAUGGCCUCUACCCGUUUGAUUUUCUUCGUUGACUGAAGUUCAUUCCUUGAUGUCAAAACUGACAUUCGAUGGCUGAGUGCAUAGUGAGCUUUUUAUGCCAUGGCCGAAUGCUUUGCUUGAUUCUUUGUCCAUUUUGCAAUUUGUAUACAAGUUCAGUUGUUGCUGAAUGAGUCUCAACUAUGAGAAUUGACUGUAGAAGGCGGCUCAAUGCUGUUUUCCUGUGUUUAUGGGUAGACAGGCAUGCGGCAUGCUGGAAAACGACAAAAAGAGCUAAGAAAACUUGCUUCCGCGGGUGGCUUCCCAACUUGAAGGCACAUUAUCGUCUCGGCAGGGAGGGGAGGAGGACAGCCCAGGCCAUCCGUGCAAUCGAAUCGUAGAUUAAAAUAAUAAUCUAUUUCUUCUAAAAAUAAUUUUCUAGUUCACCACAUGCAAGACAACAUUUUAAAGCUUUGGCUUUUAAGGGCGUCCGACUUUUUAGACCUCAAAGAUUUUCUCGGGCAAAUCUAUUGCUGUUGGUAAUUAUUUUCAUAUAGUUAGUGAAAUCUUAAAUAGAGCGGUAACUUGAGAUAAAUGAAAUAACUUGUACUCGGCAUCCACAAAUUUUAUUGUUGACCUUUAGUUUUCUCUAAAUACGUUGUUGAUUUCAAUACUUGUCUGGAUUCCCUAUUCAAUUUUUCACCUAUACUUUCAAUUUGCUUGGGAUUUCAAUUUCCUGCAUUUCGACUCGAGUUGCUUAUUGUUUCAUAAAAAAAAAAAAUUCAUGUAAUUUCCCGAAAACAAAUACCAAGUGUAGAAAACAAAGGUAAGAGAUGCAAAGGAAAUCUCAGUGAUUGAGGCUAGCUUUCUCUCAGUAAAGAAUAAGACUCAAAUGGCUAACUUCAAAAUUUUCAAGUCUGAUUCCAAGGGAAGAAGGGAACUCUGGAGUCAAUUUCACUUGCAUAGCUCUUUUGCAUCAAAGGGAUUGAGUCGACUAAACGUUCUAUUGACAUCUUAAUUUUUAUCGACAUCUAAAUAUCCAUUUAUUUCGAAAAAAAUAUAUAUAAAUUUAUAAAAAGAUAAAAAAAAAAGGAAAAAAAAGAAUAAUGAAUAAAAAUGGAUCAAAUAAAUUGAAUGAAUGAUGAAAAAUGAAGUCGUGUGGGCAGGCGUGUCUAGCCCACUUGGUUAUUUUGAGCUCACCCCUUACCCAGGCUUCCCAUUCAGAAGGGAAGAACUUAUGUGAGUGUCUCAAUUUCAAUUCAAACAUGGGUUUGGCCCAUUUUCCUUCUUUUCUCUGGCCCACCAGAGCCUAAAAAAGAAGCCCAGCCCAUCACUCUUUCUCCUUGCGCGCGCGCGCGCUCGUGAGAAGAGCGUCUGUGACGCAAGGAGGAGAGAAGGUACAGUGACGGUCACCGAAGAAAUGCCCGUGAGCGAGUGAUGAGAAAGGAACCUAUGAAUCUUAAUCGAUAUACUCGCUGCUCAACCCUGCGAAAGCGAAAUAUAUUCGUGCGAGAUAAUGGAACCUGUCGCGUCGUGUUUUGUUUGGAAAAUAGUGUCAAAGCUGAAUCAAAAACCUGCUCUCGUAGCUGAACAACAUGUGUUCGACAAAAUGCUCGAAUGAUGCACCGAAAUCCAUGUUAUCCGAUCGACGUUAAAAGUUUAGUUCGAGGCUUGAUCACGCAUAUGUUGUUGACGCACGUCUGCUUUCUUCGUUUUUUGCUAUGUUUUUGCUUGAUUUCACGGCCCACCUUUUGAUAUUCGUUAAUGGCCAUGCAAAACCGAACUUGGUUCUGCCGUGGCCAGCGAUAGGCAGACGGCGAGGGCCGGAGAUGUAAUCUGGUGAUGGUGUGUAGUGGUGUGAGCUCCGGUGUCCGUAGAUGGCAUCUAGUUGUACGGGUUCAAAAAAUGGAGAAGAAGACGAAGGUUGGGAGUGAAAAAAUGGCUUCGGGGAAGAAGAGGGGAAGAAAAAGAAGUGGUGCGGUAGAAGUGGACUUAAUGAGGAAAAAGACAAAAGAGAAAAAAAUUCAAAAUAUUUUUGAAAAAUUCGUUUUCUAUAUCCCACCAGGUCGGAUCCGGUAGACGGGUUAGGUCAAUGGGUCGGAUCGGGUUUACGGUCCAAACGCAUUCUCCGAAUAUAAUAAUAAUAAUAAUAAUAAUAAUAAUAAUAAGUAAAAAAUCGAAAAAAUUAAAAAUAUAAAAAAUAUAAAAAAUUCUGAAAAAUUCUAAAAAAUAGUAAAAUUUUAGAAAAUUCGAAAAUCAAUAAAAAUAAAAAUUUUAGAAAAUAAAAAUAUAAAAAAUCUGGAAAAGUCAUAAAGAUACAGAAAAUACUAGAAAAUCCAAAAAAAUAAUAAAAAAUUGGAAAAUUUCUAUAAAAAAAAAGUAAAACCAAAAAUUGUACAAACCAAAAAAAAAGUAAAACCAAAAAAAAAAGUAAAACCAAAAAUAAAAAUGUCAGCUCCAUGUUGAUUUCUUAUAGAGUUCAAUGUGUUUUUUGCAUCAUAUGUGGGCUAGGAGUGGAUUUGAUAGAUCUUGAUUUCAUAUGAGGGUUAAUUUGGUAGCACAUGAUGGUACAUCGACAUGCAGAUGAUUUCUCGUCAUUUUUUAGUUACUAGAGUCUCUAUCCAUCCAAAUCACACCACUUACUUGGUCAUGCUCAUGCAUUGUUUUUUACUCCUCAUAUUUCAAAAUUUUAAGUAGCUGAAAUAACCUCGAUACCCUGAGCCAUAUUGCUUUAGAAUUGACUGCAACUAAUUUACAUAUCUGAUCAUGUCCUAAUCGUAUUGGGAAAAGUGGUGGGCGAUCCAAGAAUUUUGCUGCCCACUUGAGGAAAUGUUUGGAAACCGGCCAAAGGACCGACUUUUCCAUCCCUCUUCACAUUGAUCGGAUAUUGCAUCAGGUGUCCUCUCAUUUCCUUGGGAUAUUGCUAUUUUGUUCACCCACUUCAUGCAUUCAAGUUGGAUUGUAAAAUUCUACGAAAGACCUUUGAUUGUAUGCAACGACAUGAUACUCUCCGAUGGCUAUGUUCGCAAACCUUCAGGGGGAAGCUGUGCAGUUAACUAACGCGAGACAAAGGAUGCAGCAUUCUGUCGAUGAAGCUCAAUACAACACGAAGCCAAUCGAAGCCGACGUCUAGAGAUGGGAGGCAGGCACAGAAAUCCUCGCUUAUGAGGUGCGCAGCGUGCUGGAAAACGAGAAGAAAACUUGCUUCCGCGGGUGGCUUCCCAACCUCAAGGCGCGAUAUCGUCUCAGCAUAGAGGCGAGGAGGACAGCCACGCCAUCCAGGCACUCGAAUCGCAGAGUGAAUGCCAAAACGUCUACUAUGAGAAUUCUCGGCUAUAUAUCAAUAUAUAAGGACUUAAAAGAUGGUUUUAAUCAUCAUGAUGUACUUAGGGAUUUUUAAUUGACCAUAUUAAACUAAUAACCCGUUUCUUUUAGAGAUAGUUGUUUAGUUCACCACCUACGAGACAAUAUUUUAAAGCUUUGACUAUCAAGGACGUCUGAUUUGUCAGACCUCAAUGAGUUUCUUGGAAAAGUCUGUCUCUAUUGGUAAUUUUUCGCAUGUACUUAGUAAAAUCUUAAAUAAAAGUAACUUUUAUUCGGCAUCCGUAAGCUUCAUUGUUCACUUUAAGUUUUCUCUACAUAAGUUGUGGAUUUCAUGACAAGACUAGAUUCCAUAUCCAAUUUUUCACCUAUACUUUCGAUUUGCUUGCGAUUUCAGUUUCCCAAUAAUAAGUCUCUUUAAACGAUGGACGUUGCAAUUCUUAUUUGUCUGUUCGAUUUUUUACCCGCAUUGCUUUAGCUAGUUCAAUUAAGGAGGAUCACUUUUGGGGUAUGAACUAACAGAUGGCACUAUUGAUUAGUAAUUCAGACAGUAGCUAUUUUACUGGUUAAUACUGAAGAAUUCUGAGGGUCGUGUCAUUUUGCGAGUUAAACACAUUGAAGCCUUAUUUUCUUGCAUAACUGAGCUCCUUGGCUCCUCACUUCUGCCUUUUGUUGUCCUUGGCAGAUUCCUGAAAAUGCCGGUUGCAUUGCAAGGACAUGUGCUGCGUCGGCCAUCGGCUUGCAUCUUGUUGGGGUGCUUAGUUGUUCCAACCACUCGAGCUUCUCUUUAGGGUACUUUGAAGACAUUCCUCAGUGAAACAUAUGUUGACGAGUCACUGAUGAUUUGUGAUUGUUGCAUCACCAUCCAGUUUCUUUUGAUGCCUUCAGAGUUUAAACUAGUGAGCCAUGUUUUAGUAAUAUAUUACUAAUUGAAUUCUUAAUCAUACCAGAUAAAAGUACCAUACUACUACUUAAAAUCUAGAUCUUAACAAAAUGGUGAUGAAACUAUCCAAACUUUGUAUGGAGUACUGUCAGGCCACAGGCUAUUUUGGAUAAGUGCUGGCAUUUAGUAUAUAUAAACCACUGCUAUAAGAACAGUAAUCAUCGAUGCAUCACACGUAACAAUAAUCAUGGUCGUGCCAUUUUGAUAUAAGCAAGAUCAUCUAGAAGCAGUUUUGCCUAGAUAACAAAAGGACCGUAUAAGAAGAAGCAACGGCAGGACAUCAAUUGGAGCUUGAAUCAACAGAAACAAGCGGCGGUGGCAACGAUCUGCAUCUGGCGCACCUGAAAGUCUUCCAGACAGAGACAUUGCUAGCCAUAGACAACGAACGUGACUUGGAAUCUCUGUCUACACCAAGCUCAGCGUCAAGGCAGAGCGAGCGGCUCCUUUCUUUGGUCAGGUCGAUUGUGACGUCCUCGCAAGGCGGAGGAGAAGGGGAGAAAAGGCCAGGCCAGGGGAAAAAGCUGAAAUGUUGGGGUGAUGGGCGGGUCUGGGCCGGGGAUAAAACCAAUGGGUUUGCUCUCGUGGGCUGCGCUGCGCCAGUUGGACCAAAUCGUCCUUUUCUAUUUGUUAUUUAUUUACAUUUUUUAUUAUUCUUUUCAUUUUGUUCUUUUUACUACCAUUCAUUGUUUUUAUGUUCUUUUUUUUUUUUUAUUACAAAAGCGCAUGCUUAAUUUUUUGACUAAAUUUCAGGCAUCGACAAUUAUGAAUAUAUUCACCUUAAUAUAUGAAGAAAAAUAUCAUUCCAUCCGAACAAACUACAAGAUGUUGUAUGCUGUAUUGCGUCAAAUAUUUAAUUACCAAAGGCCAUAUUUGUUUCUUGAUCAAUGGGAGAAGUGGGCUAAAAAUAUGGCACAAUCCAAUUGAGUAGAACAUAUAUGCGUUGAUGAAAUAUCGACCCAUUUAAAAUAACUUGAUUUAUGAACCGGAUUCAUAUUAAGCCUAGAACCUAUCUUGUCCAUUUGUGGGGUCAAAGUCCCAGAAAUCGUUGUGCAAGAUUAAACAAAAAGCAAUACAAGUUAAGAGAGAGAUUAAGAGAAACAGAGAUGGCAAAUAUUCUUUAGUGAAAGAUGAUUCUUUCAUCUUUUUUCUUUCCCUCUUUCAAGGAUUUUUUUUUACUUUACUUAGAAGGUUCCGAAUUGAAAAAAUGAUGAAAAUGUUGAGAAUUUGAAUCUUAUUUGGAAAAAUAUAUGACUGCUAACUUACUUAUUAAAUCACCCUUAAGUAAGUUGUCAUUUAUCAGGAUCUUGUCAAUGUCUAAACAAAAUAGUAAAUUAUCUCUUCUUCUGAAAUUUCACGAGCGUCUUUUUCUUUGUUUAUAUAUUAGUUAUGAUAAAGUUACCUAUAUUUCACUACUACAGUGAUUGAUCAAUUUCUUUGAAAUUUUAAAACUUUCUUUUGGUAAAAUACCAACUCAAUAAGGAAUCUACCAACCUCUCAAUAAAUCAGCGAAUUAUCAAGUUUUUUCAAGCUGCUAAUUAUUAAACUAACAAGAUAAUAUAUAAAAAUAAAAAAAGGAACAAAUAAAGAUGAGAUAACAUAGGAUAAAGACAUGGAAAAGAGUCCACGAAAAAGCAAAUAUGUAGUGGGCCCAUAGAGUCGUGUAAGGGAAGAAGGAACUCAUUUUGCAUUUCCCGUUCUUUUUUUUUUUUUUUUUGGUAAAGGGUAAUGAUAUAUUGAGCUAUAACCAGCAAAUAUACAGGAUCCGGCACCACAAAACUUGCACUCAACAAGACAGAAGCCUCUAAUCGAGUGAAAGGGCGCCAGACACAAAACACCGCAAAGCGGUCAACUCAAGCAAGGGCCGAAACAGGAAGCCCAAAACAGCGACGCAGGGUCGAAGCAACAACUAAAAACAGACAGACUAAACAAAAGGCCACGAAGGGCCAAGGAGAAACAACUCGCAAAACUAGACUAAGGCGACCUCGACGAUCGGCAUAGGAGAGUUGAAGAUAGAUGGGUCAAGGCCCCAGUUUCUUUGUAACCUCCUAUUCCUUGGGCAAUCUUCCACGCUUUUGAACGUUAAGGCUUUAUCCUUCACAACUUUAAUGAGAUGCUUCUUGAUAGCCGCAACCACAACCGGAUGAUCUCUAAAGAGGAUGUCGUUUCUAUACUUCCAAAUGAGAUGGCACAAAGCUCUAAAAGAGAAGCAACCAAUGGCGUGAUAGAAAUCCUUACCUGUAAGGAAUCUCAUUGCCCACUGAAGAUUUUCUGUCCAAGUCCCAUUUCUCCAUGGGAGAUUGCACCUGGCCGCCCAAAAGUAGGCCAUGCUAGCCGUGAUGCAGCAACUAAAGAAGAGGUGGUCAAUAGAAUCCGGCGUGAGCUUGCAAAAUGCACAUACUUCAUUCCCAAUUCUCCCAUAAGACAUAAGAAAAGCUUGGGUAGGAAGUCGGUUCUUAGUGAUCAGCCAGAGGUUGAAUUGGUAUCUCGGAGUGAUGGCCUUGUUCCAAAUAAAGGAUGACCAUACCACCUUGUCUUUCCUUUUUCUGAGUAAAUGCCAAGCUGAGGCAAUCGAGAAGACCCCGGAAGGAUCAUCUCUCCAUACAAAUCUAUCCGGAACCCUAGUGAGAAGAGGAAGGGGAUGGUUCCAAGAAUCCAUCACUAGCCUGAAUUCCCGACCCGCCGAAGAAAAAAGGUCUGCGACAACUGCAUACCACGGUAGUCCCGAAUCAGAGAUAGUCUGCUCAGAACAUAUAAGAUCCAGCGGACCUCUCUGAUGCCAAUGGUCAAACCAAAGGGAUGUCCCCUGGCCAUCUCCAAUCUUCCAGUGGAAGUUGAGGCGGAAUUCGGAUCUAAGGUGGAGGAUCCUCUUCCAAGCCCAUGAGCAGCUGCCCGGCGUCUUAGCCACCCAGAAGUUCGCCUUACGAAUAAAAGUAGAGUGAAUCCAUUUGCACCAAAGAGACUCAUUGUCCGUGAAUAGGAUCCAGAUGUGCUUGAGCAUUGCCGCCUUAUUGCACUCUCGCAAACAUCGAAUCCCAAGGCCCCCUUCUUCCCUUGGGAGACAAACAUCCUCCCAGGAAACCUUAGCUCCUCCCCUGCCAAGGCUGGGUCCCUUCCAUAAGAAUUGUCUAAGAAUCUGCUUGAUACGGUCCAGGACUCCUACAGGAAUAAUGAACACACUAGCCCAAUAGGCUUGAAUUGCAUGGAGCACUGACCUUAUGAGCUGAACUCUCCCUGCAAAUGAGAGAAAUCGAUGGGUCCAAGAUUGCACCCUAGCCAUUAUGCGAUCGACUAGACCUACACAAUCCGCCUUCCCAAGCCUCGAGGAAAUAAUCGGUGUUCCUAGAUAACGUACCGGCAAUUUUCCUUCCACAAAACCGAAUGUAUCCUUUAUAUGGCCUCUCAAUUCAUCCGAUCCCCCUGCAAGAAAUACCUCACUUUUGCUAUUGUUCGGCUUGAGUCCACUCCACUUCGAGAAGGUAUCCAGCCCAUCCUUUAGCAGCCGGAUGGAGACCAUAUCCGCAUGGCAAAAGAGGAAGACAUCAUCCGCAAAAAAAAGAUGAGAUAACCGAGUGGCCUUGCACCUCCAAGAGAACUUGAAACCCGGCUGCUCCGCACUAGAAGUAAGGAUCCCGGAGAAGACUUCCAUAACCAAGGUGAAAAGAUAAGGAGACAUUGGGUCACCCUGUCGAAGGCCGCGGCUACUAGGGAAGAAUCCAUGGAAAUCCCCAUUCAAGGAGAUAGAAAACAUCGGGGUACGAACACAUAUCAUGAUAAGGCGAAUGAAGUGGUCCGGGAACCGAAAGGCACGAAGAGCUGAUUCGAGGAAAUCCCAAUCCACUGUAUCGUAAGCUUUCUGAAAGUCUACCUUUACCGCACAUUUGGGGAGAUAUGGCUGCAGGUGAAAGCCGGCAAAUAACUCCUGGGCUAGGAGGAUAUUAUCACUAAUCCGUCGACCCUUCACGAACGCAUUCUGAAAAGGGCUAUGGCAUCCUGGAGUACUGAGGCGAUGCGGUUAGCCAAUACCUUGGUAAUGCAUUUGUAGAUCGUAUUGCAGCAAGCGAUGGGCCUAUAAUCAUUAACCGAGGUAGCAUUAGGAAUCUUAGGGAUCAACACCAGGAUGGUGGAAUUAAUUUCCCUUAAUAGUCUCCCCGUAACAAAGAAAUCUUUUACAGCUUCAACCGUCAACGGUCCAACAAUAUCCCAAUUACUCUUGAAGAAUUCGACACCAAACCCAUCCGGACCCGGUGCCUUCCCACGUGCUAGAGAAAAGAUAGUGUCCUUAAUUUCCGUCUCCGAAAAGGGACGACCAAGAGAAGCGAUUUGAUCCUCUGAGAGCGGACGACGGAUGGCUUGCUGAAGGUCUCCGAAGGCCGGUCCAAUAGGAGGAGAGCGUGAUGCAAACAACUCCUUAAAAUGAGCGACAAAUGUAUCCUGAACAAGGCUCGGCUCGGAGACAAGGUUGCCAUUCCUAUCAAGAACCGAUAUAACCCUAUUCCUUAGUUGCCUCGUAGUCACAGAGUGAUGAAAGUAUUUAGUGUUUUUAUCACCCCUCUCAAGCCAACGGCUUCUGGAUUUCUGUCUGAAGAAAGCCUCCUCCUAACUCCUCAACUCAACGAACAUCCUCCGAUGACUUUUUUCUAGCUCUGCCAAGAGGACAUUGGUCUGGUCGUGCUGAAGGGCCACUUGAGCUUGUGUAAGAGCAUUUCUGGAUUGAGCAACCCUCUCGGACAGGUUGGAGAAAGAGUCUCUAUUCAACUGCUUAAGACGCCCCUUGAGUGUUUUCAAUUUGGUAACCAACCUGAAGAUGGGUACUCCAUCACUCGGGGUCUGCCACACCUGGGUAAGAAUAUCCUGAAAAGAUGGGUGCUCCAUCCAGAAAUCAAAGAAUUUGAAGGGCUUUCUUCGAAAAACUGGCUGGAUCACCUUGACCACCAUAGGAGAGUGGUCUGAAAUACCAGAAGGUAAAAAGGAAGCUUCUGAGUAAGAGAAAUACAAGCUCCAGAGAGCGUUAACUAGAACCCGAUCAAUCUUCCUCGCUUUCCGAUUAGCCCCCGAAGACGUCGACCAAGUAAACCUAAGUCCAACAUAUCUCAAAUCCUCAAGCUCUGCCUGAUGCAGACACUGAUUAAACUCAUCAAAGCAGGGCGGCCAGGCAUUAGUACCCCCUAGCCUAUCAGACGGGUCUCUUAGGGCAUUGAAGUCACCCGCCACCAUCCACGGUAAGUCGAAAAUACAAGAACUCAUCCUGAUCAAGUCCACCCAUAGAGGUCUCCUACGAACAUAAGAAUUCUGAGCAUAGACUACCGAGAUACAACAACAAGAACCUGUCGAGAUCAGUCUAACUCUUCCAUGAAUAACCUGAUCAUUGGAGGAUAUCUCCUCAAAACAGACCAGCGAAGGGUCCCAGCUGAUCCACACCCUGCCCCCCGGAGAAGAAUCAUAGUUGGCAAUCCACGUCCACCCCGAUAAUAGACUCGACGACAGAGAGCCAAAAAGAUGUUCCGGGACUUUAGUUUCCAAUAACCCAACCAAACAAAGGCCACUAGAGAGAGCCCACUUACGGACCUCGGCUCUCCUCAAAGGAUUCACGAGACCUCUAAUAUUCCAAUAACCGAAAUACAUCUAAGCUAUGUACAAACUACUCUAAACAACGAAGAGCAAAGGGCAGCAAGGCCUACCUCAAUUUCUGAGGCCUGCGGCGCGAAACUCCGGACGGCUCAACAGUCUCCACCGGCUCCGGGACAGGGGCUAAGGACAGCAACCUGUGUUGGAUUGUUUCGACUGAUGUAUCUAUCAAGCGAGGAGGCUGACACGGCGCUUCUGGGGAGGAGAUAUCAUCAUCCUCUGAGGAAGAGGCAACCUCUUCCAAACGCUUUCCAGAGUCCUUCAAGGAUGGGGCACGGGUAGGUCGGGACCCAGCCGUGAGAGAGGAGACGACUUUAGGGGGAGCACUGGCGCCCCUAGCCCCCUUGCGAGCAGAGGCGGAAGGAGGGGGAGCUGCUACCAGCGGUCUGUCCCCAGAAGGCUGGUCAGCAGCCGAAGGGAGAGGGGAUUCACCUAUCUUGAGGUCCUUAUUCCUCUUCCUCCUGUUCUUCACCCUUCUCCAAGGUUGAUCCUGGUCGGGCAAAGUUGGAGUCGGUUGAGGGGAGUCGCUAACAUCUGUGAGGGACGCCUGCACAGAGACCGUGGAAGGUUGCAACCGAACCGGAUCUAUAUCAGACUGAGGUGGGAUGGGGGCAUCCACCGCCCGAGGCAGACUCGGAUCAACUUCUGGCCUCUGCACAUCCUGUUCCAAGACAACAGGCGAAGGAGGAGUGGCCGAUCGCGGAUUUGGAGCAUGGACGACCGGCUGAGCAGGAGCAACCGCAUUCUGCCUAGCUGGAUGACAGACAGCCUGUCCUGCAUUCUGUGUGCGCCUCGUGGGAUUUUCCGGGGGGGGGGGGGGGCAGUUGUGGCCGAAGGCGUUGCAAUCCGGACACGCAAUCGGGAGCCAUUCAUAUUCAAUAUUAAUGACCCGAGAGACACCCUUCAAGGUGAUUUUGGCCUUCUCAACUCUUGGCUGAUUGGCCGUGACCUCGACACAAACUCUUGCGAAGGAGACCAUCUUCAUUUCGUCGGUCCGUUGAUCCACAUACAACGGCUUCCCCGCCACACUAGCUAUGGCACUCAUGGCUGGCACUGUCCAAAUGUCAAACGGAAAAUUCCGUAGGCGAAUCCAAACGGGUAUGGUGGAAUGCUCUUCUCUCUUCAAAUCCAUGAGAGGCUUCCACUGCCGAAGUAUUAACGGCACCCUUGCAAUCGUGAUCGGCCCAUCUUCAAGGAUCUUUCUUCUAAAUCCGGGGUCCGGGAUUUGGAGAAAGAGGAAUCCUUGAUCGUCGGCAAAGAUUUCACCAAUCUUGGAGCCCCACGUUUUCCUCAGCACUUGCUCCACCAAUCCGAAUGGUAGCCUCCUUUUCGCAACCAAUUGGCCAACCAAGCAGUCAUGUCAUUUCGGGUCCAUAGCAUCAAGUGCUUCAUCCAGGAGAUUCACAACAGCCUCUCCCUCCACAAAGGUGGGUGGAACAUAAGACAAUUCGGAACCUUUCACAGCCAAUCUAGCCACAUUUGCCCAAGAACGUGCCGGGGCUUCAUGGUGACCAGCAGGUGCUUUCCCUGGGUGCUUGGAAGUUGAGCGAAAUCGGCUUCGUCCUCUCGACCGACGAGCGCGAAGGUCAGACUCCUUCGAAGCUUGCUGCCUAUUCUUCAUUUCCGGACUAAAGUCAGCAACACCCCUGGGUCCAGAAGAGACCAAGCUCGCACGGCAGAAGCACUAGAAAACCAGAGCAGCUCGAAUCUGCAGCUUGCUGGGAGACAACAGCAGGAGAAGCCAAGCUAGGAAGCUGUAGGAGAAUCCCCCGGCAGAACCGAAUCCCUAGCCGUUUCCCUUCAACCCGCAGAUGAGGAGCGAACAGCAGCUCCCACGUACAGUCACGCGCAGCAACUUAUCCGGAUGGAAUUCCUCAACCAGCUCAACCCAACCAGGGACAUUCGGAGGGUGCGAAGGGCUAAGUCUGGCUAGACUCUCUUCCGAGACUCAACCAAAAACAGCCAUGGAAUCUCACCAAACGAACAGCAGAACAGUCGGACAACCAGAGGAGAAAACUGCAGAAAUUCGUACCCUAGGCCAGACGAUUUCUCUGCAUGCAGGCCUUCUAUUGCGAAACCGUUCGGUGGAAACGUAGAGGGGACUGAGCUGAAUCUUCCUUCCGAAAAUCAGCCGAAACCACCCAUCGUAACUCCUCAAACGAACAACAGAUCAGCCAGAAACCAGAGAGAAAAACUGGGCAGUAAUUCGUAACCUAUGCCAGACGAUUUCUUUGCACACAGGCCAUCUUAUGCGAAACCGUUCGGUGGGAAUGUAGAGGGGCCUGAGCUGAAGCUUCCUUCCGAAAAUCAGCCGAAGACACCCAUCGUAGCUCCUUCAACGAACAAAAACAGCCGAGAAACCAGAGGAGAAAACUGGGCAGAAAUUCGUAACCUGGGGCAGACGAUUUUUCUGCAUCUAGGCCAUCUUUCGCGAAACCGUUCGGUGGGAAUGUAGAGGGGCCUGAGCUGAAGCUUCCUUCCGAAAAUCAGCCGAAGACACCCAUCGUAGCUCCUUCCACGAACACAAGAACAGCCGAAAAACCAGAGGAGAAAACUGGGCAGAAAUUCGUAACCUAGGGCAGACGAUUUCUCUGCAUCUAGGCCAUCUUUCGCGAAACCGUUUGGUGGAAACGUAGAGGGGACUGAGCUGAAGUUUCCCUCCGAAAAUCAGCGCAUUCCGACACCCAUAGCCACGGGAAUCAGCAACACACCAGACGGAUGAACAGUGACUCGGGAAUCCGAGUUGAGAGCAUAGUUUUGGAGAACUUUUUGCAUUUCCCGUUCUUUUUUCCCACUUUAACGAGGAAUAUAUUUUGUGGGCCCCAUAGGAACAGUUUUGUCUACCACUCUUUCCACUCCCCGCGCUCUUGUUCUAGCCCUACAAGACAAGCAUUAUUUCCUUGUUUCUUUGUUUACUCCCCUUUUAACCCAAGUCCUAAAACCCGCUUUACUCUAGGAAAUUAUCCGAUUCGAUUCUAUAAGGGUCAUGUCAUCAAACAAAGGGGGACAAUUGCCUGUUGAAUAGAAUCGAAUAUGUGUUGAUAAAAUAUUGACCAUUUUAAAAUGACUUGAUUUAUGACCCGAAUUCAUAUUAAAUUUAGAUUCGAUCUGAUCUAUUUGGUGAGUUGAAAUUUAAGAUAUCACGAUGGAAGAUUAGACUUAGAACAAUACAAGGAGGGAGGGGGGGAGGGGGAGAGAUAUGGGAGGUGAAAGAUGAUUCUUUCGUAUUUUUCUUUUUCCAAUUUGAGGAUUCUUUUUCACUUUUUCAAAGUUUUCCAAGGUGAAGAAAUGAUGAGAUGCUUGAGAAUUACAAUCUCGUUUGUAAAUGGAUCGAGAAAACUAUCCAAAAAGUUCUAAACUUAUUAUAUUUUAUCAAUUCAAUUCUUAAUUUUUUUAAUUUUACUAACAAAUUCAUUAACAUUUUGACAAUUUGCUAAUUGAGUCUAUCCAAGCGACCGGAAAUCGUUAACAUGAACACUAGGCAUCUUGCUUCACACGUAGUCAUUAGAGUGGACAUUUUUAAUAACAUUUUUGAAUAUUUUAUUCCCAUUUCUUUACUUUCUUUUUUAUUUUUGGAGUGAUGGCCGACCAAAGCAAGGGUGUGUGAGCCCUUGCCUAUGCAAGGGCUGCCAAACCUUCGCCUAGCCUAGAUCUAACGAAAGUGUCAUGGCAUUCAUUAGAUCUAGGUAAGAGCUCGUGAGCUCUCGUUUAGUGUCGGGGACCUAGCCUAGGCUUUCAACAGCCAUGGUGAGGGCCCAUAUGGCCAUUGAGGAUUGCAAUGCCCUCACCCAAAACUAGUGAGGAUCGCCAGCCAUCACUCCAAAAACCAAAAAAAUAAAUAAAUAAAGAAUAAAAAAAAAAAAGCUAUUUGUCAUCGUUGAUAGCAAUGUGUGUUAACUUGACUAUAGAUGCUACGAUAAGAACAGAGAAAUAGAGAUGAGCUGUUAAUGGUAUGCGUAAAGAAACAAGGUGGAUGAACGCGAUGACUUCUUCAUCCUUUGCAAUGGCGCUGAGAUAUUUUAUAUAGGAGCGAGAGGUUGUUUUGAUUUCUUUCGUUGAUCAAUAUCUUGUAAUUGUUUAUCUUACAUUACCUGUUUUUCAAUAUAGAACUUGAAUAUCACGGCUACAGAUGGAAAAUAAACCUUUUUAACUAGAAUUUUUUACUAGGUUCACAGUUGGUAGAAAAAUCUUCUGUUGCAGCAUUACAACAAUUAUGCGUAUAUGAUGUCUAUUUGAUUAUAUCGGGUGAUGUAAAUUUAUGGAUUAUAUGUAAGUAUUUUUUCCCGUCAAUUAAAACUAUUUCUGUUUUGGAUAAUUGACCGAAUUAAAUGGUUGUGCACACAUUAACGUGAUGCUUUCUAGCUUUUUCCAGCAAUUCCUUUUGAAUUUCUAUUUUACUGGGAGUACAGGGAGAUACAUGUACGUUUUUUCUUUUAUGUAGUUGGAUUGACGAUAUCUUUACUCUUAUUUUCCGAUGACUGAGUUUUGACUUCUUUCGAUGCAAUUGACUAUAUGCUUGGAGAUGUAGGGGCUAAAUAAUUUCAUAAACAUUUUGUCUUUUUUAAUUUCAUAAACUUUUCAUAUGUCAUUAUCUUAAAUUCGCAUCUAAGUAAAAGAAAGAACGAUAUUCAAAGUCCUUAGUAAUUGUCAUUCAAAUGAUGAGGUAUGAUCAAUUAAAAUCUAACAAUAAAAAUUUUGGAUCACUGGCUUGGAAGAACUUGUGAUUGAGGGUUGUAGCAUAAUUAGCUUAAAUAUUAAAAUUAUAGGAAAACUGAGCGCAACUCUCGUGGACCUUAUCUUCAUUACGUUUCAUCAAAUAAAUUGGGUGUAAUCAGCUGUGCAAUUGAUGUAGCCUCGUACCCCCGUCGGCAGCUUGAGGUUGACAUAACACAAAGCUUUAAUAAUUCCCAAGGGACGGACGACGGUGAAAAAGCAACUUAACUCCACCCUGGUUAACUUUUAGCCUCACUUUGCGCUGUCUCCUCCACCACCUCCUCCUGGUCUGUGUUUUAGAGAGAGAGAGAGAGAGAGUGUGUCGUUGGUACGUGUUAUCAACGUGUGGCUUUGUGAAUUGUUACAUCGCUUUGCCUUGAACGAAUCGGAAAGAGGGUCAUUCCACGGAGGUUAAUAGCGAAGGGAGGUCAGCAAGAGAGAGAGAGAGAGAGAGAGGUGGUCCCAUAUAAUCCAUGAAAUAGGAUGACAUUAUCGAGUGCAAGCAGCACCGAUAUGGAGUUCAUGAUCCCCUCAAACAUACAUAUAAUUACAUAAAAAAUACUUCAUAUUAACUAGAUCCAUGGUGUGAUCAAUCAAUGAGAUUGGAUUCUUUAGAACUAUUAAAUCGAGGUUUCAAGAAGUAAAUGAUGAUUAUAACAAAGGCAUCUUCCAUGAACUUUCAAUUUCUCUCAAUCAGAUGGAGGCAUUUGCUCUUUUGGAGAUUCCGUAGAUGUUGUGUAAAGAUGAUCAUAUGAAGCAUUACACUAUCCAUGUAAGCGCGGCCACCGUGCAUGCAUUAACAAAAGUAUGAAAUGGAGCUCAGGUUCGCAGAGUCCAUGUAAAAGAAAUACAGGUAAGUUCACUGUUACCAAGCUUUUGAUGAAAGAGAGCAUCAUAUUGAUAAAAGAUCAAAAAAACCUCAAUACAAGUAGCCAGAUUUUCUAAAUGUGAGAGGGAAGUUCGAAGUUUUAUAUAUGAUAUGUGUCGGCUGGCCUUUAUUUAGUUUGCGAAAAUGGUGGUCUUUUCAGUUCAUGCUUUUAUCUAAGAACGAUUAGAGAUUCUUCUAUAAAAUUUCAUAUGAUAUUUUAUCCAACAAUUUAUACUUUUAGAAUAGUUCAUAUUAUAUUUUAUCUGACAGCUUAAACUUUUAAAACACUUAACAUAACGCACUAAAACUUUGAUAAUUCCCAAAUGACCACUAAUGGUCAAAAGGCAACUUUACUCCACCUUGUUAACGUUUUAUGUAUUAUAUUUUCUCUGACGAGAGAGAGAGAGAGAGAGAGAGAGAGAGAGAGAGAGAGAGAGAGAGAGAGAGAGAGAGAGAGAGAGAGAGAGAGAGAGAGAGAGAGAGAGAGAGUGUGUGUGUGUGUGUGUGUGUGUGUUAUGUAGGGAGAGACACAGAAGCAUUUGGAAGUCUGUAGUGAGAAGUUUCAGCUUUGUGAACUGUUUCGUUGCUUUUGCUUAGAAUGAAUCGGAAAGAGGAUCAUUCCGUGGAGGUUAAUAGCAAAGAGGUCAUAGAGAGAGAGAGAGAGUCCCAUAUAAUCCAUGAAAUAGGCUGAUAUUGAGUUAAUGAUCCCCUUUAACAUACAUAUAAUUACAUACAAAUACACUUCGCAUUUAUUGGAUCUAUGGUGUAAUCAAUCAAUGAAAUAUUACCUAGAAUUAUUAAAGUGAGGUUUAGAGAAAUAAAUGAUGAUUAUAAUAAAGGCAUCUUCCAUGAACCUUCAGUUUCUCUCAACAAAGUUUUGUAUGUUGCUCUAAACCUAUGCAUAUUCACAAGAUUAAUAAAUAGGUGUCUUUUAGUUACCAAUGGAGUAUCUAUGACCUCUUUAGUUGCAUUUGGCAAUCAAGAUCAGAUUCAAGAUAUGAUAAAAUAUAUCAUAUCUUGUGUUUAAUGCAUGCUUAAGACAGGAUAAAGUCAAAUAUAAAUAGAUAUAAAUCAAAUUAAAUUAUCUCAUGGGGGGAGGUAAGAUAAAUGUGGAUAAGAUUUCUAAUAUCCAUAAUAGAAAAGUUAUUUUUAUGAAUAACAAACUUCUUAAAUUAAGAAAUUAAAAUUAUAUUUAAUAUAGUUAAUAUUUGAAUUCUAAUAUGAGAAGUUCAAAAUAACAAAAAAAAUAAUAAUUUAGUUAUUUUAUUUUUAUCUUAUUUUUAUCUAUAUAUUCGAAUUUAAUUAUAUUUUAUAAUAUAAAUUCAAUAUAUAAAUAUAGAUAUACAUUUAUAUUUAUUACAUAUUUUAGGUAUAUUUGUACAGUUUACUAUUUAAUAAAAAUUUAUUAUAAAAUGAUGGAAGGGUAAGAAAGAAAUAAAAAAGAAAUUAAUUAAAAAAGAGAGGAAAAUAAAAUAAAAAAAAAGUAAAAAAGAGUGUCCCGAAAGAUUUUUAACAUAUUCAUUUGUAAAAUUUUUAGUUCAUUUUUACUAAUAUGCCAUUUUUACUAAACAAUGUAUAUGAUAUAAUAUGAAUAUAUUUGACUUUUAUCACUACAAAUAUCAAACAAUGGAUAAGAUAUAUCAAAAACCCUGGAUUUCAUAUCCUAUCCUAGUUAAAAAUUCGAACAAUCAAAUAUAAUCUUUAAGCAUUCGAUUGAUUUUCAUCAGGUGUGACAGUCACUGCAUUUCACACCUACCAAAUAAUUACUAGAGACACGGUUUUUAUAUUACAUUCUUUUGAAAAACUAUUAGUUGCCACACUUGAUUUUUUUAUCUCAAUUUCUAUAUGAAGUUGGUUUUGGCAGCUUAACGUUCUAAACUUGGGAGCUAAGUGCCUUGUCCUUUUUUGUUACUCCUGGGAAGGUUUUGUGAAUAUUUUUUCUAUACUAGAAACAAUUACUUAUCUAAUUUCUAACCUUAAUCUUGCAUUACAUAUGUCCUUUUUUUCAUGUGAAAAAAUAAGAUAUAAUUCGUGCAUACCUAUAGGGACCAAAAAUCUACGGAUAAGUACAUUGGAAACCCUAAGACUUAUCAUAAAAGUGCAAUUGAGUUCUAAAAUUUAUCAAAAGUGCAAUCAAGCUCUAAAAAUUGUCAAAUUGAUACAAUCAAAUCAUUCCAAUAACUCCAUCCAAUUAGACUAAGGUGACUUUUUUAAUAUUUUCCCUUCUACGUGGCAUUAUCUUAUUAAAACAUGAAAGACAGGACUAAAAUGAAGUUGUUUUGAUAUAAAUCCUACUUUUUUAAUUGAAAAAUCAAUUAAAUGAGAUCAAGAAAUAAAAGAGGUACUUGGCAGACUUAUUACAUACAAGAUGCUUUUAUAAGGAAAAUAAUACAAACUUUCAAUGAGAAAAGCAUUUUGGUCAAGACUAGUGGUGAAGUGAUUGGAAUUGGAGUGUAUUAUCUGAAUCGAAAUCUGGCCUUCGGCUGCUGUUGAUUUGCUGGAGUCAAGCACGGCUCUCGUAAUUUUGAGCUGGCGGGGCCUGAAGUCAACUUCAAUACAAAAGAAGUUGGGGAGUGAGCCCUUUUGUUUUCAAUCAAACGUAAUCAGAUGAAGGCAUUUGCUCUUUGGGAGAUUUCAUAGAUGUUGUGUAAAGAUAAUCAAACGAAGCCUUGCACUAUACAUGUAAGCUCGGGCACCUUGCAUGCAUCGACAAAAGCACAAAAUGGAGCGAAGGUUCGCAGAGUCCCUACAAAAAAAUAAAAAAAUACUGGUGAGUUAAGAGUUACCGAGCUUCUGACCAAAAAUAACAUCAUAUUGAUAAAUGAUCAAGGGAUCCUCAAUACACGUAUCGGGAUUUUCUCAAAUGUGAGGGAAGUUGGAAGUUUUAUAUACGAUGAUGGCAUGAUGGCAAACGGCCUUUGUUUUAUUUUGCGAAAAUGGUGGUCUCUUCAAUCUACAUCUUCAUCUAAUAAUUUAAAACUUUUAGAAUAGUCAGUAUCAAAUUUCACAUGGUAUUUCAUCCAACAGUUCAAGCUUUUACAAAAUUACACAUAUUAUUUUAUCUCAGAGUUUGGGCUUUUAGAACAAUUGACAGUGGUUCUAUAAAUUCUCAUAUGGUAUCAAAGCUAGGAGGUCUUGAGUUCAAAUCUUCCGUGCUCCUAAUUACCUCUCCUUAAUUGAUCUUUUUUGGAAGUCAUGACAUUAGAAAGUCUUAAUUGGAUCUCUGGUAUGACCAGAAAGCAUCAAUUGCACAUGUACCCUAUGGUUAAUAUGUAUGCAGCUCAGUGGAAGAUAUUCAGCUAUUGCCAUAUCUAUGUGCUCUUGAGAUUAUUAUUUCAUAACAUGCUUGUCCUUUAAUCAAAAUUAGUGAUGGACGGUAAAAAACAUAGUACUAAAGCCCAUGGUGAUUAAUGAUGAGUCCAUCAAAAGAUGACCUUCAGAAAUUAAUGUUUACUUUACCUCCACAUCUGACAAAUGGAACAUAGUUCAGCUAUCGUGAUGAAGAAGAGAUCCCAUAGGAUGCCAAGGAAUAACCGAUGAUAAAGCCUUUUUCUAAAUUCUAAUAGAAUACUAAUCGAGGGGCUCCAUUUGAUUCCUCACAUGAAGUACUUUCUUUCAAAAAGUUUUAGGGGUCACGUGAUAUCCAUUAUAGCUUUGUAACAAAUACAGUAGCUACUCUGAUGACAAAAUACUGUGAUAAGUAAUAUGUUCGUGGUAGUCGUGCUAUAUAUUAAGUAAUCUUUAGGUGUCAUUGUGUACGGCAGAUUUAUGCAUGUAAAACUCAAAUGGCUCUUCAUUAACUCGACCGGUUUGGAUUUAUGACUGAUACUGCUCCACCAUGGAAUGAUGAAUUGGGAAAUUUUGAUCUCAAGAAAAGGAUAAUCUCUAGGGAAAUGCUCAUCUCGUUUCAUCGGAGUCCAGCUAUCCCGAAAUAGAACGAAAUUGUGGACUGCCUGGGGAUAGAACGAAAUUGUGGACUGCCUGAAUCAAAACAGAUGCACAUCUACAAAAGGGUCUCAAGACUCUCAACCACCAGAGGUCACGUCAAUUUCAAUACUUGAAAAUCUUUCUACGGUGUAAGACGGUGUCUGAAAUUGCUCACCUCAAGCUAUGGUGAUGGGAGGGUAUCCUCGGGAAAAUAAAAAUUUAUGUUAGUGGACAUGGGCCCAGGGGUGGGUUUAUGUGUAACUUGGUAGCGCUCUCUCUAUUAAAGCCAGAUGCUCCUCUUUCUGAGCGUUGCAACUCUCAAUGAUCUCUUCCUCCCUCUAGAUUUCCAUCUCCAUUUACGCCUAUUGCUGGAAGCUGUCUCUUUUCUCCUAAUUUUUCGUGGUUGUGGAUUCAUCCUGCUGAAUCUUUCCAGUUCAGUCAUUUCGUUUCGUUUCCGGGUUCCAUCAGUUCAUAUAUCGAGAUGGCGGAUAUCGUUCUGUCUGUAGCUUCCAAAGUGGCAGGGUACCUGGUGGCUCCGGUCGGUCGUCAAUGCGGCUACGUGAUAUUCGCCAGCAGCUAUGUUGACCAACUUGAGGAAGAACUUGACAAGCUGAAAGACGCGAGUCAAAGGGUGCAGGAUGAGGUCGAUGUAUUUGAAAACAACAUGAAGCCGAUUCAAUCCGACGUCAAGAAAUGGGUGGAAAAAGCGAAGACCGUCAUCAACAAGGCUACCGUGCUGAAAAACGAUGGAAGAGCCGAAAAAACUUGCUUCUGCGGCAGGCUUCCCAACCUGAAGGCGCGUUAUUGUUUUAGCAAAGAGGCGAGGAGGACGGCCAAGGAGAUCCAGGCACUGAUCCUACAGUGUCAUUUUGCCAAGGUUGCGUACGAGAAUCCUCCACCGGGGCUUGUUGGCGGUGCGCACGAGGUGAAUUCGUCGGCCGGUGAUGGGAGUGACACUGUCUCUGAUUCGCGAACUUCCAUCUUUCAGGGCAUAAUGAAAGCUCUGGAUGAUGAGAAGCACAAAGUGAUUGGGGUCUGCGGGCCUGGCGGCGUGGGAAAGACUACGCUGUUGGAGGAAAUCGAGAAGAAACUCAAGAAAGAGGGGAGACCGUUCCAAAUGAUUGUCAAAGCGACAGUCUCGCGGACUCCAGACUUGACGAAAAUCAUAUACGACAUCGCUUAUGGCUUGAGUCUAAAUCUGAAGGACGUGCCGAGCGAAGACGGAAGAAAAGAUCUUCUGUCCAAGAGACUAAAGGACUUGAAUGAGAAGGUUCUCAUAAUAUUGGAUGACCUGUGGGGAGCACUUGAUUUGAAGGCGGUUGGAAUUCCUUCGGGAGACGAGAGCGUGAAAUGCAAAUUGUUGCUCACUUCGAGAGAUAAAAGUGUGCUAGAGCAAAGGAUGCGUGCCGAUAGAACAUUUCAUCUUAAAGGUUUAAGCGACGAAGAAGCUUUCAGCCUAUUUGAAAGGAUGGUCGGCGACAAGCUCAAAGACGAUGAGGAACUGAAAGCAAAGGCGGCUCAAGUGGUAAGGAAGCUUGCAGGUUUGCCCCUUUUGAUUACCUCCGUUGCAAGCACCUUAAAAUGUAGCAAUGUGUCCACGUGGGAAAGCAUGUUAAUAAAAGUAGAAGACCCAAAUAACGAGAGAAUAGUGAAGUGGAGUUACGACCAUUUGCAGUAUGAGGACGCCAAGUGCUUAUUCUUGCUUUGUGGUCUUAUUGGUGGGACCAUUGAAGUCGAACUUUUGCUGGGGCUAGGCAUGGGUUUGGGCUUGUUUGAGGGAUAUAACGAAAGAGUACAAUAUUCAAGGAAUAGGUUGAAUGAGAUGCUCGAUAGCCUCCAUUCCUUUUGUUUGUUACAAGAUGGUGGCGAUGGCAAGAAAAAUGUGACCAUACAUGAUCUUUACAGCGAGGUGGUUGUUUCACGUGCAUUUGGAGGUCAGAAUUCUUUAAUGAUGAACAGCAAUUAUGGCCCAUGGUCAAAGGAAAAGCUUGAGAAAUGUUGGGCUAUACGCCUAGCUUGUGUUGACAAAGAUAGGCUUGAUAAACUAAUGACGUGUCAGUUUCCUGACUUGAAGAUACUCAUGUUGUCUCAACCAAAAGGCUGGAGUUGGAUGCAAGUACACGAACAUGAAGUGGGAGAUUGCUCUGGACUACCAGAUUUCACAUACAUGAAGGAGCUCCGUGUCCUAUAUUUUCGCUCUAUGCUUAUCGACAGUUUACCUCCCUCGAUUGGAAUCCUCGAGAACCUCCACUCUUUAUACUUACAGCAUUGCAAUGUGGAGGAUGUGGCAAUUUUUGGCAAGCUCAAAGCAUUGCAGAUUCUCAGCUUUAUGUGGUCCACAAUUUCUAGGCUACCUAAAGAAAUGGGGGAACUUACAAAUUUGAGAUCGUUGAAUCUAAGCAACUGCAAAAAGCUUCAAAGAGUCGAGCCUGUUGUCCUAGAACGCUUAAUCAAAUUAGAAGAGUUACAUAUGAAGGGAAGCUUUAAUCGAUGGAUGGGCAAAAAUGAAAAACCAUCGGAAUUGUGUAAUGCUGGGCUUGCCGAGUUGGGGAGCAUGACAAAGCUAAAUUCUUUGGAAAUAUCGAUUCGUGAUCCCAUCAUACUCUUGGAGGUUGAUGACCUGCCAUUUGAGAACUUGACUAGAUUUUGGAUCAACAUUGGAAAUGCUGAAGGAAGGGAAUUUAAAGGUUUGAGAACCAUGAAGAUCAAAUUGGAAGGGCAUGAUGGUAUUCUUUCAAAAAAAUGGGUCCUGAAAACUCUCCAAAAGACUCAAUACUUGCUUUUGGACGGAUUGGGAGAGUUCGAGAAUGCUCACAAGUUGUGCAUUCGAGGAUUUUCACAACUGAAGCAUCUCGACAUUCAGGAUAGCCCAUCAAUAAAGUAUAUUGCCAGUUCAUCCAAUAGUGCUUUUACGAUUUUGGAGUCUUUGUUCGUCAACAAUCUUAUCAAUCUGGAGAAGAUAUACCACGGCCACAUCGCCGCAGAGUGCUUUAGCAAACUAAAAGCUUUGAGAGUCAAAGUGUGCAACCAAUUGAAAUACUUGUGGUGUCUUUCACAAAUGCAAAAUCUUGUACAGUUAGAAGAGAUUAAAGUAUGGAAAUGUGACUCAAUGCAAGCCAUUGCAAGAAAAUAUAUAGUCCCUGCCGAUUACAAAGUUGAGUUGCCUUACCUUCGUCGUUUGGAUUUGGCUAAGCUACCAAAUAUGAUGAGUUUUUGCACAAGAGCUGAGAUGACUUCGGAAGGUGCUCCAAUUCAGGUAACUUUUUCAUUUUCUCCCGUGUCAGUUUGUCUUAUUGAGAGGGUAUAAGUUUCAUUCACAUACUACACAUUUUCAUUCACAUUCAACUAUAGGUAGAGGGAAGCCUCUUUCUAUGACUGUUUUUUUUUUUUUCUAUUUUUUUCUAUUUUAGAUAAUUGCACUAAUUAAUUGGGUUCAAGGGUUUCUACUAUGACUAAUUUAUUACUCAUGUCACAUUUUUAAUGAGUAGAAGAAACAGUGUAUUGAACGAACGAACCUUCGAUGAAUGAACGAAAUUGAAUAUUUUCAAAAUGAAUAAAGCAACCUCCGGAGAUUAAAUAAACCGAAGGCGAACGAAGAGUCACAUAACAAAGAAAGUCCACGUGGUUCAUGUCCCAACUUCAUGCAAGUUGGAACUGAUUCCCACAUAUCAUGCCAUCAUAACCGUGUCAACGUCAACUACUUUGGGGAUUUUUCCUUCUUCAUUUUCUCAGGCUUGAUGGAAGAUCUUAAGCUUUCCCUCUCCAUCCAAUUGAGUUUUAAAUAUUUUAUACCGAUCGAUUAAGUUUGCGACAUUUUUAAAAGCAAUAAUAAGCCCAUUCAUACACUUUGGGUCCAUUCAUAUUCUUUUAGGCAGGGGUUGUGGAUGGAGGAGGAGGAGGAGAUGAAGGGACAGAGCUAGUCACCACUACUUCAGAUUUACAAAAUACCUAUUCAGAUUCCUUCUUCGAUAGAAAGGUAAAUAGCCCUUCUCUUGAGAUUUUACCCACAAUAACCAUAGAUACUCAGUUUGCUACGGCAGGUAACAAUAUCUUUUUGAAGAAUCUUAUUUGGUUUUAUUUGUUAAAAUGUGUUAACAAUUUAUAAGUACAUUUAUCAGUGAAUAUUAAUUCUUCCACCACAUUAGAUUGGUGAUUAGGAUUUGCCUAAAUUGUCAAAUUUUUCACAAUUGUAAUCCAACGCAUGACUCUUAUGAGCAGGUUAGUUUACCGAACUUGGAAGACUUAGAGCUUGACUCAGUGGGAUCCUUCAAAAGGAUAUGGCACGAUGAACUUUCCAGAAGUUUCUUUUGCAAAUUAGCCACCAUGAGUGUCAAGAAUUGCUCCGACCUACUCCACAUCUUUCCUUCGACGAUCAUAAGGGAAUUGCACCACCUGAAAAGUGUUGAGGUUAAAAACUGUCCAUCCUUGAAAUCAUUGUUUGAUUGUAGAUCCCUGGAUUCAAAUACGGAACAAGCUAUGGUGUUGCUCCCCGAAUUGUUUAGCAUCAACGUUGAAAGCUGUCCCUCCCUAGAAUCGUUGUUUAAUUGUGGGUUGCUUGAUUCAAAUGCGGAACAGAAAAUUAAAUUGCUCCCCAAAUUGGAAGAACUGAGAGUGAGUGGAGCAAAAAAGUUGAGAAAUGUGGUCAUGAGCCACUCCCAAAUAGUUUUGGGUUUUCCUAGUCUUGAAAUUGUUAGUGUUGAGAAUUGCUCUGACCUGAGAUAUCUCUUUUCUAAUUAUAUGGCCACAAAUUUGGUGAAACUUGAGAGGCUAGAAAUUAUUAAAUGCGAACGGAUGAAGGAAGUGAUUCUCAAGAAAGAAGUUGGUCAAUCAAAGGCAGAAGUGAUGAGUUUCCCUUGCUUAAAAUAUCUAAGAAUUGUGGGGUGCCGUAACUUUGGAGCGUUCAUAUCGAGUCCCACAAGUGUCAAGAGGCAGCUAGGUGAGACGGCCGAAGAAAAUGAUGAAUCGCCACAACCGCUGUUCAAUGAGAUGGUCCGUUCUAUUAUUUAUUGUGAUCAUUUGGAUCCUCACAUUAUCAUGUUUUAUAAUGAAGAACAUAAUAAAUUUGUCUUACUUAUCCUCCUUUCUCACAUUAUCCUCGUGCAGGUCACAUUUCCCAAUAUAAGAAGUCUAGAUAUUGAAGGCAUUCCAUGCAAAGAGCUAUGGAACAACCAUGUUCUCAUCGAUUCUGUUGUUUGUUCUCAUCGAUUCCUUUUGGAAAGUGUCGAGGUUAAAAAUUGUCCAGCCUUGAAAUCAUUGUUUGAUUGUGGGCCCUUGGAUUCAAAUACGGAACAAACAACAGUAUUGCUUCCCGAAUUGGCAAGCAUCAACGUUGAAAGCUGUCCCUCCCUGGAAUCGUUGUUUAAUUGUGGGUCCCCUGAUCCAAAUGCAGAACACAAAAUUAUAUUGCUCCCCAAAUUGGAAAAAGUGAGAGUGAGUGAAGCAAAAAAGUUGAGACAUGUGGUCAUGAGUCACUCCCAAAUAGUUUUGGGUUUUCCUAGUCUUGAGACUGUCAGUGUUGAGAAUUGUUCUGAUCUGAUAUAUCUCUUCCCUAAUUAUACGGCCACAACUUUGGUGAAACUUGAGAGGCUAGAAAUUAGUAAAUGCGAACAUAUGAAGGAAGUGAUUCUGGAGAAAGAAGUUGGUCGAUCAGAGGUAGAAGUGAUGAGUUUCCCUUGCUUAAGUGAAUUAAUACUUAAGGAGCUUGAUAACCUGAUUAGUUUCGGUUCGGGAAGUUGUUCAUAUUAUUUUUCCUCCUUAAGAAAUCUAAGAAUUUUGGGUUGCUGUAACUUUGGAGCAUUCAUCCCAAGUCCCACAAGUGUCAAGAGGCAGCUAGGCAAGACGACCGAAGAAUUUGAUGAAUCGCUACAACCGUUUUUCAAUGAGAUGGUUCGUUCUAUCAUUUACUGUGAUCAUUUGUAUUCUCGCACUAUCAUGUUUUAUAAUGAAGAAUGUAUUGAAUUUGUUCUACUUAUCUUCCUUUCUCACGUUAUCCACAUGCAGGUUACAUUUCCUAAUAUAACAAGUCUGGAAAUUGAUGGCCUUCAAUGCAAAGAGCUAUGGAACAAUCAAAUUCCCACUGAUUCCUUUCAGAAGUUGAAAUUUCUCAAAUUGAAUAACUGUGACAAUCUUCAACGUAUUGCCUCUUCUUAUAUGUGGAAGAAGCUGCAGCGUUGUCUCAAGGAACUUGAAGUGGUUUCAUGCCGUUUGAUCGAGAUCAUAUACGAUGGUGAUGGGACAGAUACUGAGAGUGGUGAAUUGAGGAGGCUGGUUUUGCAUGAUCUCGAAAACUUGAGAUGCGUUUGGCAGUUAGACAGUCUCCCAACCAUCCCGUUCCCAAAUUUGAGAGAUGUAAAGGCCGUGAGGUGCCACCGUUUGGAAAUGCUUUUCCCUAUCUUCACAGCGAAAUUUCUCGGGCAAAUCGAAGAGCUGAUGGUGGAGUCAUGUGAAGAUAUGGAAAUAAUUAUUGGUCAUGAAAAAUGGGAAGAAGCAAUCGGCACCACAAUCACCUUCUCCGAAUUAAUUGUUCUUAGACUUCUUAAGUUGCCGAAAUUCAGGGGCUUCUUACCUGAGAAAUACUCUCUAAAAUUCUCGUGCUCCGAGGACUUCCCAUCCUUGCGAGUCUUGAGUAUAGAAAGCUGUGGAGCAGAGCCGGACCAAGUCCUUGGUGACUGGCUGGACCAAAUGCAACGAGAAUUGUGCAUGCUCGAAAGAAUUGAGGUAUUCCUUCAAUAUUUCAUUUCUCAGUGAACCCACACGUACUCUACAUCAUGUAGCCCUCUCUCUUCCUUUCUCUCUCUAGCUCUCUUCCUUACUCUCUUCAACUAACGAUUUGUCGAUUCCCUUUUAUACUCAGGAAUAGUGCCCUCUGGAGUCCCCUUGAUCUUCAUUCCUUGUUCAUUCUCCCUUUCCGUCGCCUUCCAUCGACCAACAGCCGCCAUCAAGAGUCCAUCGCUGGCCACCACACGACGUGGCACGCUGAGAAGGGACGAAUGACAAAGAGCAUUGCUCGAAGGCUCUUGGUGAUUUCAAUUGAAUCCUUUCCUCUCACUUUGCUGCUGGUCGUCACCGCUUCCCGAUCACCACCUGUUUCGCUGCCGCGAGGAAGUUCUGUAAUGCCGGAGUGCUCAAACUUUGAUCAUGACUGCCUGCUUCCACGACUCCAUCCCUUGAUGUUGCUUCUGUUAUCUCCUGGCUCAUGUCCGAUGUCAAUCGCCAUAACUAAUCGUUCUUCAUUCAACUAAACCAUGCAUGCUCUGUUUUCCAUUGCUAUUGCUACUAUCUGCGUGCAAAUUGACUGUGUGAUAGAGGCUAUAUUAAUGAUUUGAACUAGUGCUCCUCCGCUGAAAUGUGUACCAUCUGUUUGAUGAAAUUGUUUUGAACUAAAUUUGUGUGUAUUUUGAUUUAGUUCUUGACUAGAUUCUUGAUCUAUUCUGGUCAUACAAGCGUAUUUGAGUUUUGUUGCUUCAUAAGAAAAACCAUAGGUAUUCAAUUUCAAAUUUGUUUUGAAUUUGUUGGAAACUUGCCAGUGCAUGUUGAUUUGUGGCUAUUGUGGCCCUGAACUGAUGUGAUUCUGCUCAAGUAAGCAUGUGCAGUAAUAUAAGAUUGUGUUAUGGUGACUUUCAUGUUCGCUUGGGAAAGAAAUUAUGGCAUGAAUGAAUGAAAUUCUAUUGGAAAUCGAUCCGUAGAUGCAGACUCUGUCUUGAUAUGCCUGAUUUGGCGGGUUAUUGAUUCCAUCUUGAGACUAGUUUGGUCAUGGGAUCGUAUAUUUUCAUGCUAGGAAAGUAAUAUGGUGAAUCUCAUGCCAAUUUUGUGAGAAUUAUAGUCAUAUGGCUUGUAGGAAGAUAUGGCUUCAAUUUCAUGUCUAUUAGUCAUCAAAUGAUCACGAUUUGUAGUCAUGUAUGCUCUGUUACAAUUCUGAACGUGUGCUAGAAAUUUUUGGAAUGAGCAUGAAUCACAUGGAUUUUGUCUUUGGUUUGGUUGCCUUUUUGAUUGCUUGUGGAUAAAUGAUAUCGCGUGUGCAUUAUUAGAUUGAUGAAAUGCGUGCUUAUUCUUGGCCUUAUAAAUGAUUUAGAGGACUCCGAUGUUAAUUGAAGUUUAAUUGCAUGAUUCUUGCAAUUCCUCUGCUAGUACACAUAUUCUAAAGGUGAUCUGGUAGAUUGAGCUAGAUCCGAGGAAAUCUCUCAACAAAGCUGGUCAAUGAGACCCCUUGAAAUAUCGCACGUACGACGCUUGCCAACAAAGUACAUGUUUUCUCUCCCUCUCCUUCAAUGCUCACCUUUCAAGGCUUAUUUAUAAGAGCUAUUGCUUAAUCUAAUCGAUCCUUCAAGUGUGUGUGUUUGUGCUAACAUAGUGUACACAACACCAAUUGGAACCUACUCAUUCAUGAUGUCCUUUCCUUCCUUGGAGUGUUCACUGGCCACUGCUGUUCAAAAUGAUGUUUCAAAGAUACGACUUUUGUUUUCCUCCCUCCCUCAUAAAACUCGCAAAAGCAACCCUCACCAACACUACCAGUACCCCGCCCUUGAAAUCCAUCAAGACCUGCCCAUAUGUUCCCCCUGGAGUAGGUGCAUAGUUCAGAUUGUCUCCCCUAUAAUCCAUUCUGCAAUGGAACUGUAGAGCUCCAACUAUCUCCUCGCAGUAGGUCUCCCCAUUGAUUGUAGGUCCCCUGAUCUGAAAAAGUUGAAUCUUUCCCUCUAAGAGGUUCAUGCUAUAAAUCUCGAAUGGAAAACAUUUAGGCAAGAACUUGAUGAACCAUAUGAAUUUAUCUUAAUGUCCACACGAUAAUGUCAACUCAUAUGAAGCAUUUUAUACAACAAUGGCAUCGUGUGUCCUUUCCACAACUUGCUUUAAUUAGUAGAGAGUAUCUAUUUGAAUCAUUACUUUGUCAUGCUCAUGAAUGCUCAUUGCACUCAUAUUUCUUCAUUUCAACUGCUCAAAACAAUGAGAUUUAACCCAAAAUCACUAGAAAAUUUUGUUAUAUAUUAUUGCAUUUGUACACCGUCAGAAUCAAAUGCCACUAAUUUGACAUGAUUGAUCAUGUCGUGAGAGCAUCGGGAAGAGUGGUGGGCGAUCCGAGGAUUUUGCCGCCCACAUCAGAAAACCUUUCAAAACUGGCCAAAGGAUUGACUUUACCGUCUCUGCUCACAAGGAUGGGACACUGCAUCAGGUGCCCUCUCAUUUCCCUGGGAUCAUGUUGGUCCUCAUCCGCAUAAGCUUUCCAAUUCCGUUUGGCUAUUUUGUUCACCCUAUUUACACAAUCAAUGCUUUGAGGUUCCCUAAAGCUGUCCUCUAAAUCUCCCAAGUGCUCCACUCAAAGUGACAUCCUAUAAUCGUAAACCUGCAUAGCGUAAGUCAACAUAAUUAUACAAAAGCUUAAGGUUUUUGAAUGGAUGUCGCUGCACUCGCUCGGACAUACGCUUUGUAUAUGCUAUUCAAAUGAGAGGCUAACCCGAUGUAACUAACCUGGCCACGCGGAUGCCUCUUUUUCCCAGCCCAAGUGUGGCAUGGCUGAUAAGCCCCCAUUGCAAUUUCAGUGUCUCUUGAGCCAUCCAGAGAUCUUUGGUUGAUAUUUGCCGAUCCCAUGAUCACAUACUCAUCAUCUACUAUCAUUCCUUUGGCAUGCACAUAUAUCAUGAAUCUGCGAAAACUUUUGAACCAACGCUUGCAUGGAUAGAAACAACAGCAUGCUUCAACCAAAAGUCUUUUUACCACUCAUGCUCUUAAUGACUUUUUUCGUUUUGUUUUUUUUAACGGAUGAGUCAAAGGAAGAAUCCCUGAAAAGAGUAUAGACAUAUACCACGGAAUUAUUUUCGGAUUGUCGAUUCAUUGCUUGGAAUGAAGACUGUGAAGAGGACAGGGGCUCCCGCUUGCCUAGUCAGUAGAAGUUCAAGUAAUCCAGGGGAUGGUACUUGUGUGACAACCCGGCUCUUUCGAGAGCCUGGGCGAUAAUUUUGUACAUCAUUGUCAUGGUUUGUCCCUAUCCACAUUAUAUAUACACAUACGAUAAUAGUGAAUAUUAAUAUUUUUACAUCAUCAUAUCAAUAUUUUUACAUCAUCAUAUCUCUUGGAGAAAAAUACUAAAAUGACUGAAAUGGGGUCGGGUCCCAAAUUUCCCCUCUAAGUUUCUCGGCUUGGUCUGCUUGCAUCACUUCGUUUUUUGCUUAAUUCCGUUGGCAUGUUAUUUAUUUUCGAUUUGCUUGGACAUCAUCGAUUUACAUGUGUCAUCACUAUUUCUUUACAAGAUGAAAGAAUUUAUCCUUGAUCUGACCUGCCAGAAGAGAAUUUCCUGCACUGCAGCACUAGUAGGGGCACCCUCCGGCCAUGUCGAUAUCACUAUAUACAUACAGAAGCGCUCGUCUGCACUGAUCUUGCUUGCGAUCUUCAACGCCAGCUCCAUCAGCACUAAAUUAUUUGCAGCUGCAUGUCAAAACCAAAUCAAGCGUUGGUUGCCAUAUAAAAUUGAACUCAAGAAAUUAGAUAGGCCAAGACAAAACUAGAAAAAAAGGAGGAAAAAUAUGCAUUUAAAAAGUUCAGAGAGUCGGUCUCAAAAAUAUAACAUAUUGAAUCAGAAUGCACGCUUAAUGUCUUAUACAGUGAGUUCUAGCGAUUAUUAGCUGACACACAAUCCUCAGAGGGAGCCAAAUCCAUACACUCUUUACUGGAGGCAUUGUUGCUCGGUCAACUCAGUCGGUCGAAAUGAAUAGAAACGGGCAUCUUAUACCUGCAUUUUUGUAUGGUGGCCAACGAUAGCAAGAGCCAAGCAAAUAUUGGUUUUCAAUGUAAAUGAAGUGUUGUGCCGAUCUAAUUGCUUUCACAUACGUCUUGUGAAUACUCUUGUCUACUUUCAAGUUCUUUCCACAUAUAAGAUUCUGCAACCGUGAAGAGAUUGAAAGAAUGAACAUUAUUAAUUUGGAAUUCAAUCUCUACUCAAAAACACUAAAAACUCUGCAUAAAAAAGAAGAGUAACUUUCUAAUGUAAGAACACUUUUCAAGUUAUGCACAUAUAACAGCCAAUUGCAAAUCUAUCAAAAUGGUAUUAGCAGCUAAAAUUACUCGCUUUGCAGCUUCUUCAAUGCUCUUCGGGAAUCCCUUUACAGAACCUGAAUCAAUCGAUCUAAAGACCUACGCCAACAAAAAAUAAAAAUGAAAGAUGGUUGUCACACUUCAUUUGUUUACAAUUGAAGUUCCUUGAAAAUGGUAAUUAAUUUGAAGUAAAUUCUCCCGACCUGCACAUGCCAAUUUUCCGGGUUGUCUUCGUCCCUGACUUGUACUAUUUUUUCGCCAUCGGGCUUGUCAAGGGACAAAGUAUCCACAAAAUCCUGUCGAGCCUUAAGAGAGCAUUCUCAUAUGCCAACGCCUAACAUUUUUUGGCUUAUACUCACGCCACUUCACUGCCUUUCUCCAUCUAUGUACAAGACUCUUCAAUUUGUGUACACAGCUUGUCCCUCAACUUUGGAAUGUAGAUCAUGCCACGGUUGCCUUGGGACAUUGAUGGUGGACUAUAAUUAUCACAAAGAGCGAUUCCUUCUCAUGAUUAGAACAUAACAUAUACAUGUUAUUACAAUGCUAAAGGUAAACAUUAGCAUACUACUGUGAACGUGGGGUUGUGAAUGUUAUUCUUAAAGACCGUAUCAAGAUCGCUAUAGAGUUUGUGCUCCAGAUAGUCAUAUCGUCCAUCACAUAGGUCUAGCUUGCCAAUGAAUGUGGUUAUUUUGUAGUUGUUUCUCAAGGCUUGAGUGUCAAGAACCACAGACUUUUGGUAAUGCAAGGACAAGGUCACCCCACUUGGACUACAGAAUAUUGUAAAAUUCCCUUUUAGAACCGUCCUAAAUUUAUGUCAUUAGGUUAGAAAACACUUGAUAUGAUCUAGGACAGCAUGAGCUAGAUCAAUGAACUUUUGCGGAUUGCCUAAUGAGAGAAAAUCUUUGUUAUAAAAUUAUACCCGAUUGUAAUAAUCAGGUAAUAUACAACAAAAGCGGUGUUUUUGAUGCAAUCUAACGAUUAGAUUUUGAUUAAGAAUUGACCUAAACAUCUAAGGAUACAUACCUGUUGCUCGAAAAUGCUGAGUUUGGUACUUGCAUAACGAGGAGAAGGCACGCAGCCGAUGCCAGAGUGUCGGACAAACUUCUUCAUCUCUUCAUCAUGAGUUUGCAUCAUGUCAUCCUAUGCCACAAUAUGGCACGUGCCAAGUCUCAGUGAUGAGAGAUCUCAAUAAAGAACUAUCAUUUCCUAAGUCAUGGAUUUGAAUUUUUUUGGCCAAACGGUGCAUUGCACCAUAAAUGAGGAUACUUUUUCAAGAAAGAGCCAUUAUAUAACAUAUUUUUCCAAUUGCAUCUUGUAAAGGCAAGCCGAAAGAAAGAACCAUUAGAGGUCAAGAAUUUGUGUUAAAAAAAAAAUAGAAAACUUCUUAUACUGUAAACGUUCAUUAAGCCGAUAGUAAAAGAUGGAAAAUCUUUCACUGUCUGCGCACCCUUGAUAAAAGGAUGAUCCUUACUCUAUUGCACUAGCCCAACAAAUCAACAGUGAUGGAAGCCACAAGCGGGCAAAUUUUCUCAACCUAGUAGUACUCCAAUCAUCCCAAAAACCAUAGAGACAUUUCCAUGUUUUAGCGAUGCUUAAUUACACGUGAGUAUAGUCCAGUAUUACUGUCUUCAAAAGGAUCAACUCAAGCCGAACGCAGCGUGGUCAUUCACACAUAAAGUGCUCAUCUUGCAAGGGUUCUUAUAGGUCGGGAUUAUUGACACUUGAACUGUACCAACAAUGAAACAAUAAAAAGAAGAAUAACAAUAAUCAUAAAAAAUUUGUCAUACGCGACAGCUAAUGUGAUAGAAUUUUUCGUUCCCUAGGGCCCACCGCCGAUUUUCCCUUAUCUCUUGAAUUCGGUUAACCAAAGGGACAUUUUCGUCGUUUAAAUCAGGGCACUUUCGUCAUUUGGUGAGGAAGUUCUCGAUUCUGCUUCGCGUCCGUAGCCUUUACCGUCCUCUCUAGCUUCACCGAUGGCCGCUGGGUCCACCGGAAGCCGCCGUCGGCCUUCCGUCUCCGAUCACGGCAGAUGCACGGAGGGAGGCACACAACACACACGCACAAGAAACAAAGCUUGAUCCUGGAAUCCAAAGUUCAUUGUCGUUGAUUCGAGGUUCGCCGGAGGUGAAUCGACGUCGAUUCCACUGUUCAUGACUUCGAUUGCGGUUCCGGUGUCGUCUGGUUGCAGUUCCGAUCGCGUGCUGUUCUGACCACGAGGCGUUCCUGCGAUUCGUUCUUUCGUUUCAGUGAUCGGCGGAAGUUUUCGGUAGAUUCGAAUCGCAUGGAAAAGGACGCCCCGUCUCAGUUGACUCCAACCAUCGCUUACGAAUCUUCUCUCCACCGAUUGAGCUCUUCAAUUCUUACUCUAAAUCAAGCCCAAGAGUCGUCAUCUCGUCGAAUGAAUGUACGGAUAUUGCUCAGGAAGUGUUCAAUGAAAUGACUGAAGGAAUCCAUCCGUUAUUCUGUCCUGUUGGUGGCCGUUAGAAUCAAUGCUAUGAUAGUGAGGCUGUGCUCGCCGUCUGGAAAGUCGCUAAGUCGUCAUCUCGAGCUCGCGCCCUCCUCGGCACCAAUUCAUCAGGUCGUCUCUUCUCCAAUUAAACUUCGUUAUUGGUGUCGAUUUGUUCUAGACUCGUCUCUCUUGAUCUCUGUUCUGUUUAUUUUUUUUUUCCUCGCCUUUCACUUCUACCGCUUCGUCAUUUGCUGCGUCGUUGUGCCGAGACACUCCUCAUCGCCAAAAGCCAGAAGCAAGACUGCGACGGCAGAAGCCAAGGAGAUGCGGUCGCGAUUGCUUUCGAUAAUUCCGCUUGCGUAGCUCACUGCACAGAGGAAUCUAGUCAACUAAAACCUUCUACAAAGAACAAUAAUCAUUGAUGCAACACACGUAACGGUAAUCAUCAAUGUGCCAUUUUGAUACUAGCAACAUCAUCUAAAAGUAGUUUCGUCUGGAAAGCAAACCGACCGAAUAAGAAGGAAGCAACUGGAAUGACAUCAGCUGGAGCUUGAAUUCACGGAAACGAGCAGCGGCGGCAAUGAUCUGCAUCCGACGCUCCUAAAGGUCUUCUGGUAGAGACAUUGCUAGCCGAAGACAAUGAACGUGACUUGGUAUUCUGUCUACUCCAAGCUCAGCGUCGACGCAGAGAAGGCCAGGCCAGGCUAGGGGAAAAGGUUGAAAGGUGGGGAGUAACGGGGCUGAUGGGUCUUGGCCGCGGAUCAAAUCAAUGGGUUGCUCUUGUGGGCCGUGCCAGUUGGAUUAACUUUGGCCUUUUCUAUUUGUUAUUUAUUUUUAUCUUUCUAUUACUCUUUUUCUUUUGUUGUUUUUUACUUCCAUUCAUUGUUUUCAUGAUCAUUUUUAUUAGAAAAACGUGUGCUUAAUUUUUCGAUUAAAAUUUCGAUGGUUUCGAAUAUGUUUACCCUAAUUUUUUAAGAAGAACGUCAUGACAUCUCGAACAAAGUACAAGACGCUAUAUGUUUUGUUGUGUCAAUCUUUAGUAACCGAGGGCCAAAGUUGUUUUUAGAUAAAUGAGAAAUGGGCCCAAAAAAUGGGACAAUCCAAUUGAACAGAAUCGGGUAUGUGUUUAUGAAAUAUCGAUCUAUUGAAAAUGACUUAAUUUAUGAACUGUAUUCAUAUUGACCCAAGUCCAAUCUCACAAAGAGCACUACUACUACUACUACUACUACUACGAGAGAGAGAGAGAGAGAGAGAGAGAGAGAGAGAGAGAGAGAGAGAGAGAGAGAUGGCUGAGACUUCUUUAGUGAAAGAUUAUUCUUUCGUAUUUUUCUUUUGCUGUUUGUGGAUUCUUUUUUAUUUUCUUUAAAGUUUCAAAAGUGAAGAAAUGAUGAGAUGAUUGAGGAUUCCCCCAUCUUCUUUGUAAAAAGAUAUGACCACUAAUUUAUUUGUCAGAUCACCCAUAAAUGAGUAAUCAUCAUUAUCAGGAUUUUACCAAUGUAUAAAUAAAUUGGUAAAUUAUGAGCUCUUCUAUUAUUUUACAAGUGUCUUUACCAAUAUAUCCAAUAAUAUAAUAAAGUCACCAAUAUUCCACUAAUAUAGAGGCCGACCGACUUCGUUGAAAUUUUACAAAUGUUUUUAGUAAAAUACCAACUCAAUAAGAAAUCUGCCAACCUCCUAAUAAAUCAGCGAAUCAUCAGUUUUUUCCAUGUUGGUAAUUAUUAGACUAACAAGAUGAGGAAGAAAAAAAGAAGGAACAAAUAAAGAUGAGAUAGUGAACAUAGGAUUUAAGACAUGGCAAAGAGUCGAGGAAAAAGCAAAUAUGUUGUGGGCCCACGGAACUCAUCGCGUAAGGGAGGAAGGAACUCAUUUUGUAUUUGCCCCUCUCUUUCCUCCCACUUUUAAGAGCAAUAUAUUUUGUCUACCAUUCUUUUCACUUCUUCCGCAUUUAUUCUAGCCCAACAAUGGAAGCAGUUCCUUCGAUCUUUAUUUUUGAUUCCUAAAACCCGCUUUAUUCAAUGGAAUGGCCCGAUUCGAUUCUUUUAUGCGUCGUGCUCUCAAAAGAAAAAAUUAAGGAGGCGAACAUUUUUUUUUUUGGUAAAGAGGAGGCGAACAUUUGGAGUGGCUUUUUAUCCAUAAAUAAUAUCUUCAUAUUGAUGUGAAAUUUGAAAUGUACAAAUUCCUCUAUAAAUAUGUGUUCUCAUCGAUAGCAAUGUGUAUCGACUUGACUAUAGAUGCUAUGAUAAAAAUGAAGAAGUAGAUAUAAGCUAUAGAUGGUAUGCGUGGAAAAACAAGGUGGAUGAGCGAGAUGACGUCUUCAUCCUCUGUAAUAGCGCAUAAAGGUAUUUUAUAUAGGAGGGAGAGGUUCUGAUUUCUUUCACUGAUCAAUAUCUUGUAAUUAUUUAUCUUAUAUUACUUGUUUUCUUAAUAUAGAACUUGAAUACCACGGCUAAAUAUGGAACAUAUAUCUUUUUAAUUAGAAUUUUUAAUUAGGUCCACGGUCGGUAGAAAAACAUCUUCUAUCACGUCGCUACAAUAAUUAUAUGUGCAUGAUGACUGUUUGAUUAUAUCAAGUGAUGUAAAUUUAUGGAAUGUAUGUAAGUAGAUUUUCCCAUCAAUUAAAACUAUUUUUGUUUUGGGUAAUUGACCGAAUUAAAUGGUUGCGUUUUUUUUUUUUUUUUUAAACUUGCUUCUGUUAUUCGUAAAACAAUAUGUACAGAUUUGGGACUAAAUAUGUCAUUAAAUAUGGUAGUGCACAUAUUAACAUGAUGCUUCCAAGCCUUUUCAGCAAUCCUUUUGAAUUUAUAUUUUAUUAGGUGUAUAGGUAGAUGCAUGUAUUUUUUUUUUUUUUUUUGUUCUUGGAUGAAAGAUAUUCUUUACUCUUAUUUUCCGAUGAUUGAGUUCUGACUACUUUUGGUGUAAUUAAUUAUAUGCUUGGAGAUCUAGGGACUAAAUAAUUUCAUAUACAUUUCACAUGUCAUUAUUGUAAAUUUGCAUCUAAGUAAAAGAAAGAACAAUAUUUACAUUUCAAUCAUUCGAUUUAAUUAAAGAAACUGAAAGAAAAUGCACAAAUUAUACAAAGUCCUUAGUAAUUGCCAUCUACAGUGUGAGUUUGACAUAACGCCAAGCUCCACCAUGUUCGACCAUUAACAUCAGUCUGCUCUUUUCUUCUGUUUGGUGUAGCGCCGCGUUUGUCUUCCUUCUCCUCCUCUGCGUUUUAGAGAGAGAGAGAGAGAGAGAGAGAGAGAGAGAGCAGCGGCAGCAGCAGCAGCAGCAGAACAACGAUGGUGAACGUGGGGUUGGUACGUGUUAGGGAGGGAGAGACACGUAAGAAUAUGGAGUUUGCAAAGAGAAGCGUCGGGUUUGUGAUGAAUUGUUCACGUUAUAUUCUGCGGAGAAGAGGGUCGUUUACGUGGAGGUUAAUACCAAAGAGAGGUCAGAAAGAAGUGGUCAAGCUCGACUGUUGGAUAAUCUGUGAAAUAGAGUCACAUUAAGUUGACGGUCUGUGAGGAGAGAACCUUCUUGGAGCACUGAAUUCUCCAACUCACUCCAUCCUCUUUUCUCAAUUUGACCUCCACCGAACCUUAAGAGAAUAUCUUGACCUCAGCAAAUCCCACUAUCUCCUCCCAAAAUGGCCGAGAAUCAUGUGCCAAAUAUGUGGCCAUAUAUCAUUCCCUUUUGUGAUGAUUCCUCUUGUUGGCCGAAUGAAUCAAUCGCCUACCAUGAUGGGCAAUAGCUUAAGAGUUAUUCACAUUCUUUCCUUGUCGAUCUUAUUCUCUAAUUGGAAGCAUCACUCGACAUGCAUGCGAAAACUUCGGCUAAGCCAAAUGGGGUUUGGCUGAGUUCAUUCGUAGGGGUCCAUACUCAUGUGGGCUUAGUCUUAAAAAUUCAAAUGAGUCCAAAGUCAAGCUUAUUUUGCAUGUUGGGUUAAUUCGAAUGCAAUUCAUGACUGGACCAAUUUAGAUGAAAUUUAUUUGAUGUGGACAUGCUAUUACUAAACGAAAGAUGUUCCCAAUGCCUAAUUGCAAUGUGAAUGCAAAAUUACGUCUUUUUGUUUAGGGUGAGCUUGAUCCCUAAUUUUCCAAUGAGUAAAUGAUGAAUUUACGAGUCAAAAAUUAGGUGUUAGCAGAGAUCGACCAAGAUAGGGAUGUAUUGGAUGUCUCUAGGAUCUACCAACCAAAAGAAGAACUUAUGAAAAUUGAUUCCUCAUAUGGUAUCUCAUCGAUUUGAUGGUUGAUCGUAAUUUGGACAUUUUAUAACCAAGGAAGUCCGAAUUAUAUGCAUGGUAUGAACAAAAGGCAUCAAAUGCACAAGUAUCAUAUGGUUAAUGUGUAUGCAACUCAGUGGAAGAGAUUCAUUUAUUGACAUAUCUAUGUGUUCUUGAGAUUAAUAUUUCAUAAAAUGCUAGUCCUUGAAUCAAAUUUAGUGAUUCAUGGUAAGCAAAAUUAGAAAGUGGUUUUUCUUUUUUGUUGUUGGUGCCGAAUGUGAUGUCCGAUGCAUAUAUUCAAUUGAAAUAAUCAAAAAAGAUGUGAACACCUUAGAAAUCAAUGUCUUCUCCAGAUUUGACAGAGAUAACAUAAUUUUGCUGUAGUGAUCACGAAUAGAUCCUAUAGGAUGUCAAGUGCCAAACAAUAGUAAAGCCUUUUCCUAAAUUCCAAUAGAAAUAUCAUCCAAAAAGCUUCAUUUGUACUUUCUUCCAAAAGUUUUUUGAAUCUUGUUGUGACAUCCUGAUUUUCCAAUUUUGGUUUCAAUUAAAUAAGUCGGGCAUUUCAUCUUCGCGUCUAUAGCUUUCUUCUCUGAGUUGGCCACUCACGAGAUAACUAGUCUAUCAGGUGAAGCCGUUAAGGAAUCUAAACGCAAUAGACUUGAGAAUUCGACCAGGAACCGACUGCUCGACCGUACUAAUCUGCAAGGGUCAUUACGGCAUAGACCGAUUAGAGACCGGAGAUAGGUCGAUUCAACAGAACCAUGUACUUUGUGGCUUGAAAAUAAUCAACCACAGGUCAAUUGCACAGAAAAUUCCUAAAAGCUACCCGGUAGAUUAGGACGCACUAAAGUCGCACCAGAUUGAAUUUAACCGUGAAAUUGAACCCAAUUACAGAAAUUGGAAGUUCUGUCAAGUCACAAUUCAUUUUAGGAAUGUCGACUCAUCUCCAGAAGAUUUUUCUACAAACCGAGAUUUUUGGCAGAAAAGCAAAGUAAUGCCGUUUUUGUUCAGGAUUGUCAGAGGGCCAUUUUUAAUCGAAUCUUCGGGAUGCAAGUUGGAUCAUUUGACGGGGAAAUGUCAUGAGAAGGCUGAGGACACAUGGGUUGAUUUAAUUGAACUUCAAUUGGAUGGAAUUGAGUGAGAAUUGAUUGAAUUUGAUGUACAAAUGUAUGAAAUUCGUAUACCAUGGGGGGAGAGCUAUUUUGCACCUAUUGGCAAGGUUGUGGAGGAAGAUUGAGGAGAGAGAGUGGAUGAUGUCAUGUGAUGUCAUGGUGGGGGCAAAGCAAAUGAGGUUUAGACAAGUGUUGAGCUCUAGUGAGCCACCAAGGAGGCCCCCCUCUUCAGCAGACCAUCUUCUUCCUUCAUUCAUGGCUUUCUCCAUGGUUGAGGCUUAGGAAAAGCUCAAGAGAACCAGAGGAAACCGAGCUCACCAGCCCCUCCAUCGUCGCACGCCCGGAAGGCCACCGUCGGCCGUUUUCCUCCCUUGUUUUCCCCUCGUUCCAGUUUCUGCUCCAGCCGACCUUUCGCCAAAGAUCCGAGUAAAAAGUUAACUUCCCGGUUGAAUCAGCGAACGAGCCACCCAUCGCCGCGAAGAAGACAUCCAGACCGUUCCGGAGCACCUCGCCGCUCGCCGGAACGAUUCUCCAGCCGUCCCGUACGGCCGCCCGAAGCUGCCGCUCGCCGGACCGUCUGGUUCCGCCCUGCUCCGCCUGUUCCGCGUUUUCUUGCUGUUUCGCCCCUUUCCGACCCUUCCUUUGCCCAUCCCAACCUCCUACAAGAUCCCCAAGACCCCCGGGAGCCAUUGGUUGCCAACCACCCGCUUGCCGGAGCUCCGAUCGGCCCGUUUUCGCCGUUGAAGUUGCUGGUUUCUUCUCUGCAGUUCAGUCCAGAUCAGAAGCAGAAAACCAGAAAGCCGAGAGGUCUUCGAGGCCCGUUUUCAGUGUCUUCCCGGCCUUGGUUGGUGUCGCCGCCUUGAGGUUUAUCGCCCGCCUUGGUGUCGGGGUCGCCGUGAACUCACCGGCGCGCAAAACCGGUGAGUUUAUCCUCUAAUUCUUGCUUAGUGAGUUAAUGACGCUUAAGGGGUGCUUAGAUUAGUCUAAUUAGGUUUAGGUGGUUAGAUUAGAUUAUUUUAAUGUAAAUUAGAUUAGUUGUGUGAUUAGUUUAAUGGAUGUUUAAUUAGGGCUAAUUGUAUGUUUAAAUUAGUGUAAUCUAGUUUAAGCCCUAAUUAAUUAUUUUUAAUUAAAUAAUUAUUUCGAAUUUAUAAAUAUUAUUUUAUUAAAUUAUAUUAUUAUUAUAAAAUAAUAUUUAAUUAUUUAAUUUUCGGAAUUAAUUUAAUUAUUUAAUAAUUUCGAAAAUUAUGCCGGGAUGGCCGGUCAUUAGAAUUUCACGCUGAUCGCAGCAGUGCGGUCGGUUUGUGUUAAUUGUAUGUUUAAAUUGAGAAAUUGAGUGAUUGAUGAUUAUGGUGAAUAAUUCCAAAAGUGUGGAAUUGUGUGAAAUUCAUGAAGUUGUGGUAUUUAACUUGAAAAUACCCGGUGUUAGCUUUUAGCACCGUAAUUGGUUUGUAUGACCAGUUUGAAUCGAUUGAAUUGAUUGAUUGAUUGAAUUGAGGUAUGAGUUGGUUUAUUAUUGAAUUAUCAGCUUUGGCGAGCAAUUGGUUUAUAUAUGUAUCACCUUGUGUGAGCAUCAUUGUCAGCUUAUGAGAGCAAUGAUCAUUUAUCAGCUUGUGAGAGCAAUGAUCGUUUAUCAGCUUGUGAGAGCAACGAUCCAUAUAUCAGCUUGUGCGAGCUACCAUCUAUAUCAGCUUGUGAGAGCAUUGCAUCCAAUUCAGCUUGUGCGAGCCAUAAUUGUAUUGAUGGAUGAAUAGAUGGUAUGGUUUAAUAGAUGAUAUGAAUUGAUAGAUGUGUGGAUCGUAUGACAUCAAUUGGAUUGACUGAAUUGAUAGACCGAUGGGUAUGUCGGUAGUUUCAGCUUGUGCGAGCAUUGUUGAAUAUGAAUUGUACUGACGUGCAGGAAGGAAUUGAGGCGAGGUAAGUCCUCUAUCCUAUUUGUGUGGCUAGAGCGCCCUGAGGCGUAUUUUCUUCCUAAUUGAGUUUUAGAUUGAGACGUAGUCUCAUCCCGGUUGUGGGAUAAUAUUUCAGGUCCCUAGAUGACGGUCGUGGAGGACCGGAAGUUCUGGAGUUCGGAAGGUGGAGGCUGAAGAAUCGGCAAACGUGUCUGACAAGUUGGUCAUAGGACAGUUCCCUAGUUGUUGAGCCUAUCUAUUUUGUAGACCAUCCAGUGUUGUAUAUAAACCUAUGUGUUUAUAAGAAAGCUUGUUUGGUUGUGAUUGAUUGCCUGCUUUUCUAUCCCAAGUUAGAUGUUGUCAGGGGAUUUGUUUCGCUUCCGCAUGCGUAAUAAAAAUGAAUGGGUCGGCGACGUGUCCUGGGAAGUCGCAUUUCUAUCGACCGCAGAGGGAUGUGCGCGCGCUCGGAGGAUCGGGGCGUGACACUUGUAAUAUAUAUUACGGCUUUGUAACAACCGUAGUAGCUAUCGCAGCGAGAAAACACCGUAACAUGUGGUACAUUUGUGGUAGACUUGCAAUAUACUAAUUAUAUUGCUUUGAACAGGCCAUAUAAUUGACAACUAAUUCUUCGAUUGAUUAAUAUGUUUUGUCAGGGAACAUAAAUUUCAACCUAUGGGAUUCGGCAACUGUCAAGGUGGUUAGUGAAUUUGAUAUGAAAAUUAAGUAUCGAUAUAUCAUGGUUUUAUACUAUGUAUUUUUUUUUUUGACAAUGAUAUUUAAGUUUACACGUUGAAAAAAGUGGAUAUGCAUCCAUUUGCAACUUGUACUAUUCCAAAGCAACUGAAGAGUUUCUUGGAUCAUAAGUAACAUUCAACAUACAUGCAGUAAGUAACUUUUCAACUACAAAAGUGGUAUCAAUAAAUGUAAGGUUUGUAAUUAUUGAGCAUCAAUUAGUAACUUUUCUUAGUAACUUUUCUUAUUUAAAAGGUGAGUUUGUACCCUUUUUCUAUGACAAGGAAGCCCACCCUCCUAAGUAAAACAUGAACCCAUAAAAAUACCCUACUAAUAUCAUAAAUCAUGUAAAAUGUGAGUUAAGAUCCAGAUAGAUGGUCCAAAUAUAAUAUUAUUUGUAUUUGGUAGUGUGGGAAGAUGGAUAUUUGUAACCAUUUGUAAACUAUACCAUUGAUGAUGGUUUGUAUGUUUAUACGAGGAAAAGAAACUUCUCCAAGUGAUUAGUAAUUUUUCACGUAGAAAAGAUAAUUUUAAAUUGCCAAGUAAUUACGACAAAUUAUCUUUUUAUUUGAAAAGUAAGUUUCUACCCCUUUUUCUAUGACAAGGAAGCCUACCCUGACUAGUAAUACAUGAACCCAUAAAAAUACUCUAUUGAUAUCCUAAAUCAUGUAAAAUGUGAGUUAUGAACUAGGUAGACAGUCCAAACAUGAUAUUAUUUGUAUUUGGUAGCAUAAGUAAAUAAAUAUUUGUACCCAUUUAUACACUACUAUUCAUGAUGAUUAGUACGUUUAUAUGAGGAAAAGAAAUUUCUCGAAGAGAUGAAUAAUUUUUCUCAUUGAAAAGUAAAUUUCAACUUACCAAGAAAUUAGGACAACUUUUUUUUUUUUUUUUCGCAACGGUGAGUAGCUUUAAAUCUUGACAAAAGUAAUGGAUGAUUGUAGUUUACCAGUGUCUUGUGAAUUGAUUAGUAAAUUUUGUUAAUCAAAUGUAACUUUCAAUCUAUUAGGAAUCAGAUGCUGAAUAGGGAGACGAACCCUGAGACCGGCCAUUGUCGGUUAAAGAGCUGUCCUUUUUAGAUUCUUCUGGGAGAACUGGUGGAAUGGCGGCAACCUGCCACGCGUUACCGGCUAUUCGCGGUUGCUCCUUUUCUUAAGCUUCACACAUCCGCUUCGCCUCGUCUCUCAGCCCUGUUCUGUCUCUGUUAGCGUUUGAUUUUCAAAAGAUGAUAUUCUCUGUUUGAUUCUCUGGUCCCAAUUUGAUUUUUGCCCCCACCAAGUUGUUGCCUUCCAGCUCCAUUUCUUGUCAGAUCAAAAAAAAAAAAAAAAAGCUCCAUUUCUUGAAGGUAAUUCAAUAUUCUUCUUCUCUUUCUGUUCUCUUUCCUCUUCCUAAGUCAUUUCCUUUGUGGGUUCUGCAGUCCCGCCUUCCUCGGCAUAUAUAAAUUUUUAACUUUCUUCCUCCACAAAGAGAAAAGAAAGAAAACCAGACAAGUAGAAGUCGAAAAGGGGGAAAAAUGGUGGAUAUUAUUAUAUCUGCAGCUUCCAAGGUGGCAGAGUACCUGGUGGCUCCAGUCGGUCGUCACUGCGGCUACGUGAUAUUCUCUAACAGCUAUAUUCGCCAACUUAACGAUGAAGUUGAGAAGCUGAAUGACGCCAGGGUCGGGAUCCAGCGUUCCAUCGAUGAUGCUCAAAACUGAUAUUGCUAGUGUAAACACCUAGAGGGGGGUGAAUAGGCGCACAAACUAUUUUUCUCAAAUACGUAUGCAACAGAUUGAAAUACGAUCGAUGUAGAGAGAGUAAGGAAGAGAAAAUCAAACACAGGAUUUAUAGUGGUUCGGCUUAUUCCAAGCCUACGUCCACUCUUCCGCACUGACAGCCCACGGGCUGGAUUUCACUAUGAUCAAAAGAGGAGUUACAGCACAGUUUUGCCUUGAUUCCAUAGUGUAGAUAUUCUAUCACACCUCCUCAAGGUCUCUCACAAAUAUAGACUCUCUUUUGUAUACAAGUAUUCGCUCAAGAGAUUUAUCUAAACAAAUAGGAGCUUCAGACUUUGGAAUUUUUCUAUCGCGCACACUCUCUUAAACAACUAAGAACGUCUUCCUUAUAUACUCCUUUAUGCCAUCAUACCCGUUGGCACUUUCCAAAGGAAUUCCUCCAAUCUACCCGUUGGACGGAAUCAAUUAGGAAGAUCGUUCGAGCUAUUAAAGGAACGUGUUGAUAGCCCAUCAAUCCUGUUCGCCCAUACAAUCAGGAUCUCGGUUUCCAUAAGCGAAACCUUCCAAUAAUAUUUAGACAAUCAUCGAAUCUUCAGUCAUUGAAUCAAUCUUGAUCAAUCAAAGGAUUCUGAUACGUCUUCUCUAGCCACGAGAUCUUCUCCAGAUGAUAAGGUUAAAUCCCAAACAAAACAUCCAGUUCGGGAUAACCUUUCUUCAACAGAUCAGAGACUGUCAAUGAGGAUAGACUUUGAGUCUUGAGUCUGGCAGUCUGGAAGUCUUCAGACUUUAACUGGCAGAGUCUGCAGACCUUCAUACUAGACUGACGGAAACAUUUUGUCAACUUCAAAACUCUUCACGAGGAUUUCUCCAACAAAAACAACAUGAAGGAGAUAAAACGCGAAGUUGACAGAUGGAAGAAUAAGGCAGAGACCGUCGCCGACAAGGCGCGUCGCAUGCUGGAUGAUGAUAGAAGAGCCAACAGAACUCGCUUCUGCGGGUGGCUUCCCAACCCAAAGGAGCGUUAUUGUCUCGGCAGGGACGCAAGGAAGACAGUCCAGGCCAUCCAAGCACUCAUUCCUCAGGGUAAAUUCGAGAGGGUCUACUACGAGAGUGCUCCGCCGGGGCAUGUCGCUAGCCCUCCCGAGGUGAAUUCCUCUACCAGUGAUCGGGGUGACACUGUCACCGAUUCACGAGCUUCCUUCUUUGAGGGCAUAAUGAAUGAUCUGGAUGAUGAGAAGCUCAAAGUGAUUGGGAUCUACGGGCCUGGCGGCGUGGGGAAGACUACGCUCUUGGAGGAAGUCCAGAAGAAACUCAGGAACGAGAAGAGACUGUUCCACCUGAUUGCCACAACGACUAUAUCGCAGACUCGAGACUUGAAGAAAAUCCAAGAUGACAUUGCUUACGCCUUGAGUCUGGAUCUGAAGAACGAGACAAGCGAAGUUGGAAGAAGAGAUCUUCUGUUUCGGAAAUUACAGAGCGAUCCGACAAAGAAGGUUCUCAUAAUAUUGGACGAUCUGUGGGGGCCACUUGAUUUGAAGGCGGUUGGAAUUCCUGCGGGAGACGAGAGCAGGGGAUGCAAGUUGCUGUUAGCAUCAAGAUUUAAAGAUGUGUUGGAGCAAAAGAUGCAUGCGGAUAAAACAUUUCAUCUUGAAGGUUUAAACAACAACGAAGCUUUCAGGCUAUUUGAAAAGAUAGUCGGCGACAAGCUCAAAGACGAGGAAUUGAAAGCAAUAGCAGCUCAAGUGGUCGAGAAGCUCCUAGGUUUGCCUCUUUUGAUUAUCUCCGUCGCAAGCACUUUGAAAUACAGCCGUGUGUCCGCAUGGAAAAACGCAUUGAUAAAAAUAGAGGACUCAAAUAUAGAAACCAUAGUAAAGCUGAGUUAUGACCAUCUGAAGAGUGAGGACGCCAAGUCCUUAUUCUUGCUCUGUGGUCUUCUUGGUGGGACCAUUCCAGUCGAACUUCUGCUGGGACUAGGCAUGGGGUUGGGCUUGUUUGAGGGAUUCAAUAACACGGUAGAAGAUUCAAGAAAUAGAUUGAAUACUAUGCUCGAUAGCCUCCGUUCUGUUUGUUUGUUGCAAGAUGAUGGUGAUGACAUGGAGACUGUGACCAUACAUGAUCUUUAUAGUGAGGUGGUUGUCUCAGCUCCAUUUAGAAGUCAGAAUUCCUUAAUGAUGAACAACUCUUAUGUUUCGUGGCCAAAAGAAAAGCUUGAGAAAUGUUGGGCAAUAUGCCUUGUUAAUGAUUACGGUGAUGGCCUUGCUGAAAAAAUGCGGUGUGCGUUUCCCGACUUGAAGAUAUUCGUGUUGUCUCAGAUAGGGUCGUUCGUGACACCUAUACACCGACAUGAUGUGAGAGAUUGCUGUGGACUAGAUUUCACAAGCAUGGAGCAGCUCCAAGUCCUAUAUCUUCGCUUCAUACAUAUCACCAAUUUACGUUCCUCCAUUGGCACCCUCAGGAACCUCCACUCAUUAUACUUAGACUAUUGCAUUGUGGACGAUGUGGCAAUUCUUGACAAGCUCGAAACAUUGCAAAUUCUCAGCUUGGCAGGAUCUCAAAUUUCUAAGCUACCUAAAGAAAUUGGGGAACUUAGGAAUCUGAGAUCGUUGAAUCUAUAUGAUUGUGACUCGCUUAUGAUAAUCGAGCCUGGUGCCUUGAAAGGCUUAGUCCACUUGGAAGAGUUAUAUAUGAGGGGAAGCUUUAGUCAAUGGAUAGUCGAUGAUGAAAUACCAACGGAAUCGUAUAAUGGUAGGCUUGUUGAGUUGAAGAGCUUGAGAAAGCUAGCCUCUUUGGAAAUAUCGAUUCAUGAUCCCAUCGUACUCUUAAAGGAUGAUGGCUUGCCAUUUGGGACCCUGAUCAGAUUUUGGAUCAACAUAGGAAAUACUUACGGAAGGGGAUUUCGUGGUUUGAGAACCAUGAAACUCCAAUUGAAAGGAUGCGAUGGUAUUCUCUCAAAAGAACGGGUUCAGAAAACUCUGCAGAAAACUCAACACUUAUAUUUGGAUGGAUUGGGAGAGUUCAAGGAGAAUGCUCAUGAGUUGUGCAUUCGAGGAUUUAAACAACUGAAGCAUCUCGACAUUAAGAACAGCCCCUCAAUCAAGUACAUCACCAGUUCAUUAAAUGACCUUCUCACUGCAUUUACGGAUUUAGAGUCUUUGUUCCUCGACAAUGUUAUUAAUCUGGAGAAGAUAUGCAAUGGCCCUGUCACACCAGAUUGCUUCCGCAAAUUGAAAGUUGUGUGUAUCGAAAAGUGCCACCAAUUGAAAAUUUUGUGGUUCCUCUCAGAGAUGCAAAGACAUGUACAUUUGGAAGAGAUCAAAAUAUGUGAAUGUGACUCAUUACAAGCCAUUAUCACAGGUGAUGUAGGAAAAGUAGAAGUUGAUGUUGAUGACAUGAUUGAGUUACCUAAUGUACGACGUCUAGAUUUGCGUAAGUUACCAAAAAUGACGAGCUUUUGCACUAGAGCUGAGGGUGCUCCAAUUCAGGUAACUUUUUCAUUUUCUGGGUAUAAAUUUCUUUAAUUCUUAAUCUUGCAAACAAUACCUAGAUUAUACUAUUAUAGGGGGAUUUAGGAUAAGAUGAUAUUGGUGUUCACCGAGCCUCAGUGAAUAUUGCAUUAUUUUGAUUAUUUGUACAUCUUGAAACACAUAAAAAAUCCUUUCAAAGAAAACACAGACCAUACAUUUUUAUUUACAUUCAACUAUAGCUAGGGGAAGCCUUUUCCUACGAUUUUUUUUUUUUCAAUUUGUUUCAGUGUUAGAUAAUUGCACUAAUUAUUUGGGCUUUAGCAUGGGUUUAUACUAUGACUAAUUGAUUACUUAUUUAACAUUUUUAAUGAGAAGAAAAAACAUUAUACAUAAUGAAUCUUAAACGAAUGCACGAAAUUCAACAAUUUCAAAAUGAAGAAAGUGAGAGAAUAAAUAAAUAGAAGGCGAACUAGUAGCCACAUAACAAAGAAAGUCCACAUAAUUCAUGUUUCACCUACACGCAAGUUAGCAAUUGAUUCUAACACGUCAUGCCAAUCUCACCAUGUCAACAUUGUUCUGCUUCUGUCAUCCCUUCGUCUCAAUUAAGUUUUUGACAUUCUUAAGAGACAUCAAACUCAUUCAUAUAUUUAAGUUUCUUUUGUUUCGCUGAAAAUUCAUUGUUGCUGAAAAAUGUCUUCCUGGCGAUUCAUUUUUCUUGUUUUCUUGUAUUUGGUUCUGCUGAAAACACAAUUUGAGAGAAACUAACCCAAAUAGAUCAUAUAUCACCUGUUCAUAAUGAAAAGCAAUAAGUUAACAAAUAAUUUAUUAAAAAUUUAACUCCGACAUGAAUUUGUCUUUAAUUUUGAAGGUCAAAAUAGAAAAACGAAAGAAAAGAUAACAAUUACGAUGACAGUUGUUUUGAAGAUCAGUAGAUGAUUUCAAAAGAAAAGAGAAAAAAAAUUAUGGCCAUAGCUUUGAAGAUCAGCCAAAUCAAAGAUAACAACUAUGAUGACACGCGGGAGCAACAUGAUAGUGGUGACGAUAUCUUCCUGAAAAUGAUUUUUCUUUUCAUGGAAGAGAAAUUCAUUUUCUUGAAUUUUAGCCUGAGAGUUUCAGUCAUUUUCUAGUAUCCAAAUACAAGAAAAAUUCUAAAAGCAUUUUUCUAAAAAUAGAUUUACUUGCAACUUACCUUUAAUGAGUUUGAUUGUGGUGCUUUGUUAGGUUUCAUUGCCUCGCUUGGAAUCCCUAGUAAUGGUUGGACUCCUUGGCCUAGAAAAGAUACUCCACAGUGAACCCUCAAUAAAAUUCAGUGGUUUGAAAUCACUAAAGAUAAAAGAAUCUAAAUCCACAUUGAGUAUUCCGAAAGAUUGGAUACUAAAGCUACCAAAUUUGGAGUCAAUGGAAAUUGCGAGCUCUCCAUUAGCAGAAUUAGUUUUCGACCUGGAGGAGCUAAAAGUCACUGGAGAAGUCGAGAUUCUCUCUCGACUAAGUACAUUGGCAUUAUCUAAGUUGCCAAACCUGUGGCGCAUGUUGAAACAAGAUGUACAAUUACAAGGAAUAUCGAUAUUUCGAAACUUGAAGGAGCUCUCUGUCUGUAAAACGAGGCUGUCAUUUCUCUUUUCAAUGUCUGUGGCUAAAUGUCUUAGAGAAAUUGAAGACAUUAAAGUGGAGGAUUGUCCAAAUAUGAAGACGGUGAUUGUGGAUGAAGAAGGAACGGAUGAUAUUAUAAAGCUACCACUAUUGAAGCGACUAUCUAUAACGCGUUGUCCCACAGAGAAAUUCUUCUCAUAUCCUCAUGGAAAGAAAUAGUCAAUAACCGCUACUUCAGAUUCGCUAGAUGCUUAUUUCGAUUACUUCUUUGAUCAAAAGGUACAAAUCCCUUCUCUUUAGAUUAUACCCAUAAUAGCCAUAGGCACAUGCUUGCAAGUCAAGUAAUCAAAUCUCUUUGAAGAUCUUUAUUUGGUUUUAUUAAUUAAAAUGCGUUCAUAAUUUAUAACUAUAUUUGUUAGAUAGAUGCCACUAAUGGAAAAUUCAUUCUUCCACCACAUUAGAUAGAUUGUUGGAAAUAGGCCAAUUUCACAAAUUUUUCAUAGCUACAAUUUGACGCAUAGCUCUUGUGAGCAGGUUAGUUUGCCAAGCUUGGAGGAGUUAAAGCUUAAGUCAGAAGGAUCCUUCAAAGGAAUAUGGCAUAGUGAACUUAUGGAAAAUUCCUUCUGCAAGUUAGCCACCCUCUCUAUUGGAUAUUGCUCUGAGCUACACAAUGUCUUCCCUUCCACAAUCAUAGGGAGAUUGCACAACCUAACAAUUGUUGAGAUUGAAAAUUGUCCCUCUCUAGAAUCAUUGUUUGAUUAUGGGUCCACAGAAGCAAAUACUACGCAAACAACUAUAUUGCUCCCCAAAUCAGAAGUAAAGAUGGUGAGGGAAGCAGGAAAGUUGAAAUGUACGGUGAAGAGUGACUCCCAAAUGAUUUUGGGUUUUCCUAGUCUAAAAAAAGUCCGUGUUUGCAGUUGCUGCAACCUAAGAUAUCUCUUCCCCACUUGUAUGGCCACAACUCUAGUGAAACUUGAGAGCCUAUGGAUUAUCAAUUGCGCACAGAUGAAGGAAGUGGUUCCUAAGGGGAUAGCUAAAGGGGAUGAUGAAUCAUCACAAACAUUGUUCAAUGAGAUGGUUUGCUCUAUCCCUUACUAUGUUCAUCUAUAUUCUUGCAUUUCAUAUUAGAAUGAACAAUCUAAUAAUUUGUGCUAUUUAUCCUCCUUUCUCACAUUAAACUCGUGCAGGCUAGAUUCCCCAAUAUAAGAAAACUACAAAUUGAAGGUGCUCGGUGCAAAGAGCUAUGGAACAAUCAAAUUCCUUAUGAUUCCUUUUGCAAACUAGAAUUUCUUCGAUUGGAGCACUGUGACAAUCUCCUAUGUGUUGCCCCAUCUCACAUGUGGAAGAGAUUGCAGCUUUGUCUCGACUUCCUAGAAGUGAGAUCAUGCCGUUUGGUUGAGAUCAUAUACAAAAGUGAUGGGACAAAUACAAAGAGUGGCAAAUUGAGGAGGUUGAUUUUGCAUGAUCUCGAAAACUUGAGGCAUAUUUGGCAGUCCGAUGGUCUCCCAAAUAUCCCGUUCCCAAACUUGAGACAAAUUAAGGCUAUGAGGUGCUCCCGUUUGGAAAUUCUUUUCACAACCUUCACGGCGAAAUUUCUCGGGCAAAUCGAAGAGCUAGUAGUAGAGUCAUGUGAAGAUAUAAACUAAUUGCUGGCCAUGAAGAAUGUGAAGAAGCAACCGGUACGACAAUCACCUUCUCCGAGUUAACUGCUCUUAGACUUUUCGAGUUGCCGAAAAUCAGGAGCAUCUUAGCUGAGAAAUACUCUGUGGAAUUCCCAUCCUUGCAAGUCUUGUGUAUAGUAAGCUGUGGAAUGGCGCCGGACCAAGGCCUUGACGACUGGAAACACUACCAAAGGUUCAAUAGUUAUAAACUCGAAGAAGUAUUGAAAUAUAGGUUUGAUGACUUCUCGUUUGGGACUUCUGCAGUAGAAAAUGGUGUUUGGCAAUAUAGAAUAACGCGUCCGGUAAUAUGAUAUCAUGUUUCUGGGUUAUCUUGUACAGUUCCCGCAAAGUCUCUUGACUAUUUCCUCCAAUAAUCAUUGCUCUGGUUUAUCUCCUGUCCCUUGGAUCUAAGGCCGUGCUGAGCGAGGUCACUUGUUUAUUCUGACUGAGAAUGUAGAGUUGCUAUCAACGCACGAUUCUAAUAAAAUGACUGUCCAUCUAGACAUUUUCUCUUAACUGACAAGCAUGUAAGAGUUACUAAUGAG
Molecule: long non-coding RNA, 113149 nt
Filed under: Eucalyptus grandis
Lineage: Eukaryota; Viridiplantae; Streptophyta; Magnoliopsida; Myrtales; Myrtaceae
Description: long non-coding RNA (EGRA_LNC004028)
Source: RNAcentral